RNAcentral lists this long non-coding RNA (90099 nucleotides) under Podarcis lilfordi (Lilford's wall lizard). The record is from RNAcentral. Lineage: Eukaryota; Metazoa; Chordata; Lepidosauria; Squamata; Lacertidae.
GACUUGCCAAUCAGAAGGUUGGCGGUUUGAAUCCCCGUGACGGGGUGAGCUCCCGUUGCUUGGUCCCUGCUCCUGCCAACCUAGCAGUUUGAAAGCACGUCAAAGUGCAAGUAGAUAAAUAGGUAUGACUCCGGCGGGAAGGUAAACGGCGUUUCCAUGCGCUGCUCUGGUUCGCCAGAAGUGGCUUAGUCAUGCUGGCCACAUGACCCAGAAGCUGUCUGUGGACAAACACCGGCUCCUUCGGCCAAUAAAGUCAGGGGUCCCUUUACCUCGUGAGAGAUCCCCCUAUGAUAGCCUUCCUCAAACUGAUCCCUUGAACUGCAGCUUUCUUCAGCUGACACAGACAUGAUGUCUGGGGCUGGUGGAAGUAGUAGUGGAAAACAUCUUGUGGGCACCAGGUUGGCAGAGUCUCUCCUGUGGCUAAACCUAUGGCUCAAGGUCUUGUUUUGGUGUUGAUUAUUUCUCUCUGUUUUUUUUAGGCUGGGCAGAGAAUCUGAAGCUGAAGACUUGGCAACGAGAAUGCUAAAACUUUGUCCACGGGACAGGAUCUCAGCACAGAAAGCAUGUCUCCAUCCUUUUUUCAACUCUUUACCUUCUCAGCUGUACCAGCUUUCUGAUGGUAUGUCAUUCUAUAUUCUAACUGCCUCAACAAGGUGCCCUUCAGAUGCUGUUGAACUACAACCAGUGCUUUUCUCGCAAGAAAAAUAGGUGCCGGAAUUCACCAUAACGUUGUUAAAGUAAGUCACCGGGCGGCUCGGGGCAGCCUUCAACAGAUGCCAGUUUGACAACAGCCACCAUCACCACCCACGCAAGUGCGGAAAACUACAGCAAACUGUCUCCCUAGCUGGUUUGGGGGUUGCCCCUGGUUUUGGUACAGGUCAAAUAAAUGCGCCCUACCACGCUCAUUCUCCUAGAUUCAGGCAGAUGGCUAGGGCAGCUUAUAGGGCCCUUUGUAUGCAGCGGUAGAGGCCUGACUGGACAGCUUAAAGCUCGCCGCCACUACAUGGGAGAUGGACUGAGGAAAAGGAAAUAAGAAUUGGCCCUGCCCUGUGGCUUGACCAGUCAUGGCUAGGAGCUAGGUGGAGCCAUAGAUCUAAAAAAAAGUGUAGACUCCCACAUGCUGGCCAGCUUCCGUUUUGACUUGAAAUGUUCAUUUUGGGCUUCUCGGAAGUUCAUAAAGGCAAGAAGCGGGGUGGGGGGGGACCGCUGGCCUGCAAUGGUGCCUACCUUCACUCCAGAUGAAAAAAAAACACGGACUACAACUCCUAGCAUCCAUGACCACUGACAAUGUUGACUGAGGCUGAUGGAAGUUGGAGUUCAGCAACAUCGGGAGGGCACCAAGCUGGGGAAGGCACCAAAAAGUAUCCAGGGCUAAGAUAAAUCUCCCUGCGCAUAGGAUAAUAAUAAUAAUAAUAAUAAUAAUAAUAAUAAUAAUAAUAAUAAUUUAUUAUUUAUACCCCACCCAUCUGGCUGGGCUUCUCCAGGCACCCUGGGCGGUUUCCAACAAAAUAUUAAAAUACUGUAAUACAGUGGUACCUCGGGUUACAUACUCUUCAGGUUACAUACGCUUCAGGUUACAGACUUCGCUAACCCAUAAAUAGUGCUUCAGGUUAAGAACUUUGCUUCAGGAUGAGAACAGAAAUCGUGCUCCGGCGGCGCGGUGGCAGCUGGAGGCCCCAUUAGCUAAAGUGGUGCUUCAGGUUAAGAACAGUUUCAGGUUAAGAACGGACCUCCAGAACGAAUUAAGUACUUAACCCGAGGUACCACUGUACAUUGAACAUUAAAAGCUUCCCUAAACAGGGCUGCCUUCAGUUGUCUUCUAAAAGUAGUUGUUGUUCUCUUUGACAUCUGGUGGGAGGGUGUUCCACAGGGCAGGCGCCACUACCGAGAAGGCCCUCUGCCUGGUUCCCUGUAACUUGGCUUCCCGCAGCGAGGGAACCACCAGAAGGCCCUCGGCGCUUUCUGGGAAGCUUUUUUGUCAGGAAGAUGUCUACUGUCUAAGGCUUUUGCAGACAUUGACUUUGUGUUUAAAGCCAUCCUCCAUUCAGGGACACACCUAUAAGGUUACCAGAUUUUUUCCAACGAAUCCAGGGACACUUUUCAACUUCAGUGGAUUUUGUAUGGGGACUGAUUCGUAAAUCCGGGGACUGUCCCCAGGAAACGGGGACGUCUGGUAACCUUAACCUAGGGGUUGCUCAGGUUGGCCUCUGCCAAGGACGAAAGGCCCAGGGGGAGGGGCACAAAAAACACUCCUUUCCACUCCGGCUCAGAGUAGCUAGGAGCCCCCUUCCCGUGCAUGCGCUCCCUGGCACAUGCCUCUGCUGCUCUAGGUGAGACGCACAGGCUCCCCUGGGCACCUUGGUGGAGGACUCCAUUUGCUGGUGUUUAACCCACAGCACCACCCGCGUCCCCAUGACUAGCAUUGGGUACCACCUAUUAUCAUCAUUGCAAUCGUAGUGAAUUCACUUGAGAAUACGAGCUUGCUGGAUCGCAAACUGCAACGAUUUCUGCCUGAAAGACUCUGGUUGGCUUCGCAACACAUUGGGUUGCCAUGAUGACAUCAUGGGCUUGCCCCCAACCCACCAAGGCCCCACGGGCUGCAAUUGGGGUGAAAUAUCAGCCAUUGUAAGAAACACUCCAAUAUACCAACCCAGGGGACUGGGAAAUGCAUUCCUCAUAUGGAAAUGAUCCAUCUUGUCUCCAGGAGUGACAUGUUGUGUUCGCCAAUCUGUUGCCUCCCUCCUUCCCUCCCCACCUUUUUCCCUCCUGCGUUUCUGUCUCUUUGCUCUCCCCCCCCCACACACACACCUCUCCCCUCUACACACACACACACACACACAUUCUCUCUCUCUCCUUCUUUUCCUGUCUUUUGGCACGGGCACUUUCAUCUCCUCCCUCGGGGAUUUGAGAUGUCACUGCAGGAAGUGCUUGUCUGCCUCUCAGGCAGCGGCAGAGCCCUGUGGCUUUGACAAACCUCAUUUAAUUGGGAGGAAGCCAGGAGGGUUUGAAAGAACUGAAACAUCCACGAAACUCCUUUUAUCAGGCAUAAUUUAAACUCUGCAUGGAAAAAAAACCUAUAUGUAUAAAGAAAAGUCAACUCCCCUCCCCACCCUGCUGAGAGUCCUCCCCUCCUCCUUCUCCUCCUCGGCCUCCCCAUCCCCCGGCAAAGGCAGGCUCCUACGAGAUUCCAUCUUUUCAAUUUUCUAAAAGUGUCAAAGUAGAUUUGUGCUCUGCGGCUGGUUGGGUAUAGAGCGGCUGUGUGCUCUAUACACACACACACAGAGGGGGGGGCAGAGAGAGAGGAGGUGGGGGGAGUCCCAUCGCACAUGUGGACCUUGUUCUGUGCAUGCAACAACUUCGUUUAAUUCCGCCCAUGAAUCUCAUGGUCUUUGGCGGCGUCUACUCAGCCUGCGACAUGCCUCCAAAGUCAAAAUCAUUUAUUUCCCACCCGCCAACCCACCCACAACCCGGGCCCGAUAACAAGACGGGAAAAGCCUGUCAAGAGUUGUUUUCGUAUGCAAAGAAUAUUGCGUCCCCGUCUGUGAGGUCCAGCUUUAAUUCGCUCUGAGGUAGUUCUACUGCUGUCAGUUAUCACGUUAAUGGAGGCAGAGGAGUCCUAGGCUCCCUUGGUGGUCUUGAUCAUGGCCCUGAGAGGGACCCCUUCUGAGGUGGCCAAGACUGGAGUGAUGGUAGAGAAAAUAGAGGCGUGCCAGACAGAAGGGGACCUCAUCCAGAGUUCCAUGGUGACUGAAUUUCGUGAAGACUUCCAUCCAGACAAGCGAUUUGGCCAUCGCUUACAUGAAUUUGAGGGAUGGGGAGGCCCACCCCAAGAAGAGAAGUGGAGACGAGGUGGUCCGGGCCCACCUUUCCCCCCUGACCCCAGAGAAUUCAAUGAGGGAGAUAGCAGAGGUCCAAACCAUGGACCUCCUGGGCCUUGGGAGGGACGGAGACCUUCAGACGAGAGAUUUCCUCAUGAGCCUGAGGACUAUGGACCAAACAAAGAUGGCGAUCAAAACGAUAAAAGUGAAAUUCUAGGAGUCAAUGGUAGGAGUCAAAUUUGAGACUAUGGACUGGAAAUUCACAAUUUUUGCUUCUUGUCGCCUUUCGCUGGGGAGGGGGCCCCGGAGGGCCGCCGAAAAGAAUGAAUAGAGUUGGGGCGAUAACGCAACCCUGAUUAACACCUGAUCCCACUGUGAAUGGUUCACUUUGAGAGCCACUGUUAUCUGUGAUUGUUGCUGUCAUAUUAUCAUAGGAACAUGCAAGUCCACUCACCACAACAAGUUGAGUGAGGCUGCUGCGACAACCCACACCUGCUCCUGCCAACCUAGCAGUUCGAAAGCACGUCAAAGUGCAAGUAGAUAAAUAGGUACCGCUCCGGUGGGAAGGUAAACGGCGUUUCCGUGCGCUGCUCUGGUUUGCCAGGAGCGGCUUAGUCAUGCUGGCCACAUGACCCGGAAGCUGUACGCUGGCUCCCUUGGCCAAUAAAGCGAGAUGAGCGCCACAACCCCAGAGUCGGCCACGACUGGACCUAAUGGUCAGGGGUCCCUUUACCUUUACUAAUGCUAGUCAUAACCAAUAAAAUAAACGGCUGAAGUUACUGAAGCCGAUUGAUUUCCGUGGGUCUACUCAGAAUAUAGCUAAUAUUGGAUAUCACCCAACGACAGCAAUGUGAUUUCAAAAAAACAACAACAACAAAAACUCCUGACAAACAUCUGUCUGUACUUUCACAAUCAAGCAAGACAUUUGGGUUCCAGGGUCACUGCAGCUAAUUGAAUUGAAUUAUAUAAAAUUUAGCAUUCUGAGUGCAUACAAGAUUGUGUUCUGGCUGUAGCCUAGUCUAGGGGAUGCUGGUGAUUAGCUUUCGUAUGCUCAAGUACAAAUUUGAAGUGGCAGUGGGUAAAAGAAUCAGCUUGUUAUCUUCAUCUGAAAGGAUACAAAAGAGAGAUCCCCUCCCCCCCUGACAUUGUUAUGAAAUUGUUAUAGCAGGGACCACUCUUUCCUGUAAAUUGCCACAGGGAGUGACUAGGUGGGUGGGAGGGAGAUAAAUGAACAAUGCAAAGAUCGCUUUUUUAUUUGAAAAAAGAUUUUUGAUGAUGACAACAAGAACAGCAAGAUUUUAACGAUUAUUGAAAAGAAUGCGAAGGAUCAGAUGUUAACUGCGUCGGAUUGCGAACUGCCAGCAGAGGAGGCUGCUUUGCUUCGGUUCAGCAAAAAGGAGGCGGGAGGGAGGUUUGCAGGAAGGGUGGGGGGCUUCUUGUCCCCUUGUAACACGGGUGGGAAACCUUUUUCAAAUGGAAGGGACACAUUCUCCUCUGGCCAAACUUCUUGUUGGGCAGGGUCAAUAGCAGAAGCAGGUGGAGCUACAAAUGCAUACGUUCCAAGUGUCCCGAUUUUCCAGGGACAGUCCCGGAAUUACGAAAGCCAUCCCAGCUUCUGAUUUGAUCCCGAAAUGUCCCGAUUUCCCCUGCCAGUGCCGCUGCUACCGAGCUCAGGGAAGAGGGUGAGCAGCCGCUUGUCCCAAGCGAUUGUGGCUGCUGCUCUGCUGCUGCGAGGGAGAAUCUCGUGACCUCUCGCUGGCCAUUGCUUCGAGUAAAGGUAAAGGGACCCCUGACCAUCUUGCUUUAUUGGCCAAGGGAGCCUGCGUACAGCCAGCAUGUGGCCAGCAUGACUAAGCUGCUGAAACUGAAAUCACUUCGCUAAUUUUACAAAUGAAAUCUGGCAAAGCCCCAGGAAGUGAUUUCAUUGUCGCUGAACUUCUGAAAGCGCAAAUAAACUGGUGGGCCCCGGUCCUUGCUAAUCUAUUUUCAUAUAUAGAUAAGACAACUGAAAUCCCUAAAGAUUGGGGACUAGCUAUAAUUGUUCCCAUAUUUAAAAAGGGCAACCCCUCUGAUCCAUCUAAUUAUAGACCAAUUAGUCUCCUGAACGUGAUCUGUAAACUUUAUACAAAACAUCUAUGCCUAAAAUUAUGGGAAUGGUUAGAUCAUAAUAACUUGCUAGAAAUUGAACAAGCAGGGUUUACAUCCGGACGUUCCACCAUUGAUCACUGCUUAGUGUUAGAUUACUUUGUCUAUAAGUAUGCGAAAUAUUGGAAAAGUCAUUAUAUGCGGCCUUUGUGGACUUAAAGGCAGCAUUUGAUUCUGUAUCCAGGAGCAGGCUCUGGGCCAAAUUGGCCAAUAUGGGUAUUAACAGAAGGUUAUUACUUCUGAUGAUUAAGCUUCAUGAGAACAAUACCCUCCAGAUAAGACUCGCACAGGACGGCAGACUCUCUAGAGAAAUCUUAGUCCAAAGAGGAGUGAGACAAGGAUGCCUAUUAGCCCCAUUCCUAUUUAAUAUCUAUGUUAACUCCCUGGUUACAUGCUGCCGUGAAAUUGAAACCCACCCUCCUGUGUUCUCUAAUGGCAGAAAAGUACCAAUUUUAAUGUAUGCGGAUGACGCUGUUCUUCUCUCUCAAACCAAAGUGGGUCUGAAACGUGCCUUAGGAAAGUUUAGCGACCAAUGUAACACUGAACUGUUAACAAUUAACUUUGCCAAAACCAAAAUUGUACAUUUUAACCGCUCCUUUAGGAAGGAUAAUUGGAGCGUAAAGGGAAACGCCAUUGAACAGACUAAGACCUUCCAAUACUUAGGCAUUACUUUCUCUUAUAAUGCCAAAUUCUUAACACACUUGACCACAUCAGCUAUAUCAGCAGAAAGAAGUGCAAAUGCUAUCCUUAGAUUAUUCAGAAGGAAAGGAGCUGGCUUCCUCCCGAUGGCCCUAACAGUCUUUCAGGCAAAAUCUUUAGCCCAACUUCUAUAUGGCUCUCAAAUUAGCCCCUCUGCCAACCUUAAGACCUUUGAAACAGUACAAUCUAAAUUCUUAAGAUCAUUAUUUGCUACUCCUAAGUGUACACCUAAUGCAGUCUUAAGGCAAGAGGCAGGACUGCCCAGAGUGGAAUUAAAAGUCUGGGAACAAGCAAUAUCCCUCUGGCUGAAAAUCCAUUACAAUCCUAAGGGUCUAUUACCUUGCUUCCUGGCCGCAGUUCCCUAUCCUCCUUGGCUUAUGCAAAUAACUAACAAGAUCAAACAAAUUGGCCUAAACCCUGAAAAUAUUUUUAUUGGAACUCUGAACAAGGCAAAAGCUACUAUCACUCGGAGACUUUAUGAUAUCGAAUUACAACAAGAAGGCGCCCUACUCCCAGAGACGUAUAGAUGUUUAAAAGCUUGGCCUAAUUUUGCAGCUGUCCCUUACUUAACUAACAUCACUAACGAAACCUAUAGAUGGGCUUUCUCUAGAGCCCGCUUUGAGACAAUGCCCUCAGCAGUGCUGUACGGCAAAUUCACGCGAGUUCCAAUGCAUGCGCGUCUCUGCCCUUGUAUGUCUAAUAAGGUAGAAUCUGUCACACACAUUCUUCUAUCUUGCGAAUUCUAUAGUGAAGAACGAGUUCAACUUAUUUUACCACUUCUAUCAAAAUUUAUACCCCUUCAAUAUUAUUUGGAAUCCUCCCCUGAAAUUCUUCGAAAAUACCUCCUGGAAGAUUCCUCAAGCUCAGUAUCAUAUGAGGUGGCUAAAUUUUGCACUUUAGUAAUUAAGAAGCGUAAAUCUCUUCUGUUGAAUGGCACACUGUGAAGUUCUCUUGUGUAACCUUUUUUCUUUUCUGAAGUUGUUGCUGUUUUCUUGUUGUCUGAUCUUAUGGUGUUUAGUGUCACUGGCUUUGGCCGCAAUAAACUUGAAACUUGUUGUGAAACUAAGCCGCUUCUGGUAAACCAGAGCAGCACACGGAAACACCGUUUACCUUCCUGCCGGAGUGGUACCUAUUUAUCUACUUGCACUUUGACGUGCUUUUGAACUGCUAGGUUGGCAGGAGCAGGGACCAAGCAACAGGAGCUCACCCCGUUGUGGGGAUUUGAACCGCCGACUUUCUGAUCGGCGACCUACUGCUUCGAGUAGCUAUGGCCUAAACAUGGCGAGGGAUGCAUAUAUAUAUUCCUGUAGAAAAGUAAACUUCAUCUGACAAUAAGUCCAACAAAUUAAAAAUGAUUGGAAAAAGUUGACUUCAACAAAUAGCCCACAAUCGUAGAAUUCAGUCAAGAGGCUGCUACUAAUUGCAAUACAGUCGUAUCUCGGAAGUCAAACGCCUUGCAAGUCGAACGUUUUGGCUCCUGAACACCACAAACCCAGAAGUGAGUGUUCCAGUUUGCGAAUGUUCUUUGGAACCCGAACGCCCAAUGCAGGUUCCGCAGGUUCCGAUUGGCUGCAGUAGCUUCCUGCAAAGGCAGUUAAAGAAAACCACGGUUUGUAAACCAACAGGAAACAAUGGCUACAAAUUGAGGGGCGGGGGGUUUGGCAGGAAGCAAACUAUAGUUAAACUGCUGGGCAGGCUUCACACAUAAAACUAAGCCACAGUUUAAUAAACAAUAGUUUAAUACACCAUGGUUUAGCCACGUUAUUGGGUUGUUGUUUUGAUUUUGAUUAUAUAUAUAUUGUGGUUUUUAUGCUGAUCUUUUCUCUGAACUGCCCUGAGACCGCUGGGUAUAGGGCGGUACAUAAAUUCAAUAAAUAAUAAUAAAUAAUAAUACAUCGUGGUUUAGCAUUUCAUAAGUGUUAGCUCAGUACACCAUGGUUUAGCAUGAUGUGCAAGGUUGCUGCACUUUCCCAUACAUAUUAAUGGAAAUAUAUGAAUCCUGGGAAAGUUACGUAAUUCCAUUUGGUAACUCCAGUCUUGUAUUGCCAAACCAUGUUGGUGCUGGUGCAUAAUAGUUUAGUGAUAACUUCUUGAAUAGUUCUUCGAACCGUAAUUAAUUCCACUCCCUGUCAGAAUUUAAGCUGACCCCAAGUAGUCUGUUCACCAGAGUAGCUGACUUUGAUGUGAGAUUUCUUUAAGUAAAGACCAGGGAAAACAGUAAAUUGUGGCUGUGAGCUAGAGCUGUUGAUAUUGCAUACUUAAGAAUCCUCUUACUCUUUAGGGCGAUUGCAGCGUUAACUUGCAGAAAAGCUCUUUGAAUUUCAUUCGUGAGAUCCGCACUCCCAUCCCUGCCACCGCUUUAAUGAUUUUGGAGCUGUGGUUGGUAAAGGGUAAAGGGUAAAGGGAACCCUGACCAUUAGGUCCAGUCGUGGCCGACUCUGGGGUUGCAGAGCUCAUCUCGCUUUAUUGGCCGAGGGAGCCGGCGUACAGCUUCCAGGUCAUGUGGCCAGCAUGACUAAGCCGCUUCUGGCGAACCAGAGCAGCACACGGAAACGCCGUUUACCUUUCCGCUGGAGCGGUACCUAUUUAUCUACUUGCACAUUGACGUGCUUUCGAACUGCUAGGUUGGCAGGAGCAGGGACUGAGCAACGGGAGCUCACCCUGUCGCGGGGAUUCGAACCGCCGACCUUCUGAUCGGCAAGUUCUAGGCUCUGUGGUGUAACCCACAGCGCCACCCCCACCUAAUUUUCCACUUCCAAUGCAGAUUGGCCUUUCUGUGGCGAGCAUUCCAAAUGUAUUGUUUUUAACACCACUGUGUGGAUCCUGGUCAUCGACCACUGAUUGCUGUCAUCCCUGCUUCAUGUCAUUGGUAGUCAGGACAGGAGACUCACUAUGUCACGGGUGGGGAGCAGUAUUCCCUUGAGAGCCAGCGUGGUGUAGUGGUUAAGAGCGGUAGACUCGUAAUCUGGUGAACCGGGUUCGCUUCCCCGCUCCUCCACAUGCAGCUGCUGGGUGACCUUGGGCCAGUCACACUUCUCUGAAGUCUCUCAGCCCCACCCACCUCACAGAGUGUUUGUUGUGGGGAAGGAAGGGAAAGGAGAAUGUUAGCCGCUUUGAGACUCCUUCGCGUAGUGAUAAAGCAGGAUAUCAAAUCCAAACUCUUCUUCUCUUCUGCUAACAUCUGCGCAUGAUCAGUGGCUGCCUGAAACAUACAACUUCAGCUGAACUGGAUGGAAACUGGUUUGAGGGAAAGCACAUCAAACAGGAAUAUUUUUCAAGAAGCUGUAGCAGAAGAUCCCAACUGGUGGUCCGUGGACCCCAGGAGAUCUGCGUAACCCAUGUCACAUACCCAUCAACUGUCCAGGACAUCCCGGUUUUUUUUGGGGGGGGGCGGAGCACAGUGCCCCAAAAUGCACAAUAUUGUGGCACUGAAAAACACAUGUUUUGGGGUGCUGUGCUCUUGUGCAGGUCAUAUGAUUCAUGUGGGAGCGCAGACCGGAAGACGCAUGUCCUGGUUUUGUGUUGGGACAUGUUGGAGGGUAUGGUGGCACUAUUUGCAUAACAAAAACCUCACCACAUACAUGUCAACAUUUUCAAAAGUAGGGGUUCCAUGGCUUGGCUUUUGAAAAGCAGGGGGUCCGCAGUACAUAGCUAACUGGGGACCACUGAGCUACAGGAAUACAGUCAUACCUCGGGUUACAGAUGCUUCAGGUUGUUUUUGGGGGGGUUACGGACCACCGAAACCUGGAAGUACCGGAACGGGUUACUUCUGGGUUUCGGCGGUCGCGCAUGCGCAGAAGCGCUAAAUCCUGCAUUGUGCAUGUGCAAAAUCGUGCAUGCCAAAUUGCAACCCGCGCAUGCGCAGACGCGCCACUGUGGGUUGUGAACACUGCGGGUUGCGAACGUGCAUCCCACACGGAUCACAUUCGCAACCUGAGCGUCCACUGUACCUGUAGAUUGUGGUGAACAUAUUGUGUACAGUGGUACCUCGGGUUACAGACGCUUCAGGUUACAGACUCCGCUAACCCAGAAAUAGUACCUCAGGUUAAGAACUUUGCUUCAGGAUGAGAACAGAAAUCGCACGGCGGCAGCGGGAGGCCCCAUUAGCUAAAGUGGUACCUCAGGUUAAGAACAGUUUCAGGUUAAGAACGGAGCUCCGGAACGAAUUAAGUUCUUAACCCGAGGUACCACUGUACUUCGCUUUAAACACCACCAGUGAGAGUGUGCUGGAGCCAGAGUAAGUGGUAAUUUUUACACAACCUAAGAAUCCCAUUCCCAAGCUACUCAUACCAUUGAUAUAUAUUUUUGUAGUGGAAGUAGAAGCAUCUGGGGGGGAGGGGAUUUCCAGCAGAAAAAACAGUGUGAGGAGGAAGGGCACAGAAAUUCCACUCCCGCCCCCCAAACUGGUCCUCUUCCUCAAAUUACUGCCUCUAAAGUAGCUACGCUGUAGAAAAGGAAAAUUGAAAAAGACUCAAAGGACUACAUAGAUUGUGUUUGUUGUUCCAGCGGCAGAGGCAAUAUUUAAACCGGAGCGCUUGUAAUUUCUCCCCACCAUCCCACUAUACUUGUGCCCCCCUCCCCAAGACAGAAAUAAUUUAAAGAGUAACUGUGCUCUGCAAUGUGCCACCGCUGCAUUUUGCUGGCUGGAUUGCUUUGCAGCCAGGGAUGCUGUGGGAGCUAGGAAGAGCUGCCGCCCACAAUCUCAGAGGAGAGAGGAGCAAAAUAGAGAUGCAGGUUUCACAGGGAACAAAAGUUUAAAAGUUAAAGCUGGAAAUGGUGACAACAACAAGCCACCAUCCACCAAGUGAGGAACUCAAUUAGUCUGAAAGACAACUAUGGCGCUGUCUUUCCCCCCCCAAAAUGCUCUAAAUACGUACGGAUAUAAAAAUUUAAAACAAACUAUCUCUCUCUAUUGACUGCCUGGAUGACGGCCCUUUCCCUUCUCGUUUUUUCUUUAAACAUCCACUUUCAUAUUUAUUUAUUCUAAGCGCAAAGCAGCUGCGAUAAUUAGACUGUCAGAUUCGGUAAGUUAAUGAGGAGUCAGUGGAGUGGAAGCGUUUGCAUUUGUUAAGAUUGCUGAAGAAGGGAACCACCAUGCUUUUGCUUUUGCUCUGUCUUUUUGUCUCUCUCCUUCUCUCUCUCUCUCUCUCUCUCUCUCUCUCUCUCUCUCUCCCCUUCCCUCCCACCCUCCACUGGGUGGGAAGAAGAGAGCUUGGCAGCACAUAGGAAGAUUUGAAUCCUUUUGAUUAGCAGGCUGCAUUCCCACUACUGUUAUGCCAAAUUAUUUCUUUUCUGGGGCUCCUGGCAUUUAAAAAAAAGAGAAUUUCCAGAUAAGAAUCCUACGAGGGCAGGAAGCAUGGCUAGAGAAUCCUAGCUUCACUCCACACACCCUCCAGAUGGAAAAGGGAAACUUGUGGAAGUUUCUGGGCUUCUUUUUAUUAUGAUAUUAGGAAAAUACUAACGCACGUUUCUUCCUCUUUACAUUUUUUUAAAAAAAACAAAGUACAGUGGUACCUCGGGUUAAGUACUUAAUUCGUUCGGGAGGUCUGUUCUUAACCUGAAACUGUACUUAACCUGAAGCACCACUUUAGCUAAUGGGGCCUCCUGCUGCUGCCGUGCCGCCGGAGCACGAUUUCUGUUCUCAUCCUGAAGCAAAGUUCUUAAUCCAAGGUACUAUUUCUGGGUUAGCGGAGUCUGUAACCUGAAGCAUAUGUAACCCGAGGUACCACUGUAACUAUAAAGAGAAUUGGGUUGUUUUUUUCCUGGGAGGAUUAAAGGUAAAGGUAAAGGGACCCCUGACCAUUAGGUCCAGUCGUGACCGACUCUGGGGUUGCAGCGCUCAUCUCGCUUUACUGGCCGAGGGAGCCGGCGUACAGCUUCCGGGUCAUGUGGCCAGCAUGACUAAGCCGCUUCUGGCGAACCAGAGCAGCGCACGGAAACGCCAUUCACCUUCCCGCCAGAGCGGUACCUAUUUAUCUACUUGCACUUUGACGUGCUUUUGAACUGCUAGGUUGGCAGGAACUGGGAUCGAACAACGGGAGCUCACCCCGUCGCAGGGAUUCGAACUGCCAACCUUCUGAUUGGCAAGUCCUAGGCUCUGUGGUUUAACCCACAGCGCCAUCCUCCUCCCUGGGAGGAUUACUGGGACUGAAAUGUAGAAAUGCUGGACAACUUCACAUAUUGCCCGAAGUGCUGCACAGUAAAAGCACAAGUGUCCGGGAUAAGGAGGGCCGGCUCUAUCAUUGGGCAGAGUGAGGCACCCAUCUCAGGCAGCAGAUGCUGGGGGGAACUGGGACCGGUGGCAAGGUGUUGGAGGACAGGCAUUGCUUGACACACACACAGGAAGAACAUAGGAAGGCUACCUUGAACUGAGUCAGACCUAUAGCCCAUUGCAUUGGGCUCAAUAUUGUCUACAGUGACUUGGAGCAAGUCUCCAGGAUUUCAGACAAGGAUCUCUCCCAGCCCUUAAGCCAAAAGAAAGAGGCUGGGGAAUGGAAAACAGUCCAUAAUUGGGACAGGUUAGCCAUCCAGGCUGCAAUGUAUGGUCUGAGAGAGAGAUGGAGUGCCAAGCCAAGGCUGAUGGUCAGACAAAGUCUAGGUGUGACUAGUUGUUGUUUUUUAAUCCCCCAGCAUCCCAUCAAAAAAGCCAUCAAAAGAGGUGACCUGGAAGACUUGUCAGGGGGGGUGGGAACCCCAUCAGUUUAGUCUGAUAAGCAACUGGCUAACUGGAGCCAAGGAUAAUGGUUCAGGAACCAUUCCCUGCUGUGCAGCGAUAACAAGCAACUGACUCAUCCACUUUGUGUGCUUCCAGGCUCAUGUAGGAUCAGGGAACAUGUAUAAUCUGUGCCCACAAUCAGAUCUUGCACAUCUCACAGGGAGGAAGAUGUGCACACACACAACCUCAAGAUUACAAAAAAGUGGAUUCAUUAGUCACUGGGAUGUUGGCUCUUUGACACGUCUUGUAACGUGCAAAGCUACCCCAUUGCUUGCUUGUUAAAUAAUGGGGAUGUGUGACUUUUUGCCAGUAAAUCAACUGAUUGCCAGUUUACUACUAGAACUGCAGAGUGAACAUGUUUCUUUCCACGUUUGUAGUUUCCAGUGGUGGUUUCAUGUUAAAAUUACUUUGGGAAGGAGUCCAGGAAUAGUUUGCUGCUGGUCCCUAUGGUAUGUUUCAGUCUGUGAAUGAAUUUCUGGAGCAGAUUGCCUGACUCCCUUCAUUAACCUGGUGUUUCCCAGAUACUUUGGAGUAUAACUCCCACCAGUCCCAGCUACCACAGCAGAUAGGAGUUGUAGUCCAAAAUAUCUGGGGAGUUGCUGGCUUGCAAAGGCUUGGACAUAGCAUAGCUACUGGGUUUUUAAAAAAAGUUAUCAUAAAUGUUAUUAAAAUGAUAGAUUCCACUAGAAGAGGGGUUGAGAACCUACAGAUGUUGUGGGACUCAAGCUCCCAUCAUCUCUGACCAUUGGCUAUAUUGGCCGAAGCUGAUGGGAGUUGGAGUCCCAAUAUUUGGAGAGCAAUGGGUUAUCCAUCCCACUUGCACUGGUGUAAAGGCUCUCCACGAAAUCUGGGGAAGUUCACCCAGGAAUAAGCUUACUCCUGUGUCAAGCAGCAUCACAUAGGAGCAGUUUUCUUUCAAGACAAGCAAUGUGGGUCACCAUCAAGGACAGAUUUGACGCAGUGCAGGCUCCCCUGUAUUGCUCCCCUGUAACUGAUGCUUGGCUUCUUUGUUUCCUUCAUAGCACAGUCCAUCUUCACGGUUCCUGGAGUGAAGCUGAAACCAGAAAUGUGUGAUCUCUUUGCUCCAUACGAGAAGGGUCAUCUCAAAAUCAGCUCCAGCAAGUUUUGGUGAAAAGAACAAACGAAGUGUGGACUUCUUUUCUGGGGCGAGGAAGUCAACGGAUGCAGUUCAUCGUCACUAUUUGAGUCUGAGCUUGCCCUUAAAACUAAGAAGUGAUCAUAGAAAAUAGGAACAGACUGUAUUAUAGGCAUAAGUAAAAGGAGCAAAAUAUUUCCCCCCUUUAGGUUUCAGGAUUAAGUGCAACUAUCAAUGUGUCCUGGGACCAUUUGAUUAAGGGUGGGCUAUACGAACAGAUUCCUGCCAACCUAGCAGUUCGAAAGCACGUCAAAGUGCAAGUACAUAAAUAGGUACCACACCAGCGGGAAGGUAAACAGUGUUUCCAUGCGCUGCUCUGGUUCGCCAGAAGUGGCUUAGUCAUGUUGGCCACAUGAGCCGGAAGCUGUACGCCGGCUCCCUUGGCCAAUAAAGCGAGAUGAGCGCCGCAACCCCAGAGUCGUCCGCGACGACCUAAUGGUCAGGGGUCCCUUUACCUUUAUACGAACAGGUAAUAAUGUAAUAGAUUGGGGGGGACCCCUCCUAAAUCCUAGACAUUAAUAAAUGGUUUGUUGUUGUUUAGUCGUUUGCAGAUUGCAAAUUAAAAGGAAAUGUUGUUGUUGUUUAGUGUUUAGUCGUGUCCGACUCUUCGUGACCCCAUGGACCAGAGCAUGCCAGGCACUCCUGUCUUCCACUGCCUCCCACAGUUUGGUCAAACUCAUGCUGGUAGCUUCGAGAACACUGUCCAACCAUCUCAUCCUCUGUUGUCUCCUUCUCCUUGUGCCCUCCAUCUUUCCCACCAUCAGGGUCUUUUCCAGGGAGUCUUCCCUUCUCAUGAGGUGGCCAAAGUAUUGGAGCCUUAGCUUCAGGAUCUGUCCUUCCAGUGAGCACUCAGGUCUGAUUUCCUCAAUAAAUGGUAGGAUUUUGAUUAUUUGGAAUGUGAAGGGAGAAAUACAAGCUGCAGAGGAACUCCUGGGCCAGCCCAUGCAAAAUGACCUGGCCAAGCUAGGGCCAUUAAGAAACAAAACAGGGCCAUUGAGGACCGAGGCCAGCUGGCACCAACACCAAUCAAGGUCGGCGAGACUGGAUGUAUAUAUGAAGGCCUACAGAGCUGGGCCUCAGAUCCAGCCUGAAUCAUAAUCUGGUGCUCUUUCAUUGGUCAGAAGACCAAGAAAGAAGGUAGAUAAGGGACUGUGGUUGUAGUGACCCAAGAGAGCUAAUCUUGCUGGGGAAAGGGCUUUGGCCACACUGUCGCAACACUGGAGCAAGCCCACAGCUCCUAAAUCCAAGGUCUGCACUUUGUGUUAGCUAUGAGUUAUAAGAAGGACAUUUUCCCUUUGUUUUGAAGAGGCUCACCACUCUCAACUUUAUUUUUACUGAGUGCUACAGCAAAAGUUUUCACAGCACAAACAACACUGCACACAGCAAAAGCAACAGCGAAAGACAGUUUGAGCUGCAAGUUCAUUUGGGUCAAGCAAAAGCCAAGCUUUUUUUCCAUUUUUAAAAGAGAAAAGACAUUUUCUAUCACAAAAAUAAAUUGGAUUUGGCUGUGCUUUUGUAAUUAGCGAAUCUCUGAUGUUUACAUCAAUCUAUGGCUGACUUCAAAGGGAUGUGGGUGGCACUGUGGGUUAAACCACAGAGCCUAGGACUUGCCAAUCAGAAGGUCGGCGGUUCGAAUCCCCGCAACAGGGUGAGCUCCCGUUGCUCAGUCCCUGCUCCUGCCAACCUAGCAGUUGGAAGUGCAAGUAGAUAAAUAGGUUUAACCCACAGUGCCGCACCGGCGGGAAGGUAAACGGCGUAUCCGUGCGCUGCUCUGGUUCGCCAGAUGCGGCUUAGUCAUGCUGACCACACGACCCGGAAGCUGUACGCCGGCUCCCUCGACCAAUAAAGCAAGAUGAGCACCGCAACCCCAGAGUCGGCCACGACUGGACCUAAUGGUCAGGGGUCCCCUUUACCUUUACCUUACAGAAGGCUAGUUUCUAUGCUCUCACCCACCCCUCCCGAUCCUUCAUCCACGAAUCUGAUCAGGUAGCCUCCAGAAAUAGCAUGUUUCACUCAGAGUUUGUUAAUGAAUAUAUUAUUUAUUUAACAUAAUCAAAACCUCCAGCCUUUCCCGUUAAUAAACAACGUACAGUCAUACCUCAGGAUAAAUACGCUUCAGGAUAAGUAUUUUUGGGUUGCGCUCCGCGGCGACCCGGAAGUAACAGAGUGCGUUAUUUCCGGGUUUUGCCACUCGCGCAUGUGCAGACGGUCAAAAUGACGUCACGCACAUGCGCAGAAGCGGCGAAACGCGACCCGCGCACACGCAGACGCACAGUCGCGUCUUACGUUCUGUUCAGGAUGCGAACGGGGCAACCCCAGAGUCGGUCACGACUGGACCUAAUGGUCAGGGGUCCCUUUAUUUAUGGCUGACUUACACCAGCAUAGAUGCUAACAGAAUCUGGUUACGGGCCAUGUCUUCCUUCUCUGACGACACAUCUCAGCAGUAACAGAGGAAACAGAUGUCCUGAGUUGCAUAUUAUCUUUUGUUUAGAAAGCAGUGUCAGUAAGAUUGACUUGGCAACCGAGAUGUUAACAGUGUGGUCUGAUUUCUGGACCCUUAGGAUAAAUCUGACUGUCCCUUGAUAAAGAGAUUGCCAGACCAGGAGCUGGGUGGACAAACAGAACAGAUGGGAGCCGAUAAUUUCAAGAAUGUAUUGACUGAUCCAAGGCUUAGGGACAGACUUGUCAUUCCUGGGGUUGGUUUCCGAUCUUUCCCAACAAAGGGAUUCCUGGCGGAAGGAGAGGAUUAGAUUAAAGUCAAGUCUCUGGGGAAAGAUGGCUCAUUGGAUGAAGUCAACAAAAGGAAUUGUUUAAUAUUUGUUACACUGUCCUAGAGAGACCUUCCACCAUCGCUAAUGGGAUUAUCAUUAUACCAGUUCCACGCCAAUGGAGUAUUCAAAACGUGCCGAGUGGGUGGAUGACUUCGCUAAAUUCAACUGUUCCAUCACAAAUAUGUCUGCUUUUGAAAAAGAAAAGGAUGGCAAGUGAGCUUAUAUGGAUCCAGCCAAAGAUUUUUGGUGGUGGAAGUUUUCAGCGGAGGCCAGUGAUCUUCUAGUGAGUCAGAAGCACAUUUUUAAUCUCCUUGAUCUCUGCAUUCUUGACAGAAUGACAGAAUGUCAAUAGGAAAGGUGCUCUUAAGCGACUUCUGAUGUGUAGGCAUCUUUUGAGUCCUUUCAUAGACAGCGCAUUCUCACAGCAUUUCUCAUCAGAAUUCGUUUCCAGAGAGAACAAGAAAACUCAAGGCUUGCUCUUGUGUUUUCCUCCAGUCUGCCAAGGCAAACUUGCUUAUCUCCAAAUAAUCAGGCCCACAACUGAGGGAAAUAAAUAUAGAGACGAUAAAAGUCAUUAGCAAUUAUAUAACUAAGUCCAUGAAAGUUAAUUGCCCAUCUGCCCACACAGAUCUGUAUUAGUCAUUUGUGGCCUAAAAGAAACAAUUUAAAAAAAAAAAAAAAAAAGAUUGCCUAGAGGUGAAUCUUACUCACCACAGCUGGCUAGACAACUAAAAACCCUAGCCUGUUUGCAUGAGUACGCUCCUAAAUCAUGCCACAAUUAGUCAAAAGGAUUAUUCUGCAAAGUCUGAACUAGAUAGCCCCGUGCCUUACAAAUUAACCACAGAUAUCCAUACAUUAAAUCAUAAUGCACACAAGGAACCAUGAAUACCAAUAGAAAGUGGUAGUGAAAUUAGGGUCCGUGCUCCAGUUUUACCGGUAAUUUAGCUUUGUUGUUGUUGUUUAGUCGUUUAGUCGUGUCCGACUCUUCGUGACCCCAUGGACCAGAGCACGCCAGGCACUCCUGUCUUCCACUGCCUCCCGCAAUUUGGUCAAACUCAUUCUGGUAGCUUCGAGAACACUGUCCAACCAUCUCAUCCUCUGUCAUCCCCUUCUCCUUGUGCCCUCCAUCUUUCCCAACAUCAGGGUCUUUUCCAGGGAGUCGUCUCUUCUCAUGAGGUGGCCAAAGUAUUGGAGCCUCAGCUUCAGGAUCUGUCCUUCCAGUGAGCACUCAGGGCUGAUUUCCUUCAGAAUGGAUGGGUUUGAUCUUCUUGCAGUCCAUGGGACUUUCAAGAGUCUCCUCCAGCACCACAAUUCAAAAGCAUCAAUUCUUCAGCGAUCAGCCUUCUUUAUGGUCCAGCUCUCACUUCCAUACAUCACUACUGGGAAAACCAUAGCUUUUACUAUACGGACCUUUGUUGGCAAGGUGAUGUCUCUACUUUUUAAGAUGCUGUCUAGCUACCUUGUAUAUUAUUUUAUGCUAUUGUGGGCUGUGUGAGGUAAAGCCACCUGAUCGUUGACUUUAUCAUGCCAUUUUCUCGUUUCUCAUUUUCUCAUCAGGAUUAAUCCAAACCCCAGCCUUUCACAGUGGCAUUUUUUUGGUACAGGUCAUUCACAAAAACCUCACAACAGGAUCACAGCAAACCCAUCCUCUGACAACUUCGUGACACCUUCAAAUAAUUUGAGAAUAUACCAACAUGUGGAACUAUGUCAUGCAUGAAGAUGGAGGGAGUGGGGAGCGAAAUUGUGGAGAAAGGAGAGAGAAAGUAUGUGUUAAGAUGUACCAAGAUAGGGUUUUCUUCCGUUUUAAAAAAGGCCUUUAUCAGAGCAAAUGUUAACAUUUUGGUGAAAGGAGAGGGGCAUGUUUUUCCCCAGUCAAUUCAAGUACUGGCUUGCGGAGGCAAAAUACUGCAAUAUUCUUUGGGUUCCCUCACCCCUAGACCAUCGAACUGUGUGCUAAAGUAGCAUACUUUGUGAACGGUCCUUGAGUAACAAACAAAUUGACUAUCGUAUUAUUUACCCAAAAAAAAUCGUUAUUAUUUCUUUUUACAAGUAUGUGGUUUUUUAAAAAAAUAAAAUAAAAUAAAUGAAAUUCUUCUUCAUUUCCUCCUCCUCUUCCACAAAGUGAAUUUCAUGGCCAAUUUUUUAAAAAUAAACAACAACCAACCCAAAGGAGAACGAAGCCACAGAUCUCUUGUCUAAACGCUGACACAACUGUAGCCAGAACGGCAAACAAUGGGCAAUAUUCUCUCAGAAACCCAGCAAAAAAAUCCCUCACACAACCUGUGACUGCGUUUGGGGAAACGCAGAUUAAAAAAAAAAGCCCCGUCUUGGAUCAUGGGAAGGUGUCACCUCAGUAAUGAUACCAGGGACAGAGAUAAAAGUCCCCUGGCUCUGGUCAUGAGACACAGCUUCAUUACUCGCACAGCGGGUGGUCCUGUGGCUCUCAACGCUUGCAUUUAUUUUUAUUUUUUUAUUUUUUUAUUCUCUGAUAAUGAGAAAAUGUUUAAACUCCCAUCCCUGUGUUUAAACACUUCUUCCUGCUGACAGCAGCAGGGAGAGCCCUUGAUCAGCUGUCAGGCUGAAAAGUGCAAUUUUUUCGGGAAAGUAAACAGCAUGUUUGCCAGUGGGAAAUAAUUUUCUAUUUGUUUGCACACUGUUAGUGCUGGGAGUGAUGGAGCCAUGUCAAAGUAGUUGAUUGACUCAGAGAUAGGGAAUAGCAAAUGGGCCGGGGGGGGGGGGAGAAAAAUGCCCUUUAUUGUGUGCUUUUGGUAACAAGAGCCUGCGAUUUCGGAGAUUUCACCGCACACCAACAUUUUGAGGCUCAGUUUGGGCACCUCCCUCUGUGUGAGCCUCUGAAUCAGUGCGGUGCAGAAAGAAUAAUGGGGAGUUGCGGCGCAGUUCAAUAUAAAAAUCUGUCGUAUGAAGAACAUUUUACAAACCAGGUGUUCUUUUAUAUAUAAUACCCCAGAUGACACAUGAUUUACACCUGUCUAUGUAUUUCUCGGGGGCGCAGGUGGCACUGUGGUCUAAACCACAGAGCCUAGGGCUUGCGGAUCAGAAGGUCGGCGGUUCGAAUCCCCGCAACGGGGUGAGCUCCCGUGGCUUGGUCCCUGCUCCUGCCCACCUAGCAGUUCGAAAGCUCGUCAAAGUGCAAGUAGAUAAAUAGGUAACGCUCUGGCGGGAAGGUAAACAGCGUUUCCGUGCGCUGCUCUGGUUUCACCAGAAGCGGCUUAGUCAUGCUGGUCACAUGACCCGGAAAAACUGUCUGCGGACAAACGUCGGCUCCCUCGGCCAGUAAAGCGAGAUGAGUGCCGCAACCCCAGAGUCGUUCGCGACUGGACUUAACUGUCAGGAGUCCUUUACCUUUUUACCUUUAUGUAUUUCUCAUAUAAGCUACUCAGUUGCUAGAUUUUACAAAGUGCGGUAGACUGGGGAGGUCUGCUUACCUUAACGAUAUUUUCACAUGAGCAUGCAGUGAUCAAAUGGAUCACAUCUCAGAUACAGUCACCUAUUGCUGCUGUUUUAAUAUAUUUUAAAAUUUUGCUGUAUGACUUUAUUCCAGGCCGCUCUGAGUACAGUGGUACCUCAGGAUGCGAACGAGAUCUGUUCUGGAGCCCCGUUCGCAUCCUGAACAGAACGUAAGACGUGACUGUGCGUCUGCGUGUGCACGGGUUGCAUUUCGCCGCUUCUGCGCAUGUGCGUGACGUCAUUUUGACCGUCUGCACAUGCGCGAGCGACAAAACCCGGAAAUAACGUGCUCUGUUACUUCCGGGUCACCGCGGAGCGCAACCCAAAAAUACUUAUCCUGAAGCGUAUUUAUCCUGAGGUAUGACUGUACGUUGUUUAUUAACGGGAAAGGCUGGAGGUUUCAAUUAUGUUAAAUAAAUAAUAUAUUCAUUAACAAACUCUGAGUGAAACAUGCUAUUUCUGGAGGCUACCUGAUCAGAUUCGUGGAUGAAGGAUCGGGAGGGGUGGGUGAGAGCAUAGAAACUAGCCUUCUGUAAGGUAAAGGUAAAGGGGACCCCUGACCAUUAGGUCCAGUCGUGGCCGACUCUGGGGUUGCGGUGCUCAUCUCACUUUAUUGGCCGAGGGAGCCAGCGUACAGCUUCCGGGUCAUGUGGCCAGCAUGACUAAGCCGCUUCUGGUGAACCAGAGCAGCACACGGAAACGCCGUUUACCUUCCCGCCGGAGCGGUACCUAUUUAUCUACUUGCACUUUGACGUGCUUUCGAACUGCUAGUUUGGCAGGAGCAGGGACAGAGCAACGGGAGCUCACCCCGUCGCGGGGAUUUGAACCGCCGACCUUCUGAUCGGCAAGUCCUAGGCUCUGUGGUUUAACCCACAGCACCACCUGCGUCCCUAGAUAUUCAGAGGUAGUACAUCUCUAAAUAGGUAAAGGUAACUGAACGGUUAAGUCCAGUCGUGACCGACUCUGGGGUUGCGGUGCUCAUCUUUCUUUAUUGGCGUACGCCGUUUAGCUUCCCGCCGGUGCGGUACCUAUUUAUCUACUUGCUCCUUGACGUGCUUUCGAACUGCUAGGUUGGCAGGAGCAGGGACCGAGCAACGGGAGUUCCCCCGAUUGCCAGGAUUCGAACCAUGACCUUCUGAUCGGCAAGUCCUAGGCUCUGUGGUUUAACCCACAGCGCCAUGUACAAAUGUAAAGUUUAGUGUCCUUGCUCCACUUGCAUUCCCUCUGACCCUGCCCACAAUUAGCAUGUGGCCCUCAGAAAGCUUCUCAGAAAGAAAUGCGGCCCUUGAGCUGUGAAAGUCCCCCCCCCCUUGCUUGGUACUGUGACUUUGCCCUAACCUAACCGGCAUUGCGCCCAUACAGGUUUAAAUGCUUUCGUACUUUUUGGAGUACCGACAGCUUUCGAUAUACAGCUCUAUCUAAAUAUAUGAAGCCCUAGCGUCACUGACAAGAGGCAUUCUUUUGCGCUUACCUGGAAGAAGCUUGGCAGCAAAUUAAUCUGUUCGCAACUGUAAGAAGCAUGAAUAGGCCAACUGCAGGGAAGGUUGCUUAAGAAACUGAACGCCUGCCUCUUCCUCUCGGCCCCUGAGGGCAGCGGCUUAAGAGUGCGGCACACAAACGUUUGAAAGACGCAAGUGACUCAUGACACCAAAACUGAUCUCUGAUCAACCCAGGCAUUUGGCAGCUGGACAGAUUUUCAGUCUUAGAAAAGGUUUCCCAGCUAUCAUACCCUACCGGAGGAACACGCUCACAGCCUAAAAGUUCCUCUUUCGUUCCCUGCCAUUUGCACCUUUUCCUUCUCUGCUUUUCUCCUUCCAAAGGGAAUGCCAACAUGGCAGCUUUCUGUACAGUGGUACCUCAGGUUAAGUACUUAAUUCAUUCCGGAGGUCCGUACUUAACCUGAAACUGUUCUUAACCUGAGGUACCACUUUAGCUAAUGGGGCCUCCCGCUGCCGCCAGAGCACGAUUUCUGUUCUCAUCCUGAAGCAAAGUUCUUAACCUGAAGCACUAUUUCUGGGUUAGCGGAGUAUGUAACCUGAAGCAUAUGUAACCUGAAGCGUAUGUAACCCGAGGUACCACUGUACUACUUUUCAUAUACAGAAGCAUGGAGGGGAGUGUAUAGGCUUGGCUCCAAAUAUAAGUUAACUCAUGGGUAGGCAAACUAAGGCCCGGGGGCUGGAUCUGGCCCAAUCACCUUCUAAAUGCAGCCUGCGGACGGUUUGGGAAUCAGCGUGUUUUUUCAUGAGUAGAAUGUGUCCUUUUAUUUAAAAUGCACCUCUGGGUUAUUUGUAGGGUCUGCCUGGUGUUUUUACAUGAGUAGAAUGUGUGCUUUUCUUUAAAAUGCAUCUCUGGGUUAUUUGUGGGGGCAUAGGAAUUCGUUCACCCCCCCCCCAAAAAAAAAAUAUAGUCCAGCCCUCCACAAGGUCUGAGGGACAGUGGACCGGCCCUCUGCUGAAAAAAAUUGCUGACCCCUGUUAAAGGAGGUUCGCUGGAGGAAUAUUCCAAUAUCCAUAUUGGGGCAAUACCUUUAUCAGACCAACGCAAAUGUCACAAAGCUUUUGAGCUCUCCAGAACUCAUCAGUAGGCUACAUGGUCAACAACACAAAGGGAAAAAACAAAGUGGCUCUUUAUUAAGCCAUGCACACCCCAUCCCAUCCUUGUCACCUGAACCCAUGUUCAUGGUUAAGCUCUCUACAUACCAACCAUGUGCUGUAGCCAAGACCAAACUUUGGCUGCAACUUGUGGUUAGUUAAGAGCUUAAUCACAAUCCUAGAUUAGACAACAUGGCAUAGCACAGGAGGAAAAAGGACCAGGGAGUUCCUCUUCCAGAGGGUCCCAGUAAGCCAUAAUUUGGCUUUGCUGACCAUGUCAUGCACAAAAAGUCAACACACACACACAUACACAUGGGUGGCGUUGUGGUCUAAACCACCAAGCCUCUUGGGCUUGCCGAUUGCAAGGUCAGCGGUUCAAAUCCCCACAAUGGGGUGAGCUCCUGUUGCUCAGUCCCAGCUUCUGCCAACCUACCAGUUCAAAAGCAUACCAGUGCAAGUAGAUAAAUAGGUACCGCUCUGGCGGGAAGGUAAACAGCGUUCCCAUGUGCUCUGGUUUCCGUCACGGUGUCCCGUUGCGCCAGAAGCGGUUUAGUCAUGCUGGCCACAUGACCCGGAAAACUGGUCCGCGGACAAACGCUGGCUCCCUCUGCCUGAAAAGUGAGAUGAGUGCCACACCCCAUAGAGAAUUCGACUGGAUUUAACCGUCCAGAGGUCCUUUACUUUUACACGCACACAAUAUCUAAUACGCCCCAGAGAUCUUGCAACACAGGCGCUCUAAACGCUUGCAAUCCAAAUUCACAUUUUCGUAUUGAUUAGUUCUUUCCUUUUGCUUACUUGACACAGGCCUGCAAUGCUUCAGGGAGUGGCUUCCUCAGAACCAAUUUAUUAUGGAGUGUUUUAGUAAUGUUCUCUAUUAAUAUCCUCUGCAGGUGAUUCAGAAUUGCUUUCCUUUUCUUAACAUAGUGGUACCUCGGGUUAAGAACUUAAUUCGUUCUGGAGGUCCGUUCUUAACCUGAAACUGUUCUUAACCUGAAGCACCAUUUUAGCUAAUAGGGCCUCCCGCUGCCGCUGCGCCACCGGAGCACGAUUUCUGUUCUCAUUCUGAAGCAAAGUUCUUGACCCGAGGUACUAUUUAUUACUGGGUUAGCGGAAUCUGUAACCUGAAACGUCUGUAACCUGAAGCAUAUGUAACCCAAGAUACCACUGUAUAUGUGACUCUUACAUCGUUGUGAGAAACUGUUGGUUAGCCUUCUUGUCCGAUGUGGCUCAGUAUUUGCACACAAUUUAAUCAGCAAGGGAAAGAGCAAAACGAGGAUUCUGGAAUUAACUGGGGUGGUGGUGGGUGUCGUCGCCCCCCUACUCUGUUUUUCCUUAUAGCAGUAUGCUUUCCUAGAAGCUGGAUGUAACAGAAACUGUACACCAUGCAACAGCAUUUAAUGAUUUAUUAUUGUAGAAGAAAAACAUUUUUUUUAAUAACUGCCCCCCCCAAAAAUAUCUAGCUCGGAAGGAGGGUUGAAAUUAAGGCCAACCUAUUUGCAUUGUGAAUAAAAGCUACCCACUCUCUAAGAAAAUGCAGAAAUUAUCAGUGCCCUCUAAUGAACUCUGGGGGAUCUGGGCCUUUGAUAUGGAUCUUGCUGCUGAAGAGGAAGGGCGGGGGGGUUUCUAGCCAGACUGAAGCCCAGCAUGGUGUGGAGGGUGGUGGGCAACCCAAUCUCCCUCAGAGUGAGAGAAAAGAAAUGGGAUUAUUGUUUUUUUCCUUCUUGUCUCUCCUGUGAGAAGGCCCAGCUGGGACCCAAAAAUGGAAGCAAGAAGAGUUACCGAAGAUUGAAGAAUGGAGGGUGAAGUUAAUGGAGUAUGCAGAAUUAGAUAAACUAACAGGAAGGAUUCGAAACCGGCGAGACCAGAAAUUCACGGAAGACUGGAGUAAAUUUACGGACUAUUUGAAAAGUAAUUGUGAAGAACAGACGACGUUUGUAGGGUUGCAAGAAGUUUUGUGAGGAGUAUUAUUGGAAGUAUUGCAAAAAUGGACAAGGGGGAGGAUGAUUUGUUAAGAGAUGUAAAGGCAAAAUAAAGUUAAGAAAUGCAUAAGAAGUGGUUAAAACGGUGGAUCAUCAGAGAUGCUGAUGGAAGUCUAAAAAGAUUGUAUAAGUGAUAAGUUUUGUGGUACAUUUUAUAAUUUAUAUGUUAAAAUUAAUAAAAAAUAUUAUAUAAAAAAAGAGAAGGCCCAGCUGGGGAGUUAAAUCCAGCCUUGUUUAAUCAGUACCAUAGCCAUCUUCACAAAAACCAGAAGCAAACCCACAUCUUUCUCAAACUGAGAAUGAGUCAUCCUGAGGUUAGAACAUCAGUGACAGGAGCAGCCAGACCUGUCUUCACAUUACAUUUGUGGCUACUUAAAGGGUGCGCAUGUUUGCAACCCGAUUCUCACAACCCUUCUUCCCUUGUGAAGCUUCAGUCAAUUCACACUUCAAUGGUCAUGUGAAGAAUAUAAAACCUACAUUGGCUAGAGCACGCAUUUGAUUUAUUUUCCAUACUCUGUGGCGCAUGGAGAACCUUUGGCCAUGACACAAAAAGCAUGUGAGAGGCUCAGAGACGCUCCUUGUUUUGCUUUGGUCUGUUCCAGAAGACACAGCGCGCUCAAAUGGAUAAAUCCUACUCCUUCUUUCCUUGAGGGAGGCUGGAUCAGAGCCACUUUGGUGUAGGGAUCUGUAGGAAUCACAUGUUCAUCUUGGGUCACAUCUGGUUCACGUUCAGACGACCUUUUUAUUUUUAGCAUUCAUUCCAAUUGGUUUGCAUAGAACUUAUACAGUGGUACCUCUGGAUGCAAACGGGAUCCUUUCCGGAGCCCUGUUCGCAUCCUGAAGUGAACGUAACACGUGACUGAGCGUCUGCGCAUGCGCAGGUCGCGUUUCGCCGCUUCCGCGCAUGUGUGUGACGUCAUUUUGGGCAUCUGCACAGGCAGCGAAACCUGGAAGUAACGCGCUCCGUUAUUUCUGGGUCGCCGUGGAGCGCAACCCGAAAAUAUUCAUCCCGAAGCUACUUCAACCCGAGGUAUAACUGUACAGUGGUACCUCAGGUUACAGACGCUUCAGGUUACAUACGCUUCAGGUUACAGACUCUGCUAACCCAGAAAUAGUGCUUCAGGUUAAGAACUUUGCUUCAGGAUGAGAACAGAAAUCGUGCUCCAGCGGCGCGGCAGCAGCAGGAGGCCCCAUUAGCUAAAGUGGUGUUUCGGGUUAAGAACAGUUUCAGGUUAAGUACGGGCCUCCGGAACGAAUUAAGUACUUAACCCGAGGUACCACUGUACCUCUGUUGAAAUUUACAAUUGGAUACAAUGAAUAGUAUACCUUAUUUAUCUAAGAACACAGCCAGUUAUGUGUUUAUUGAGGAUGCUUUACGUGACCAUAGGUUUGUAUGCGGGAAGGUAAACGGUGUUUCCGUGCGCUGCUCUGGUUCUCCAGAAGCGGCUUAGUCAUGCUGGCCACAUGACUGUACGCCGGCUCCCUCGGCCAAUAAAGCGAGAUGAGCGCCGCAACCCCAGAGUCGGCCACGACUGGACCUAAUGGUCAGGGGUCCCUUUACCUUUACCUUUAAUGCAAAUAAAUACAAUAUCAUGAUCUCACACAUUUUACAGCAAAAAUAAUAUCAAACAAUAAAUAUUUUCUACAUACCAUAUGUGAUAUUACAAGACAGUGGAUCUUAUGGCAUAGUAGUAGCUGUGGUAAGCAGCAAGUGUUAUAAAGUAGGGUUAUAUUGACAAGCACAAUAUUGAUUGGGUUACGUCUUGUGUGUGUAUUGAGAAUUCAAAAAGGACAACAUGCCCUUUUUGCCAAAACUGAUUCGUCUCCCCAAGCAGCUUGCAGGCAGUGCAGUGGGGUUGCCCAGAAUCCCUGCAAUGGCUAUAAAACGUAUGUGAGAGACUAUUAGCCUUGGGAACCUAAAUGACCACCAGCAGGGAUCAUUUAUUCCCAAUCAACAGAAGGAAAUGAAGGCCCCAGCUGUGCGGAAAGUGAGUUUUGCUUCCAAAUAUCAAGUAAAUGGUAUGUAUAGGUUCAAAAUAAUCAACAAUCCCACCACCACCAUCAUCAGAGCAUUAAGUUGAAUUUUACAUAUAUAAUAUAUAUAUUAUAAUAUGUAAUACAUAUAUGAUAGUAACAUUAAUGCAUAAGAUCCUUGUGGCUUCUGUUUGUUUGGGUUCACAGAGCUAUCAUAUUUUCAACCAUCCUUAAAACCACACAGGUGAGAAAUAAUAAUAAUAAUAAUAAUAAUAAUAAUAAUAAUAAUAUUAAUAAUAAUUUAUUUAUACCCCGCCCAUCUGGCUGAGUUUCCCCAGCCACUCUGGGCGGCUUCCAACAAAAUGCUAAAAUACAAUAACCUAUUAAACAUUAAAAGCUUCCCUAAACAGGGCUGCCUUUAGAUGUCUUCUAAAAGUCUGGUAGUUGUUGUUCUCUUUGACAUCUUGUGGGAGGGCGUUCCACAGGGCGGGUGCCACUACCGAGAAGGCCCUCUGCCUGGUUCCCUGUAACUUGGCUUCUCGCAGCGAGGGAACCACCAGAAGGCCCUCGGUGCUGGGGGUUGAGACGCUCCUUCAGGUAUACAGGAACCUUACAUCCAUUCCCCUCCCUUCCACGUGGCCCCGGGCACUGGCAACCCACGCUACACCACUAACUAAAACAGAUAUCGGAGGGAUUAAAUUGAAAGUGCUCGUGCGUAUAUGAAAGCACACAAAGGUGCACAUGGAAACAGUCAGCCAUGUAUACACAGUCAUGCCCUAGUGUGGACGCAGCCCAGGAUUACACGGUCAGCAUAUGUCCAGUGAAUUCUUAUUUCAAUUGCACAGAAGCCCUUGUUUCUUAGUUAGGGGAAUGACUUCUUUGCUCUUUCGGAAGGGAAACAGAAAAUGCGGUGCAACGGCAGACAAAGCUAAGGUAGAAGAGACAAGAGGUGAGGAGCCUGCCUUCUUAUUUUUGUAGCAUGGAGGGAAAAUGAGGAAUCCAGCUGUGAGUCUCCUCCAAUAUGCAGUCUGACAGUAUGGCAUGUGAGGUUUGAUCCUGCUCCAGGCAUGCUUCACAGGGAAUACUCUGUUCAAAGUAAUUAUCCUCUCGAACAGCCUAAGUAUUAAUUUAUGUUUGGUGAGGGAGGGGUGAAGGGAGAAUACUACCCUCGAUGGUAGGAGUUGAUUACAAAGUUAAUUUCACACAAUUUGCAUGCCUUGCCCACAAAGUUCUGGAGGGGCCUGAAGCUGGGGUCCUUUAGCGAUUAAUAAUAAAUAAUAAAUUUUUUUUAUUUAUACCCCGCCCUUCCCGGUUCAGAAAACCGGGCUCAGGGCAGCUAACAACAAAUUUAAAACACUUAAUUGAUGCAACAAAAAACAGCAUAAAAUACAGAAUAAAACGUGAAUAACAAUAAAUUCAAAAAUCAAUUUAGGGAGGAAAUCCAUCCAAUAAACAUUAGAUGACCACCAGGGCCAGCUGGCUAAAUUAGUCCUAUUUGGGCCAGCGAGGAGACCAGGGGAGAAUUAGCUGUGGGAUCCCAGAGUGGGUAAUCUUCAUGAACAGGGGAGGGGGAGGGAAGGAAGGGGAAUAAAAGAUCAGGCUAAGUUCAGAUUGAAAGCCAGGCGGAAUAGCUCUGUCUUACAGGCCCUGCGGAAGGAAGUUAAAUCCUGCAGGACCCUGCUCUCAUGGGGCAGACCAUUCCACCAGGUUGGAGCCAUCACUGAGAAGGCCCUGGCCCUGGUGGAGGAUAAUCUCAUAAACUAUGAUUAUUCAUGGCCCUUAAGGUCCUCUGCGGGGCAUACCAGGAGAGGCGGUCCCGUUAAUACAAGGGCUUUAAAGGUCAAAAGGCUUUAGGUAACGGUAAAGGGACCCCUGAUCAUCAGGUCCAGUCUUGGCCGACUCUGAGGUUGCGGCGCUCAUCUCGCUUUAUUGGCCGAGGGAGCUGGCGUACAGCUUCCGGGUCAUGUGGCCAGCAUGACUAAGCCGCUUCUGGCGAACCAGAGCAGCGCACAGAAACGCCGUUUACCUUCCCGCCGGAUUGGUACCUAUUUAUCUACUUGCACUUUGACGUGCUUUCGAACUGCUAGUUUGGCAGGAGCAGGGACCGAGCAACGGGAGCUCACCCCGCCGCGGGGUUUCGAACCGCCGACCUUCUGAUCGGCAAGUCCUAGGCUCUGUGGUUUAACCCACAGUGCCACCCACGUCCCAGCACCUUAAACGUAAGGAGACAGACAAACCAGGGAAGGGCUGCAAAACAGCCCAAGAGAGGAAAGCAGCUUUUAAAGGGAACACCAAGGCUAGUUCACCUUGUUGUCUUAAAGUUUCUGCUCUCAAUUAAUUUAGUUCGGAGAGGGAAUUUGCUGCAGAAGGUUGCCAGGACUAAGGGCAGCUGCGCUAUUCAGAAGAAAUACAUGUAUUCAAUUAAAAAUGAACUGAUAAGUUUCUCGUGUUACUUCUUCUGGUUGUAUUGGUAGACUUCUGACGUGCAUGCGUGCGUGCGGCUGAAACGAAAUACUAACGUUACUUUCAAUUACUUUCCAGAACAGUAGUGUAUUGGUCCAUAUUACUACUUUAAAACCAUCCAAUCCCUUAUAUCUCUGCCGGAUCACGGAGAUCUUUGUGGGUGUUGCUCUCUCCUAGCUCAAAUUUGACAGGCUCUCCUCUUUGUUGACCUUCAGGUGCCUGGCAAAGACCUUUCUCUUUCAGCAGGCAUUUUAAGAAAGCUUUCUAUUUUUAUAAUUAAUUUUUAUUUCCCAUAAUUUCUAUUAAAUCACUUCAUUAAUUAAGCAGGGUACAAAUACCGCAAACAAACAAAUGUCCUCCGAAUACAUUUUUGAGCGUAACCCAUACUUUUCCGUGUACAAGACUAGGAUAUUUUGUUUAAAAAUCAUGCUAAAAAAUGAGGGUAGGCUUAUACAUGGGUAGUGCAUAGGUUGGACAUUUGAUUGGUUGCUGCCGCAACUGUCAGCAGCUAUUGUGCGUGUUAUUGGUUGCUGUGUCAAUGGGUGGUAUUGAUUGGCUGUCGCUGCGGCAAUUGGGCGGGCAAUUGGCAGCUUCUGCCAGCGAGGGGACAGACGAGAGGCGAAUUUAGAGGCGCAUGCGGGUGAGCGAUUUUCGAAAACAACGCUGGGCUCUGCAAAAGAAGCUCAACAACUCUAUGCCAUCUCCCCCCAUUUUCUUAAAUUUGAGUCCCCCCCGAAAUAGGGGGCAUCUUAUACACAGAAAAAUAUGGUAAAUUCAAACCCACUGUGACUUAUUUCUGAGUAGACCUGUCUGGUAUUGGAAAUUCUAAUCUGAUGUAUCUCUUAAGUUGUGGGUGAACAUAUCAGAUGACACAGCGAUUCUUCAAACAGCUCUUGUUUAUUCACAGGCCAGAACAGAACUGAACUAAAGGGUUCAGCCAGCCUGCUAUAUAUAGAGCUCCACUAGAACGCAACUGUAACCACUUUCUGUAACUAUCCAAUCACUGAACGUCAUUUUCAAUCCCUUAUUUGCAUAUGUGGACCUGAGUGAAAACUAUCUCCAUAUCCCCCUGCUGGUCCAGGGUGAUACCUUCAAUCCAUAACAGUAUCCAUGAUGGAAACCGAGGCAAGGCAGUCUUUAUUCCAGAUUAGUCAAUCCCAAACACUUGUCUCUGACGCUGCUCAUCGCCAACUCUUUUCAACAGAAAAAUAAAAUAUUACCUACUCCUGAACUCUGAAAUAGUGCAUCUUUCACUGGAGGAUACAAAAGCCUUCCAAAAAAAGAAAAAGAAAGCACAGUGGUGAAGAUAAUCCAAAAUUCUGUUAAAAAAAUAAAAUAUACAAUAAAACAGCGAACAGAUCAGCCCUUCUGGAGUAAAAGGUAACUAUGCAUAAAAGAAAACAGAUAAACUAGAACUCACCAAGAGGCUUUGAGUCUGAAACUUCAAAGGAGGACGUCAAGUUAAUUCCCUUCAAACCUUUAAAAACAACCAACCUGAACAAAUAUACAAUUUUCAAUAAUUACUAAUUGAAAUCGCAUGACCAUAUAUCCCAGCAAAUCCCAGGCCAUGAAAUUACGGUACCCUUUUCAGAAUUUACCAUGUUGUUUUUCGUCAAUAUAGCCAUUAGUGUAACCUUGCCAAAGUUUACGAAAGGUUACCAAACAAUUAGGACGAAUAACCCUAAAACAUAGCAAGGAAUAUCCCUGGGAAAGUCCCAGGUACUCUCAAAGUUUUAGAUUCAGAUGAUAUGAGUAAUGCGUAUAUUUCCCUGUUUAGGGAAGCUUUUAAUCUUUGAUGGACUACUGUAAAUAAAUAAAUAAAUAAAUAAAUAAAUAAAUAAAUAAAUGAUCCUUCGAGAUUAUAAGCAGAUCUUCUGGCGAAGCAAUCCUGUGUUGUUGGCUAUUAUUUCCAAUUCGACUCAAAUAGGUUUCUCUAAGAGAUGCGAUGCUGAACGUAUCACAUGCAAUCCCACCUGCAAAAAAAUGGAAUUUGAAAAGUGUGCAGCACUGUUUUUGUGGGUACCACAGCACCAAGGGAGGGGAGGUUUUAUAUGAAAAACAAACAAACUGGGGGAAGGGAGUAGCCAAGCCGGUUGCUGUUGCCGUCGUCGUCUCAGCAUCCCCAUCACCUCUUGCAGCAACACACAACAAGAAGUCUUGUUUACACCUUUCAGCCUAACAAAUUUAGUAUGGCAUUUGUGGACUCAUGCUCACAUCAUCAGGCGAAAACAGGAAAUCAGUCACUGUGGUUAAAAUACUUCCGAGAAGCCUAUGGCACGCACACCCAUCCUCAUCCCUUAUUGUAACUUGGCUUAAGUGCGUAACCAAAAUAAAUGCACCUUUACCCCUUGAAUGUGCUUCCCAUCUUUCUCUUGCCGUUAUGCUUGCCAUUAGUGCUAGGGACAUGGGUGGUGCUGUGGGUUAAACCACAGAGCCUUGGGUUUGCCGGUCAGAAGGUCGGCGGUUCGAAUCCCUGCGACGGGGUGAGCUCCCGUUGCUCAGUCCCUGCUCCUGCCAACCUAGCAGUUCGAAAGCACAUCAAAGUGCAAGUAGAUAAAUAGGUACCACUCCGGCGGGAAGGUAUACGCCGGAGUGUACGCCAGCUCCCUCAGCCAAUUAAGCGAGAUGAGCGCUGCAACCCCAGAGUUGUCCGCGACUGGACCUAAUGGUCAGGGGUCCCUUUACCUUUACAUGCCUAUGACAUGCUUUGCUAUACAUCCAUUCAGCCUUGACUUUCAAGAUGACUCACCAACCUGAACUUAGAUAGCUGAACAAAAGUGCUCCGAAAAUAAAUGUCACUGAGGGGUCAGGCCUCUCUGAACUAGACCAUAAUUUAAUUGCUGCCAUAGUGAAAGCGAAGCAUGCAGGAGUUGAGUGAUAUAACCCGAUACACUGAUGUCAAAGCCAGGCAUCUGAACACCUAGUAGUUUAAUUUUACUAGGGAUAUAAAUAGGGUUGAUAUUUCCUGCUGGCCCUGUAACAAUAAUUUAUUCCUCUGUCUCAGAUUCUGUUUUAUAGCGUAUCAGCCGGGAGAACAGAAUUCUACUUGGCCAUGUAAUGUGACUCAAAGAGUCUUAAUUCUGGCUAUUAAUAAUAAUAAUAAUUUUUUCUUCUUCUUUGGUGAUCACUCGUAGCCGAGUAAGAUUGUCUUCCAUGAACACGGUUUUAACAGUGAGUCCGUAAGUGACUGUGGAGGCCAAUUCUGGAUCCACACAUCCUUCCACAGUGGGGACAUUGGUUUCUGGGAGGGAGUUGAUCAUAAUGAGGGUUUGCCAAACGUGCCUUCCUCUUUGUGCGUUUCUUCCUUUCGUCCGGAAUUUGAGUGUCUUCCACAUCCAUGUCAUCUUUGGUAAAGGCUGUGCCCACGCAUUUGGCUACAUUGCCCCAAAACAUAUAAAACAUACCGGUAAUAAAACGUAGAACAUCAAGAACUUCCUGAUACAAGGUAGCAGGGCUGCCUUCAGAUGUCUUCUAAAAGUUCCCCAUCCAAUUCUAUAUAUGGGAUGGGAUGAGAUGGGGGAAUAAUCUUCUUGGGCCAAACUUGGUCCUCUGCCAUUGAGCUACUCACCACAAUGAUGUGAGGUGUGUUAGGCUGAGAAGAAUUUGGUCCAAGGGCACCCAGUGAGCUUCAUUGCUCCCUUGGUAGGAAUUGGAACAUGGUUCUUACUCCAAGUGAAACACUCCAACCACGAUCCUUGUGUUCCCAUUAAAAUAAAUUACAGUUGACUGGUGUAUGAGGGUUUCUCUAGGAGCGCAGAUCAUGGCAGGUUUUUUUUUGGCUAAGAGCACAUUUUGAGUUUUGAGGCAGUGCUGUGGGCUCCAGUCACAAAAUGGCCACCACUGGGUGUGGCCCAAGGCAAAAUGGCCACUCUGCUGGUGUAGAACAAAACAAAAUAAAUGCCAGGCGGUGUGUGAUGUGGCAAGAAAUGGCUGCCACAACUGAACGAGCAGAAAAAGCAACAGGUUUGGACAUGUCCCCUCCAUCAGUGUGUGUGUGUGUGUGUGUGUGUGUGUGUGUGUGUGUAGAUAUUUUCUCAUUGAGAGAAGCUCUCUGGUGUUAAGAAUAGAGUGGGAGUCCAAACUUGGCAUCCAAUGAAAUGUUUGGCAGAGAGGGUAUCCAAUCUAGGACCGACCCUCUAAGUGUCCCUAUUUUCCAGGGAUGUUCCUGAAUUUAGAGAAGCCAUCCCGGUUUCUGAUUUGAUCCCAGAAUAUCCCACUUCUCCUUGUUGUUGUUUAGUUGUUUAGUCGUGUCCGAUUCUUCGUGACCCCAUGGACCAGAGCACACCAGGCACUCCUGUCUUCCACUGCCUCCCGCAGUUUGGUCAAACUCAUGCUGGUAGCUUCGAGAACACUGUCCAACCAUCUCGUCCUCUGUCGUCCCCUUCUACUUGUGCCCUCCAUCUUUCCCAGCAUCAGGGUCUUUUCCAGGGAGUCCUUCACUUCUCAUGAGGUGGCCAACGUAUUGGAGCCUCAGCUUCAGGAACUGUCCUUCCAGUGAGCACUCAGGGCUGAUUUCCUUCAGAAUGGAUAGGUCUGAUCUUCUUGCCAUCCAUGGGACUCUCAAGAGUCUCUUCCAGCACCAUAAUUCAAAAGCAUCAAUUCUUCGGCAAUCAGCCUUCUUUAUGGUCCAGCUCUCACUUCCAUACAUCACUACUGGGAAAACCAUAGCUUUAACUAUACGGACCUUUGUCAGCAAGGUGAUGUCUCUGCUUUUUAAGAUGCUGUCUAGGUUUGUCAUUGCUUUUCUCCCAAGAAGCAGGCAUCUUUUCAUUUCAUGGCUGCUGUCACCAUCUGCAGUGAUCAUGGAACCCAAGAAAGUAAAAUCUCUCACUGCCUCCAUUUCUUCCCCUUCUGUCCCUAUUUUCUUUGGAGAAAUGUUGGAGGACAUGGAGUUAUGCAACCUCCAAGCCAAGGAGAUAAGUAUGGUGUUAUCCCACCCCGAGUCAUCUGAAGGCAAACCUGUAUAGGGAAAGUUUUUUUAAAAUUGUUUAAUGUUUUAUUAUGUUUUUAUAUAUGUUGGAAGCUGCCCGGUAUAUACUGGGGCAACCCAGUAAGAUGUGUGGGGUAUAAAUAGCAAAAUUAUCAUUAUGGAAUGGGACAUCCCUAUUUUCAUCAGAGAAAUGUUGGAGGGAUAGGCAGAACCAAAGCAAACAGGAACUGAGCAGGAAGAGUGAAGAGUCUCUCACAUGCCAUAGAUUUUUGAGGGGCUAUUGCAGACACCCUGGGCACAUUUAAGCUUUUGUUGGAUUGGAGGCCGUUCACAAACAGCCCAACUUCAGCCCUGUCUCAGGAUAACCACAGCUGCCUCUGCACUCCAUCGCAAUGUGAAGUGGCAUGAUUUCAAACACAUGAAGAGGCGGGACGCUUUGCGGCGGCUGUUUUACAGAAAGCGAAACCCCGUAGGCCUCCGGAUUCGGUGCCAGAGAUCAGCUUCCAUGUAGAAUCUGACACGUUUUGGAUCCCAGAAGGCAACCGGCGCCUGUCUCGCCUUUUGCGCAAUGACAGUGAGCUCCUGAUGGUUCAGACAGCCACAGAAAAGGAAGUUCUGCACAAGUGACCUUGAGCACUGGCGGCGCAGCAGGGAGCUGGUGUACUGAUGUAAAAAAAUAUGGCAGGAAGCACCCUUUGCAUCCCCUGCCCGGUUGAGAGAGAGGGCAGCUUGUCGCCAGGAAUUCAGCGCGCAAUAACCAAGAGGGUCUCGAAGGGGUUAACUGGAUUCUGCCUAUCUUUUCUGUUGAACUCAUUGAUUCAGGGGUGUUUCCACCCCCUCUCUCUGUUCCUAUUCCUUUCUUUUACUUUCUUCUUCUUUCUCUUGCAGCUGAUUAAAAACUCUUUUGAGUUUGAAGGGGCUUUUUUGUAUCAAAACAACUCAUCUGCCAGCUGGGUGCCAAGCAGUGAAUAUUCAUGGUAUUUAAAUGCGACAGCAUAGUAGGGUGGGUUGGGGGGGGGAAGGAUGGACUAGUUAUAGUUCUUUUUAGAUGGAGAUUAGCUGCCACUUUGCUCCUUAUGUUCUUAAUCAGGACCGUUGUUGAAAUAUUAAGGCUUCUGUUACUACGACUAAUGCCCCCUAAAUGAAGAACAGGCUCCUCUGAAUAACAUCAAAUGGUCACUUUUAAUUUCAAUACAGCAUUUCUUUCCACUUUGGGUGGAUGGGGAGAAAGAGCUGGCCUGACACCAUCCUGUUUGGUUUCAGAACCAGAAGGCAGUGAAGAACUUUGGCUGCUUAGUUAAAAAACACGUGCUUCUCGUCCUUUUCUUCAUCUGAGUUCAUCAUAAGGUAAAGGUAAAGGGACCCCUGACCAUUAGGUCCAGUCGUGGCCGACUCUGGGGUUACAGCGCUCGUCUCGUUUUAUUGGCCGAGGGAGCCGGCGUACAGCUUCCAGGUCAUGUGGCCAACAUGACUAAGCCGCUUCUGGCGAACCAGAGCAGCGCACGGAAACGCCGUUUACCUUCCCGCCAGAGCGGUACCUAUUUAUCUACUUGCACUUUGACGUGCUUUUGAACUGCUAGGUCGGCAGGAGCUGGGACCAAGCAACGGGAGCUCACCCCGUCGCGGGGAUUCGAACCGCCGACUUUCUGAUCGGCAAGUCCUAGGCUCAGUGGUUUAACCCACAGCGCCACCCGCGUCCCUAUGAGUUCAUCAUAUCCAACCUUUAAAUAAUGCUUUUUACCUGCAGUGGAAGCAAGCGCAUGCUUGCUCCAAAAAAGAAGCUCAAUUGUGCUGGAUGGGUUUCACUCCCUCAUAAACUACAUUUAGGAUUGCAGCUGGUUCAUAAGCUACCAGAGUUCACUCGAAUGAAAUUCAAAGCACAUCAGCCUGGGAGUCAUUUUGGACUCACAGCUGUCCAUGGAGGCGCAAGUCAAUUCUGUGUCCAGGGCAACUGUCUACCAGCUCCAUCUGGUACGCAGGCUGAGACCCUCCCUCCCUGCAGACUGUCUUGCCAGAGUGGUGCAUGCUCUGGUUAUCUCCCGCUUGGACUACUGCAAUGUGCUCUAUGUGGGGCUACCUUUGAAGGUGACCCGGAAACUACAACUAAUCCAGAAUGCAGCAGCUAUACUGGUGACUGGGAGUGGCCACCGAGACCACAUAACACCGGUCCUGAAAGACCUACAUUGGCUCCCAUUACAUUUCUGGGCACAAUUCAAAGUGUUGGUGCUGACCUUUAAAGCCCUAAAUGGCCUUGGCCCAGUAUACCUGAAGGAGCGUCUCCACCCCCAUCGUUCUGCCCGAUCACUGAGGUCCAGCUCUGAGGGCCUUCUGGCGGUUCCCUCAGUGAGAAGUGAGGUUACAGGGCCUUCUCGGUAGUGGCGCCCGCCAUGUGGAACGCCCUCCAAUCGAAUGUCAAAGAAAUAAACAACUAUCUGACUUUUAGAAGACAUCUGAAGGCAGCCCUGUUUAGGGAAGUUUUUAAUGUUCGAUGUUUUAUUGUAUUUUUAAUAUUUUCUUGGAAGCCGCCCAGAGUAAUAAUAAUUAUUAUCAGCAUCCGCAUCAUCACCACCAGCACCAUGAGAAUUAAUGAAAUUAAAAGCACAUAAUGAAAUGAUGCACCAUUGACUCCAGUAGUUCAUAUUGUUUUAUUAUGUUGGGUGCAUCAAUGCCGGAUUUAGGGCUGUGUAGAAGAAUUGAUGCUUUUGAAUUAUGGUGCUGGAGGAGACUCUUGAGAGUCCCAUGGACUGCAAGAAGAUCAAACCUAUCCAUUCUGAAGGAAAUGAGCCCUGAGUGCUCACUGGAAGGACAGAUCCUGAAGCUGAGGCUCCAAUACUUUGGCCACCUCAUGAGAAGAGAAGACUCCCUGGAAAAGACCCUGAUGCUGGGAAAGAUGGAGGGCACAAGGAGAAGGGGACGACAGAGGACGAGAUGGUUGGACAGUGUUCUCGAAGCCACCAGCAUGAGUUUGAUCAAACUGUGGGAGGCAGUGGAAGACAGGAGAGCCUGGCGUGCUCUGGUCCAUGGGGUCAUGAAGAGUCGGACACGACUCAACGACUAAACAACAACAACAAGGCAGUUCCCCCGCACAGGGCGCCGAACCGAGGGGAGCAGAAAACUAUGACAUAGCACACUUGAGAGCAUGCGCAGGAUGGAAGGCAAGAGGGUGCCAAAUUUUGUCGUCGUUCAGAGUGCCCUAUUACCAAAGGCUGCCCCAAGUGCAUUGUUCUGCAUGAGGAUUUAGGAACUAUGUCCAUAAGCUGUACAUGGGGGGAGGGCAGGAAUCGAUCCUCCUUCCAUUAAUUAAUGGCUAUCAAGCAUAUGGGGUAUGGCGUUACACAAUCAAAUUAAUUAGCAUUGUAAGAGUUAUAGAAAAGGGACGCAGGUGGCGCUGUGGGUUACACCACAGAGCCUAGAACUUGCCGAUCAGAAGGUCGGCGGUUCGAAUCCCCGUGACGGGGUGAGCUCCCGUUGCUCGGUCCCUGCUCCUGCCAACCUAGCAGUUCGAAAGCACGUCAAAGUCAAGUAGAUAAAUAGGUACCACUCUAGCAGGAAGGUAUACGGCGUUUCCAUGCGCUGCUCUGGUUCGCCAGAAGCGGCUUAGUCAUGCUGGCCACAUGACCCGGAAGCUGUACGCCGGCUCCCUUGGCCAAUAAAGCGAGAUGAGCACCGCAAUCCCAGAGUCGGUCACGACUGGACCUAAUGGUCAGGGGUCCCUUUACCCUUUACCUUUAAGAGUUAUAGAAGGCUGGUGUUUGGACAAUAAUUUCAGUGGGAGGAAUUGAACUGUUAUCAUGGCUCUCGCUUGCCUCGAUGAAUGGAGAGGUGUUUGUGUGCAGAAACCUCUGUUGAUGGGAUGUAGCCAACACUCAUUGUUCUGCACACUUUUUGGCUAAGGCCACAACCUCUUCUGUUCUUGAAUUGCCUCCUACUGGCAAUGUAUAACUUCAUUAUUAUUAUUAGUUUUUAAUAGUUAAUGCUAUAUUGUUUUUAACACUUGAUUGGAAGCCGCCCAGAGCGGCUAGGAAACUCAGCCAGGUGGGCGGGGUAUAAAUAAUAAAUUAUUAUUAUUAUUAUUCAUGGGGCAUCCAACUUUAUUAAGAUGCAAACAUAAUUUUAAACCCAUCAACUGCCAUUUCAGGUGUGGGCAUCCUUUCGUGAUGGAGAACAAGUCCCAUUUCCCCAUGCCUUUGGCCAUGCUUGCAUUUAUAGACACCUGGCAUAGUCUAUAAUCCUGACAUUUGGGUUUUGUUGCAGAAAGUAGUAUUCAGACCUGCCCUGAGACCGCUAGGUGAAAACAUUUUAAUUGCUUACCGUAUUUUCUGCCCCAUAGGGCGCACCUAGUUUUUUUGUGGGGGAAAUAUUAUUAUUUCCCCCCCAGGCACGGGGCUGGGGCGGGGGAAGCCCGAGCUUCCCCCGACCCCAGCCCCCAGAACAGGCUGCUAUCCGCAAGCCUCAAAAAUCUGCAAGCCUAGGGAGCCCGCGGGAAGUCGCGCCGGUCUCCCCAGGCUUGCGGGUAUCUGCCCGAAGGCUUCGGGAUGCAGGCAUCUCUCUUCGGAAUGCAGGCAACUCCACAAACCAGGUCAGGGAACAGCGGGAUGGCGGCGCUCCACCUCCCCGCUGUCCCCCAAGCUUGUGGGGCUGCCCGAUAUCUGCACGAAAUCCAGGGCACACUGUGCAGCGCGCCCCAGGCUUCAGGAUGCAGGCUGCUAUCUGCUAGCCUUGGGAGCCCGACGGGAACUCCCGCGGAGCUCCCAAGGCUUGCGGAGAGCUUCCUGAAGCCUGCAUUUGCCCCAUAGGACGCACACACAUUUCCCCUUCAUUUUUGGAGGGGAAAAAGUGCGUCCUAUAGGGCGAAAAAUACGGUAGUCUCUGUAGUGUCACGUUGUAUUCUAAUUUUUAUAAUACAGUCGUACCUUGGAAGUCAAACAGAAUUCGUUCUGAAAGUCCGUUUGACUUCCAAAACGUUCGAAAACCAAAUUGUGGCUUCUGAUUGGCUGCAGAAAGCUCCUGCAGCCAAUCAGAAGCCGCAGAAGCCCCAUUGGACGUUUGGGUUCCAAGAGAAUGUUCGCAAACCGGAACAAUCACUUCCAGGUUUCCGGCAUUUGGGAGCCAAAACAUCCAGGAUCCAGGGUGUUUGGGAUCCAAGGUAAAAGGUAAAGGUAAAGGGACCCCUGACCAUUAGGUCCAGUUGUGGCCGACUCUGGGGUUGUGGCGCUCAUCUCGCUUUAUUGGCCAAGGGAGCCGGCAUACAGCUUCCGGGUCACGUGGCCAGCAUGACUAAGCUGCUUCUGGCGAACCAGAGCAGCGCACAGAAACGCCAUUUACCUUCCCGCCAGAGCGGUACCUAUUUAUCUACUUGCACUUUGACGUGCUUUUGAACUGCUAGGUUGGCAGGAGCAGGGACCGAGCAACGGGAGCUCACCCCGUCAUGGGGAUUCGGACCGCCGGCACUCUGAGAGCAUUGCUGAAAGACAGCCAACAAAUAUUUUAAAUAAAUUCGCUGCCCACCCAUGGAACUCUAAGCUUUCUCUCUCCCUCUUGAGAACAGCAUUUGGAAAUAACGCAACAAACAAGAUGCCACAUUUAACAGCUGCAUUGCUGAAAGUUUCCUUUACUCUGGAAUAGCAGGGCUUUCUUUUAAGGGAUAUUGGGAAAUGGGCUGGGGCAAAUGAUAAGCUUGCAUUUUCACAAAGGACGCUGGUUCUGUUUCUUCUCCCACCGCCAUCAAAGGAAAAGAACAAACGACGGCUGCAUUCUAUAUUCUGCUGCAACUUGUUGCUUUUUAAAAAACCUGGCACGCAGGAAUCAAGUGGAGAAGCAUUUUUGCUCCGUAAAUGAAUCUCAGGUCAUUCUUGACCUUUGAUAAAUAUUGCUGUCGUAUCAUUUUAGAGAAUUAGAAGAAUGUGGAUAGGGGGGAAUCAGUCUGUACACUCUAUGGAAGGAGAAAGCCAAACCAGUAGGCGCGUCAUUCCAGGCAGAUAUUUGCAACGGUGAGGUAUUUGUUUGCUUUCUGAAGACAAUGAUGAUUAGGGAAAAAGAAGAAUGACAACGUUUUUCAGCAGACACCCCCUGUCCCAAAUGCUCAUGAAACCUGACUUAGGAUCUGAUAUUGCAAGCAGUUGUUAGGAGCUAUGGUUUUCCCAGUAGUGAUGUAUGGAAGUGAGAGCUGGACCAUAAAGAAGGCUGAUCGCUGAAGAAUUGAUGCUUUUGAAUUAUAGUGCUGGAGGAGACUCUUGAGAGUCCCAUGGACUGCAAGAAGAUCAAACCGAUCCAUUCUGAAGGAAAUCAGCCCUGAGUCCUCACUGGAAGGACAGAUCCUGAAGCUGAGACUCCAAUACUUUGGCCACCUCAUGAGAAGAGAAGACUCCCUGGAAAAGACCCUGAUGUUGGGAAAGAUUGAAGGUACAAGGAGAAGGGGAUGGCAGAGGAUGAGAUGGUGGGACAGUGUUCUCGAAGCUACCGGCAUGAGUUGGACCAAACUGCGGGAGGCAGUGGAAGACAGGAGUGCCUGGCGUGCUCUGGUCCAUGGGGUCACGAAGAGUCGGACUAAACGACUAAACAACAACAACAAAAUGGUUGUGGUACUAAGCAAUACCACAAAAUGCUUGUUUACAAAUCUAAUGUACUACCAGCCUUACUGUAUGCUUGUGAUACAUGGACCACUCCAACGCCACCUCCAAGUCCCCAAAAGAUUCCAUCAACAGUGUCUCCAAAAAAUUUUAUUUUUUAUUUUAUAAAUAUUUUUAUUAAACAAUUUCAACAUAACAAAUUAUCAGUCCAAAUAAUCAAUUACAUUAUUCCCCCCCAUCCGUCCCUCGCCCCCCCCAAGACUUCCCUCAGCUCCCCUUUCUGGUUUCUUUAACACAUAUUGUUCUCUGCAUGUUAUAAAAUUGUACAUACUCUGGCUUUGUCUACCAUAUGUUCAACUAAUAAAUUUGUGGAUGUUUAUUCAAAACCUGCCAAGGAGUCCAGAUCAUUUCGUGGUCUUUUUAGGUAGUUUGUAAAAAGUUCCCAUUCUUCCUUGAAGUCACAGUUGUCCUUGUCAUGGCAGUUUGUAUGUCAAUUUAGCCAAUUCCGCAUAGUUCAUCAGUUUUUCUUGCCAUUGUUCUUUCAUUGGGAUUUCCUCAUUCUUCCAUCCUUGUGCUAGCAAGACUCUUGCCGCUGUUGUAGCAUACAUAAAUAAGUUCUUUAUUUUUCUUAGCAGGUCUUGUCCUACAAUCCCUAAUAAAAAUGCUUCUGGUUUGUUUGUUUUUUACAAAAGUCAUUUAAAACAUUUUUUUUCAAUUCAUUAUAUAUCAUUUCCCAAAAAUUUUUAACUUCUCUAUAUUCCCACCACAUAUGAUAAAAAGUAACUUCUUUUUCUUUACAUUUCCAACAUAUAUUUGACCCGGUUUUGUACAUUUUUGCUAUUUGUACUGGUGUGGCAUGCCAUCUGUACAUCAUUUUCAUAUAAUUUUCUUUCAAGAGUGAACAUUCUGUAAAUUUCAGAUCUACCUUCCACAGUUUUUCCCAGUCCUCAAAUUGUAUAUUAUGUCCUAUAUCUUGUGCCCAUUUGAUCAUGACUGAUUUGACCUCCUCGUCUUUUGUUUCCCCUUCUAGCAGAAUACUAUAUGCUUUCUUCAGCAGCUUCACUUCUUCUUCUAUAACUUUCUUCUGAAAUCUGGAAGUUGUGUAACUGAACCCUUUCUUGAUAUCUUCCUUAUACAUCUCAUGUAAUUGUCUAUAGUGUAACCAACUCUGAAAAUGAUCUUUAAUUUCCUCAUAAUCUUUUAAUUUCCAUUUCCCUUCUUGAUCCCUCAGCAAGUCUCUAGAUGUAGGCCACUUCCCCUUUUUGCCAAGCAGUUUUUUACACAUCACUGGGGAAUACAGUCGAACUAAUGCCAGUGUACUGGAAGAAGCAAAGAUCACCAGUGUCAAAGCAAUGAUUCUUCAACAUCAGCUUUGUUGGACUGGUUGUGUUGUGAGGAUGCCUGAUUAUCAUCUUCCAAAGCAACUACUCUAUUCCGAACUUAAAAAAUGGAAAGCGUAAUGCUGGUAGUCAACAAAAGAGGCUGAAAGACUCUCUCAGGGCAAAUCUUUUAAAACGUAGUAUAAAUACCGACAACUGGGAAACACUGGCCUGCGAGCGCUCCAAUUGGAGAACAGCCUUUACCAAAGAUGCUCCAACUUAGGAGUGCUAAGACGUGCUAAGAGGAAGGCACGCUUGGCAAACCCUCACCGUGAUAAACUCCCACCCAGAAACCUAUGUCCCCGCUGUGGAAGGACAUGUGGAUCCAGAAUUGGCCUCCACAGUCACUUGUGGACUCACUGUGAAAUCGAGUCAAGAGUGUAUUUCAUGCUCUUUAUUCAGCUCAUAGUUGUGAGGAGGAAUGGAAGUUCCCCCAGAAUGUCUGCUUUAUAUACAUUAUUUACACAAUGGGCCCCACGUGAUUGGCUAAUUCCGGGAUUCUCCUGUAGGCCAAUCAAGUUGCGGAUUCACUUCCACCUGGAGCUGGAUUGGGUGGCUCCUGUGGACCAAUCAGACUGCUGCAUUCUGGAUCCUAUUGUUCAAGGACCAAUCAAACUGUUGCAUUUUGGAUCCUAUUCAACUCAGUACAUAGCAGUCCCCAAGAGAUCCAGCAAAACAGAAAGGCGUGCCCGGUUCCCUGUCCAGUUCCUCAAUGAAGAUCACCUGCCAAGGUGACCCACGUCACCUGCGCUAUAUUUUCAAGAUCGCUACACGAGCCAAGAGUUGCGUUCCCAGCCCUGAAGCCAAAAGGCUUCCCCGAACCCACUCCUUUUCCUGUCUCCUGUGUCGACGACGUGCUGUCUCUACUGAGCAAUUUUGUUUCCAGCUCAUUCUUUCCAUGUUCUACCCAAGGGAUCAUUAAGUCUCAUUAGGCUUCUCUUCAUUAAACAAUGUGUAUUGGCGUAAUAUCUGGGGCUUCUCCCCUCCCCAUCUCUGUUGUUGACAUUUGGCCGUGUUGCUUGACCCCCUACUAAGCUUGGGGGGAGUGAAGCUGAAUGUUGGGGUUCCGGGUGCCUUUUCCUUGAGGUUACACCCCGAUUUUCGGGUGUGAAGUAAUGUGUGCACGCCUGUAUACAUACACGCAGACAUCAGCUCUGCCAUCUGGAUCCACGUUGGGAUUCUUCAAGGAGAUCUGUCUGAGGAAGACCUUCACCUCCCAACUUCAGAGAGAAUGUGCUACACACAGCAACAUGCCCUUAAACCAGCCCCAGCUUCAGGAAUCUGAAGUCUGGGACAGGAUUAAUUACCCAGAAUGAGGCUUGUCAGAAGCCGUGUUGGCAAGCAGAUAAGGGGAACUGUAAUAGAGCCAGCCAAUUAAGCAGCCAAUGGUGCUGAACUAAGUAUGACCUCAUCAUUAAUUGUGGGAGUUGUUUCUCAGCAGUUUUUCAUCAUGUUGAGGUUUGCGGUGAGUAGGAGGAAGGCAAAGGAGGGGGGAGAGAGAAAGACUUCGCUUAAUUUGCUUCUGCUCACAAAAUGUACCAAAAACAUUUGGGGAAAGAAUCGCACAAACGCACACGCAGGCACACACGCACAGAAGAAAACACACGCAGGCACGCACACACGAGAAGGAAAACAAAAUUAACAAAAAGCCACCCAAGGCACACAUGUUGAAUUUGGGAUAGAUGCAAAAAUGUAAGAUCUAGUAGCACAUCUCCUGCUAAUUUGCAGGAGAUCAGCACAGAUUCCUGGCUCCCAAUUGCUUUACAAUAAAGGUAAAGGGACCCCUGACCAUUAGGUCCAGUCGUGACCGACUCUGGGGUUGCAGCGCUCAUCUCGCUUUAUUGGUCAAGGGAGCCGGCGUACAGCUUCCGGCUCAUGUGGCCAGCAUGACUAAGCCACUUCUGGCGAACCAGAGCAGCGCACGGAAACGCCGCUUACGUUCCCGCCAGAGCGGUACCUAUUUAUCUACUUGCACCUUGAUGUGCUUUCAAACUGCUAGGUUGGCAGGAGCAGGGACCGAGCAACGGGAGCUCACCCCAUCGCGGGUAUUCAAACCACCGACCUUCUGAUCAGGAAGUCCUAGGCUCUGUGGUUUAACCCACAGCGCCACCCACAUCCCUCUGCUUUACAAUAAUCACAGCAAAAUCAUUCUCCCUUGUGGGGGGCAGGACUAUAUUUUGGAAAAAAUAAUGAACGAAUUCCUACGCCCCACAAAUCACCCAGAGAUGAAUUUUAAAUAAAAGCACACAUUCUGCUCAUGUAAAAACACCAGGCAGCCCCCACAAAUAGCCCAGAGAUGCAUUUUAAAGAAAAGGACACAUUCUACUUGUUAAGUUGUGGGUGAACAUAUCAGACGACACAGCGAUUCUUCUAACAGCUCUUGUUUAUUCACAGGCCAGAACAGAACUGAACUGAAGGGUUCAGCCAGCCUGCUAUAUAUAGAGCUCCACUAGAACGCAACAGUAACCACUUUCUGAAACUAUCCAAUCACUGAACGUCACUUUCAAUCCCUUAUUUGCAUAUGUGGACCUGAGUGAAAACUAUCUACGGUAUCCCCCUGCUGGCCCAGGGUGAGAACUUCAGUACAUAACAGUACUCAUGUAAAAACAUGCUGAUUCCCGGACCGUUUGCAAGCCAGAUUUAGAAGGCGAUUGGGCCGGCUCCGGCUCCCGGGCCUUAGUUUGCCUACCCGUGGCAUAAGCCAAUGGUCUGUGCUAACUGGAGGAGUUAGUCUCCCUCAGCAUUUCUGGUGGUUGCUGACUUCGUUGGACUGGCCAUGUUGUUUGGAUGCCUGAUUACCGUCUUCCAAAGCAACUACUGUAUUCCGAACUUAAAAAUGGAAAGCGUAAUGCUGGUGGUAAACAAAAGAGCUUUAAAGGCUCUCUCAAGGCAAAUCUUUAAAAAUGUAGUAUAAACACCAACAACUGGGAAACACUGGCCUGCGAGUGCUCCAAUUGGAGAACUGCCUUUACCAAAGGUAUCAUUGACUUUGAAGGCACUCAAACUCAGGACAAAAGGGAGAAACGUGCUAAGAGGAAGGCACGCUUGGCAACCCCUCAACGUUAUCAACUCCUGCCUGGAAACCUAUGUCCCCAGUGUGGAAGGACGUGCGGAUCCAGAAUUGGCCUCCACAGUCACUUAUGGACUCAUUCUUAAAACUGUGUUCAUGGAAGACCAUCUUAUUCAGCUACAAGUGAUCUCCAAAGAAGAGGAAAAAGAAGGUGUUCUCCAUAGCAGUGGUCCUCACAGUGGCUGACCAGAAGUUCUUCUGAAUACCAGUUGCUCAGAACCACAGGCUUCCCACACGCAUCUGGUCCUCCAAUGUGAGAACAGGAUGCUAGAAUAGACAUUGGCCUCAUCCAACAGACUGUUUUUCUCUGGCUUUUCACCCGCCAUUUUUGAAAGAACGUCUCUAAGGAACGAAACCCCACCUUUUAACAGUAUUUUUUAGCACUCUAAAAAAUUUUUUGAAUAAUGGAUGAUUGUCGGAGAGGUUGAAGGAAGUCUAAAAGAGAAAGUAUGUGAUAAAUUUAGAUUGGAUACUAUAAAUGUAUGUUGGAAAAUUUAAUAAUUUUUUUUUAAAAAAAAACAAUUAUCCAGUGAAAAUAGGGACAUCCUAAGAAAAAUGGGACGUGGGUGGCGCUAUGGGACGCGGGUGGCGCUGUGGGUUAAACCACAGAGCCUAGGACUUGGCGAUCAGAAGGUCGGCGGUUCGAAUCCCCAUGACGGGGUGAGCUCCCGUUGCUCGGUCCCUGCUCCUGCCAACCUAGCAGUUUGAAAGCAUGUCAAAGUGCAAGUAGAUAAAUAGGUACCACUCCGGCGGGAAGGUAAACGGUGUUUCCAUGCGCUGCUCUGGUUCACCAGAAGUGGCUUCCUCAUGCUGGCCACAUGACCCGGAAGCUGUACGCCGGCUCCCUCAGCCAAUAAAGCGAGAUGAGCACCGCAACCCCAGAGUCGGCCACGACUGGACCAAAUGGUCAGGGGUCCCUUUACCUUUAAGAAAAACGGGGACAUUCCGGGAUCAAAUCAGAAUCCAGGAUGCUUUCUGUAAAUCUGGGACCGUCCCUGGAAAACAGGGACACUUGGAGGGUCUGAAAUUACCCUGUUUCCCACCCACCCUUUCCUCUAGUUAUGCUUCUGGGGUGCAGAUACAGUGGUACCUCGGGUUACAUACACUUCAGGUUACAGACUCCGCUAACCCAGAAAUAGUACCUCUUGUUAAGAACUUUGCUUCAGGAUGAAAACAGAAAUCAUGCUCCGGCGGCGCGGCAGCAGGAAGAGGCCCCAUUAGCUAAAGUGGUGCUUCAGGCUAAGAACAGUUUCAGGUUAAGUACCGACCUCCAGAACGAAUUAAGUACUUAACCCGAGGUACCACUGUAUAUUUGAGCUUUUACACAGAUGUUUUUCAGCUGUUUGUUACAGCGCUGGAGACCCUUGCAAUAUGGCAGGAGGGCAGCUUCUGGCCUGGCCUCCUGGAUCUGCCUGAUUCCUUGCUAGCUCUACAUCAACGAAAGGGCUUGAUUUACUCCACAUUUGUGCUCUCUCUCUCUCCCCACCCCCCUCCCGCCAUGGGUCAGGAUAACAUAUUUUAAAGAUCCCCCUGGGAGCUCAUUCAAGCUCUCUGUUUACAUAGCAGAUUGGUGGCUUUAUGUUUGAAGUCAGGAUUUAAGCUGUUCCUUCUAAUUACAGAAAGACUUUGAAACCAGAGAGACCUCAGCUAUGGAAGAGAGAAGGGGGGGGGGCAGGAGAGGAUUGGUGAAACAAUGACUUUAGCCAAAGCUAAGCUUCCUUAGAAGAAUGGGUGCGGGCCUUAGUUGGGAGAGAAAGAUCAGCUCACAACCAAAUGAGACAUAUGCUCAUUUUCCCUUCUUAUGGUUUUUAAUUCUUACCACUUCUGAAACAUACCCCCUGUUCCAUAUCCCACGCAUCCCAUAAUUUUCGUGUAAUUGUUAAGUGGGAGUGCAAGCCAGACCCUCCAAGUGCCCCUAUUUUUCCAGAGACAGUCCCAAAUUUACAGAUUUGAUCUCCGAAUGUCCUGCUUUUCCUUAGGGCGUUUGUAUUUUCAUCGGAGAAAUGUUGGAGGAUAUGAAGUUAUGCAAACCCCCAUGCUGUCUGAAGGCAAUCCUGUAUAAAGGUAAAGGUAAAGGGACCCCUGACCAUUAGGUCCAGUCGUGGCCGACUCUGGGGUUGCGGCGCGGGGAUUCGAACCGCCAACCUUCUGAUAGGCAAGUCCUAGGCUCUGUGGUUUAACCCACAGCGCUACCCGCAUCCAAUCCUGUAUAGGGAAGGCUUUUUUAUGUUUAACAGUUUAUUAUGUUUUUAUAUAUAUUGGAAGUCACCCAGAGUGGCUUGGGCAACUCAGUCAGACGAGUGGAGCAUGAAUGAAUGAAUAAACAUACAUACAUACAAACAAACAAACAAACAAACCCAAAUAAUACCCUGUCCAUCUGGCUAGGUUUCCCCACACACUCUGGGCAGCUUACAGUACAUAUAAAAAUUAGCAGCAGCAGCAAUGGAAUAAGAAGUCCCUAUUUUAAGAAAUGUUGGAGGGUAUGGCACACUGAACGAAGGGUGGUGUUUUACAAAUUAAUGAAUUAUAACUCUUAUAUCCUCCUCUUCUUUGGGGUAAGGUAAAAGGUAAAGGACCCCUGGACGGUUAAGUCCAGUCAAUGGUGACUAUGGGGUUGCGGCGCUCAUCUCACUUUCAGGCUGAGGGAGCCACUGUUUGUCCACAGACAGCUUUCCGGAUCACAUGGCCAGGAUGACUAAACCGCUUCUGGCACAACGGAACACUGUGACGGAAACCAGAGCGCACAGAAACACCAUUUACCUUCCUGCCGCAGUGGUACCUAUUUAUCUACUUGCACUGGCGUGCUUUCGAACUGCUAGGUUGGCAGGAGCUGGGACAGAGCAACAGGAGCUCACCCCGUCGCGGGGAUUCGAACCGCCAACCUUCUGAUCAGCAAGCCCAAUAGGCUCAGUGGUUUAGACCACAGCGCCACCUGCGUAACUCAGAGUGGCUUACAUGCAGCUCCCAAGCACUCUCCAAUCCAGGUACCAAACAGGCUGAGACCUGGCUAGCUUUUAUAAUGUAGUAACAUCAUGUUCUCCAUGGCCAGAAAUGGGGCCCUCUAAAUGUUGAUGGGCUCCAACUCCCAUCAGCCCUUGGACAGUAUGGCCAACAGUCAAGGGUGAUGGGAUGUGCAGCCCAGCAGCAACAGGACGGCCGCAUGUUCCCCAUCCCUGUUGAAAACUUUGCAAAACUGAAUGCCGGCAAACGUCUGCAUUAGAAGCAACUAUUUCCUUGUACCCCUUCAUGGAUCGCUGCCUUGCCGAGGCGAAGGGGUUUGAAUAACUCAGACAAGCUAUGAGCUGUGCCGUGCAGGGCCACCCAAGAUGGACAGGUCAUAGUGGAGAGUUUUGACCAAACGUGAUCUACUUGGAGCAGGAACCGGCAAGCCACUCCAGUAUCCCUGCCAAGAAAACUCCAUGGACAAAGACAACAAGUAGUGAUGUAUGGAAGUGAGAGCUGGACCAUAAAGAAGGCUGAUCGCCAAAGAAUUGAUGCUUUUGAAUUAUGGUGCUGGAGGAGGCUCUUGAGAGUCCCAUGGACUGCAAGAAGAUCAAACGUAUCCAUUCUGAAGGAAAUCAGCCCUGAGCGCUCACUGGAAGGACAGAUCCUGAAGCUGAGGCUCCAAUACUUUGGCCACCUCAUGAGAAGAGAAGACUCCCUGGAAAAGACCCUGAUGUUGGGAAAGAUGGAGGGGACAAGGAGAAGAGGACAACAGAGGAUGAGAUGGUUGGACAGUGUUCUCGAAGCUACCAGCAUGAGUUUGACCAAACUGUGGGAGGCAGUAGAAGACAGGAGUGUCUGGCGUGCUCUGGUCCAUGGGGUCACAAAGAGUCAGACACGACUAAACAACUAAACAACAACAACAUUUCCUUUUAAUUUGCAACCCUUGGGAAGCUCGUUCCUCCCUUUGGGGUUGUGGCAUUCUCUUGAACAGGCUAGCAGCGGCCAUACUCCUGGAGGGACUGCACUUCAUUUUAAAUGUAAUUUAUUUCAUUUAUGCAGCUGAUGUCUCAUUCUCGCAAGCCAAGAAAGGGACACCACGAAUGUGUGUGUCGCUCCUCAGAGGAAACUCUACUUGCUAACACUUUAGUAAUCAGAUUAAGGGUCUCAAACCGCAGCUGUGUUUGCACUAUAUAAUUAUUCUACUUUAUAAUGUGGAGGAUUGUCUUCUUUCCAAUUAACAUGACCAGGCAUUUCCUUGCCUCCUGUUUUUCAAUUUGUUCCCUGAAUAAAUAGAGCCUCAUAUUUGCAACAGUGGAUUACUGCUUUUUGAACCACACUGAUCCAGGCAAACUCCGGCAACAAUUAUAAUCUCUUAUCUGGAAAUGACUUGAGGGAAGGGGGCCAUAAACCCCACUGAGAUGGAAUUCUUUCCAGUAUUAUCCACCAUUCUAAUGGAUAUAGAUACAAUCUAUAUUAAUUAAAAGCCGCAGGGCAGCCAAGAGUAAGAUUUGGCGUGGGGGGGGGGCUUACUCCUCAUAUUUUAUGACCCAAGAGGAUGUUCUUUUGCCUCCAGUUUCCUCCUCCAAGGCCUUCUUCAGUAAGCAGCCUGAAUGAGAUAUUUUCCCAGGAAAAGGAAGAUCAUGGUGGGCAAAAAAAGAAUUAAAAGGAAGGCAGUCUAGAGUUUGUUUUCUUUGGCUUGGCAGGUGUGUGCCAGAGAUUGGAUUAAGUCACACAGUGGAGAUCAUAUGGAGCUGCAUCUAAGAGGGCUCGUAGCUUUCUACAGGUUUGGGGAAAAAAUCAAUUGAGCAUCAUUUCCGGGUUUGGAAAAGCUGCUUGGGUUUGCCAGCAGGAGAAAGAUGCCAAAGUCAAAAAGCACCAGCUUUUGGCUGCAACACAGGAAUCAGGAGCGUGCUUAGAAACAUUUGGGUUGCAGCUAAACAGUUAAAGGGAAAAAGUACAAAGAUUCACAAAAUGUUUAGGGUUAUGCGUACUGUUAAGUUGUGGGUGAACGUAUCAGACGACACAGCGAUUCUUCAAACAGCUCUUGUUUAUUCACAGAACAGAACAGAACUGAGCUGAAGGCUUCAGCCAGCCUGCUUAUAUAGAGCUCCACUAGAACACAACAGUAACCAUUUUCUGUAACUAUCCAAUCACUGAACGUCACUUUCAACCCCUUAUUUGCAUAUGUGGACCUGAGUGAAAACUAUUUACAGUAUCUCCCUGCUGGCACAGGGUGAGAACUUCAGUACAUAACACUUAUCCCCAGAAAAAAAGCACUGACAAUCUCUAUUUUGAAGCAUCUGCAAUGUACACACUUCUCAAUUACAGGGGAGGAGAGACAGAUAGACAGUUAACCUUUAAUUGCAUAGGUCAGGGGUAGGCAACCUAAGGCCCGUGGGCCGGAUGUGGCCCAAUCGCCUUCUCAAUCCAGCCCACGUACGGUCCAGGAGUCAGCGUGUUUUUACAUGAGUAGAAUGUGUGCUUUUAUUUAAAAUGCAUCUCUGGGUUAUUUGUGGGGCAUAGGAAUUCGUUCAUAUUUUUUUUCUCCAAAAUAUAGUCCGGCCCACCACAUGGUCUGAGGGACAGUGGACCGGCCCACGGCUGAAAAAGGUUGCUGACCCCUGCUCCAAGCAGUCCCUGUCAGUGCUGCCCAGGUCUGCUGGGAAUUUAUUUAAUAAAAUUUAUAUAGCGCUUACCGUGAAAGCACACAUCUCAAAAGCAGUUUGUUGUCCAAAACAUCUGGAGGGCUCCAGGUUGCUAGGAAAUGCCUUAGGGCCCUAGAUAAUAACAAUAUUUUGAAGAAUAAUUUUAGUUUCCUUUGAGGAAGCACCUUUUGCUUCGGCUGUGUACACAUUACAGUGUACUUUGGUUCCAGUGUGUUCCCACCGCUGGUGGCCGAUGUUGAGUACACAUGACCUUCCCCCCCAAAAAAAUAUAUAGUCUGGCCCACCACAUGGUCUGAGGGACGGUGGACGGGCCCACGGCUGAAAAAGGUUGCUGCCCCCUGGGAUAGGUGCUUGAUCAACGUUUCUUUAUAAUACAAGAUUAGUGAACCUGAACCUUUAAUGAAAAUAAGCAACAUGGAAGAGCAAAAUGCCAGAUGAAUGCAGCCUUAGGCUACUUUUGAGUAUGAGACAAUAGCGUCAACUGGAGAUGGGUUAAUAGACUAAACUAGAGAUGGAUUCACAGACAGUCUCUCUGAAAAUAGGAAGUACCUUUUCCUUUCUGGGAUUCUGCAGUUUCAUGUCUAUCCUUCUUUGCAAGGCUUGGUGCUUCACAGUGAAGCCAUGAUAUAGGUGACCAUACCAGGCGUGGAUAGACUUUAGGCUCACAUGACUAUCAUAUUUAGGCGCAAAAUAUCCACUGUGAGAAGCUGUCUUUCUCUGUAUGUGGGUCUCCAACUCCCAAUGGUCAAGGAUGAUGGGAGGCACACCCUCCAACAUCUUGAAGGCAAAAACCAGGAAGCCAUCUUCUCAUGAGAGAAUGGUGGCCAUUUGGGGCACUGUGAUCACAUGCUGCAAUUCCUCCCCCCAUCAAAAAAGUGCUUUUUUCGGCCACGGCGCCCAAAAUGGGUGUUUUGCGGCGCCAUGCAAUAUCACGGCCCCGGAAAAGGCUCUUUUUCAGGAGGAAAUUGCGGAGCAGAAUCGCACGAGAUCGCCGCGUUCAAAAUGGCUGCCGCCUUUAGUCUAACAUCAAGUUGGGGGGGAUGCAUUCAUGCUCCCUCCCCAUGUGGUGGCGCUUGCAGGGCCCGUUAAAGGGCAAAAACUGGGAGUCCCUGACCCUAGAGCGGCGGCAUGGAGGUCAAACUCCCGGGACGAGGUUAGUGGAAGGGCAUGCUGUGUAAGUUUGUGCUUUACAGUCCCCUCUCACUGGACCUCAUCUGCCUGCAUAUCCUCAGCCAGACGGGCUGUUAUGUACUGAGGUGAACAGGAUUCAAAAUGCAGCAGUCUGAUUGGUUCUAGAAAAAUAGGAUUCAUAAUGCAGCAGUCUGAUUGGUCCUAAAACAAUACAGUUCAGAAUGCAGCAGUCUGAUUGGUCCUAGAACAAUAGGAUCCAGAAUGCAGCAGUCUGAUUGGUCCACAGGAGCCACCCAAUCGAGCUCCAGGUGGAAGGGAAUCCGCAACCUGAUUGGCCUACAGGAGAAUUCCGGAAUUAGCCAAUCACGUGGGGCCCAUUGCGUAAAUAAUGCAUAUAAAGCAGACAUUCUGGGGGAACUUCCAUUCCUCCUCACCACUAUGAGCUGAAUAAAGAGCAUGAAAUCCACUCUCGACGCCGAGUAUAUUUCAUGGGCUGAGAGGGUUACCUGCCAAGGCCUGUGCCAAGUUUCCCACUUCUGAAGCUCAAUAAAGUUGUGGCCAAUUUGAACCCAUACUCUGGUCUCUUGUCUCAUUCUUUGGGAAAAGGGUAGGCACCACAGACAGGGUUUAGCGCGUGUGCCCGCAAGAACCCGCAGACGCCUUUGGGAGGCAGAGACAUAGCUGCCAACCGUCCCUUAUUUGGCGGGAAAGUCCCUGAUCCCAGCGCCGUGUGCCGCUGCUGUCCCUUAUUGAUGAUGUCCCUUAAAUUUCCCGGGUUUCAAAGGAAGCAGCUCCUCUCCCUCCCUCCCUGCCGGCCAGGGAGGAGGGAGGCUCCAACUGUGUUGCUUGGCUGCGUUGCUCACCCAAUAAGGAGUCUAAGAACGACUGGGGGGUGGAGCUUGCAUGCCUUGUGCCAAUCAAAUCGGCCGCGUUGCCUGGGGACUCGCCUUUGCUCAGCGUUUCCCAGCGGAGCGGUGACGGUAGUUUUCCUUGCUGCAUCCCCCUUGCUGGAUUGCUGCGCUGUGGGAACCACCGCUUGAGGCUUCGUUUGGCUGCUGGCUGGGCUUUCUGCCUUUGGCUCGGAGGGACUCAGAAGUUGAACAUUACUGUCCUCCUUGGAAAAUCCCUUAUUUUGGCUGCUGGUCCCUUAUUUUCAAGGCUGCUGGUCCAUUAUUUUCAAAUCUGUAAGUUGACAGCUAUGGGCAGAGACAUGAGAAGGCAUCAGAGAAGGGAGGGAAGGAAAGAGAGACAGAGGCCAGUGUUGCCCACGGCACACCUGACCAUCCUUCAAGGCACCCCAGGGUGCCACGGCACACUGGUUGAAAAUCACUGGCGUAGGUGGUGUAGAAAGUAAUUGGGGAGAAAGGAAUGUAUUUUUGGCUGCUCUUGAAGCCACAGACUUUGCAUCUGGUCACAGUGUUAGGAAAGGAGGGAGGAAGUAGGCAUUCAAAUGAGGCCCUUUUAGAUGCUAUGCAGGUAUUGGAUUGCAGGAAGGGUGCCUGGAAGCAGCAGCAUGAAAAUGACUGAUUUGCCUUCUCUGGUCAACUCUCAGCAUUCGGCAGGAGGAAUUCAAAUGCAUACUGGAAAUUUAGCUUUGCAGCGUUAAUUUAGGCUCCUGUUCUGCCGACCCGGUGCCACAAAUCCACUUGAAAACAAAUGAACAUCAGACUUGCUGCAGUUAGGAAAAUGGCGUGGAGAUGCACUAGAAAGUGUGGGGUGAUUGAUUAAGGAGAAGAUCUUAUAAACAGCACAGAAGCAAAUCAGGAUGACCGUUCCGUCUCGUAUAACCUCCCCGCAAACAAAUCACAACCUAUAAAGACCAGACCUGGUCUAACCUCCAUGUAAUAAUAAUAAUAAUAAUAAUAAUAAAUUUUAUUUAUAUCCUGCCCUCCCCAGCUGAAGCUAGGCUCAGGGUGGCUAACAACAAUAAAAUAGUACAACAUUCUAAAAUCAUUUCCUUAUAAAAUUAAUUCAACUCAAAAAGUUCUGUGAAGAUUGCCAAAGGAGGGAGUCAGGCUGUGCCCUGACCAAAGGCCUGGUGGAACAGCUCUGUCUUGCAGGCCCUGCGGAAAGAUGUCAAGUCCCGCAGAGCCCUAGUCUCUUGUGACAGAGCGUUACACCAGAUCGGGGCCACAGCAGAAAAAGCCCUGGCUCUGGUUGAGGCCAGCCUAACCUCUCUGUGGCCUGGGACCUCCAAGAUGUUUUUGUUUGAAGACCGUAAGUUCCUCCGUGGGACAUACCAACAGAGGGUGGUCCCAUAGGUACGAGGGUCCUAGGCCGUAUAGGGCUUGAAAGGUUAGAACCAGCACCUUAAACGUGAUCCUGUACCCACCCGGAGCCAGCGCAGCUGGUAUAGCACGGGUGAAUGUGAUCUCAUAGCGAAGACCCCGUAAGGAGUCUCGCCACGGCAUUCUGCACCCGCUGGAGUUUCUGGGUCAGUCUCAAGGGCAGCCCCAUGUAGAGCGAGUUACAAUAAUCCAGUCUGGAGGUGACCAUCAUGUGGAUCACAGUGGCUAGGUCAGGGCGAGAGAGGUAAGGAGCCAACUGCUUAGCUUGGCGGAGACUUUGUGUAGCACGAAUGCUCAAUAAGCAGGGUGUCUGGAGCAGCCCUCUGAAAACAUAAGCAGCGGCUGUUUCCCAAGUCUGUCUCCAUCCUUAGGCGAAACACACAGGUUCCUUGCUGGGUGGAAAACAGGAACAGAAGCAUCACUUUGAAGAAUUAAAAAGGUAAACUGCAAUUUCACGGGCAAGGCAAUUAGCCAAGCAGGAGCAAAUCUCAGCAUAAGCCUGGCAUGUGUGGCUAAUCCAGAACAAGAUUCUUGUCCCAUGACAACUUCUUACCUGAUUUGUUUCCUUGCAGUUUUAACCCUGUCUGCCCCCCUGUUUUCAUUGGAGACAUGUUGCAGGGUAUGCAGUUAGUUAUGCGACCCCCCGAGCCAAGGAGAUAAGUAACUAUACAACUUUUAGAAGACACCUGAUGGCAGCCCUGUAUAGGGAAGUUUCCUCAUGUUUAAUGUUUGAUUAUGUUUUUAUAUAUGUUGGAAGCUGCCCAGAGUGGCUGGGGCAACCCAGUCAGAUCAGCUGGGUAUAAAUAAUAAAAUAAUAAAAUUAUUAUUAUUAUUAUUAUUAAGGUACAACUAGUGCUUUUUUCUGGGGGGAUGCAUACCCUUAAACAUUUUGUGAAUCUAAGUUUGGCCUCGUUGAGGGGCAGUAUUUCAAUAUGAGUAGGAAAAUGAGAGUACCCCCUAAACAUUUUUUAAGGAAAGAAAAAAAGCACUGGGUAGAGUCAUCAUAGCGAUCCAUAGUUAAAAGUAGAAGUUGGCAAAUGUGUUCUCUUUUUUGCUCUUCAAAAUAUGGCAACCCUACAAUCACUUACCCUAAACAACUGGCUUCCGCCAGCAUUCCCAGUAGAACAGCUUGCUCAAAUCCGGGUAACUUCCUUUCUGAGAAACAACAUCUGGCAGAAGCAUCUUCUUCCUCUCAUCCAGUUGUUGCAUGUGAUGCUAUCAGCAUUUUUAUUUAUUUUAAGAGAUGCGGCUAGUUGGGCUUGAGUACAAAAAGCGUCAAACUCCCCUUUGCAGAGGAGAUAUUAAUGUUUCCUACAUGACUAAGUAAGAGAGCCACUUUCAAGAGAUUCACUUCUAGUGAAAGGUGUGCGGUAAUAAGCCAGCCAUCUGUCUGCCAGGAAGCACCAUGACAAUUAAGAGAUCAUUUUCAAGAAAUCUUCCCUGAGCACAUAGCUCAAAGCUAACCAGUUGCUGGAGGCAUUUUUCUGGCCUAAUGAGAGAAGGAAAAGAUAAGGGGCCUGAACCCAAUGCUAAUCGUAGAGAAGUCCCAUUGAAAUUAAUGCACAUGAGAGACUUGGAUGGGGUUGCCGUAUUUCAAAAAGUGAAAAGUCGUUGGGCUUUUUUUAAUAGUUUGCCCGAAGUUGCUGCUUCUUUUUUGCAAAAUCUCAAAAAAAAAUAAAUGAUUUUUUGAGCUAUUUUUAAUGAAAACCACCAAAAACGACACUACCGACAUGGGUUGCCAUAUGUCCAGAUUUUCCUGGACGUUUCAAUUAUUUCUGCCCGGACACUGCUUCCGAUGGCUGAUUGCCGGCUAUGUCUGGAAAAUUCCGGACAUAUGGCAACCCUAGCUUGGAUUAAUUUAAUUGGAUCUGCUUGGAAUGCACGUUAGUUGGAUGCAACCAAUGGCAUAUAAACAACAAUAACAACCAUAAUGUGUGCAUUCUUUUUUGCAUGUUCGAAAACCUUUCCCAUUACGUUCACCAUCUUCAUUGUGAUACCUCCAGACCAUUUUUCGGGAUGGAUUCCAUCACAUACCACAAACGUAGGUAAAGGUAAAGGGACCCCUCACCAUUAGGUCCAGUUGUGGCUGACUCUGGGACUGCGGCGCUCGUCUCGCUUUACUGGCCAAGUAAAUUAUUAUUUACUUGGUAUAUUAUUAUUAUUAUUAUUAUUAUUAUUAUUAUUAUUAUUAUUUCAAUAAACCAGCAGGUAUAUACAAUUUAGCUACUCAGUAGCUCACUUCUCCAGCCUCCUGGUGGAUUUCAGGUACCUUUUAAAGGGUGCCAAAUGAUUUCACUAGUGAUUCACUAUCAUAUUCAUUACUGUGGGAUUCGUGCCACUGCUGUGUUCCUCGUCUGUGGCCUUAGGUGCCAAACUGUCUUGGGCUGGCCCUGCUUGCCUCAAGGCUGCUAUACCCCAAACAAAUUGUCCUGCCAUUAACUUCCAGACUGCUGGAACCUGCUCCCUUCUUUAAUUAUGAUGAUGCUGUGGGAGCUGAUAGCAGGAGCAGAGAGCCUGCCUGCACCACAAGACCCUGUGAGCCACAAAGGAGGAGACAUCUGCUCAGCAUCUCCUCCCUGCACCAUCAUCCCCCACUUUUCAGAGAGUUUUGCUGGCGUGGAGAGGAGCCGCCAAGUGCUGACUCCUCUUAUGACCCCGAGUAGUGUAGCCGAAGUUGUACUACUCACCUUACCUUACUGUAUGCUUGUAAAAUGUGGACCACUUAUAAACGCCAUCUCCAACUCCUCGAAAUAAUAAUAAUAAUAAUAAUAAUAAUAAUAAUAAUAAUAAUAAUUUAUUAUUUAUAACCCGUCCAUCUGGCUGGGUUUCCCCAGCCACUCUGGGCGGCUUCCAACAAAAUAUUAAAAUACAAUGGUCUGUUAAACAUUAAAAGCUUCCCUAAACAGGGCUGCCUUCAGAUGUCUUCUAAAAGUCUGGUAGUUGUUCUUCUCUUUGACAUCUGGUGGGAGGGUGUUCCACAGGGCGGGUGCCACUAGCGAGAAGGCGCUCUGCCUGGUUCCCUGUAACUUGGCUUCUUGCAGUGAGGAAACCACCAGAAGGCCCUCAGUGCUGGACCUCAGUGUCUGGGCAGAACGAUGGAGGUGGAGACGCUCCUUCAGGUAUACUGGACCAAGGCCAUUUAGGGCUUUAAAGAUCAGCACCAACACUUUGAAUUGUGCUCGGAAAAGUACUGGGAGUCAAUGUAGAUCUUUCAAGACCGGUGUUAUGUGGUCUCGCCGGCCGCUCCCAGUCACCACUCUAGCUGCCGCAUUCUGGAUUAGUUGUAGUUUCUGGGUCACCUUCAAAGGUAGCCCCACAUAGAGACCAUUGGAAUAGUCCUAGCAAGAGAUAACUAGAGCAUGCACCACUCUGGCGAGACACUCCAUGGGCAAGUAGGGUCUCAAACUGCAUACCAGAUGGAGCUGGUAAACAGCUGCCCUGGACACAGAAUUGACCUGUGCCUCUGUGUUCAGCUGUGAGUCCAAAAUGACUCCCAGGCUGUGCACCUGGUCCUUCAGGACCAGGAGUCCUCCACACCUGCCCGCCUCCUGUCCCCCCAAGUACUUAGAAUCAUAGAAUCAUAGAGUUGGAAGAGACCACAAGGGCCAUCGAGUCCAACCCCCUGCCAAGCAGGAAACACCAUCAGAGCACUCCUGACAUAUGGUUGUCAAGCCUCUGCUUAAAGACCUCCAAAGAAGGAGACUCCACCACACUCCUUGGCAGCAAAUUCCACUGUCGAACAGCUCUUACUGUCAGGAAGUUCUUCCUAAUGUUUAGGUGGAAUCUUCUUUCUAUAAUAAUUAUUAAUUAUUAUUCUUUCUAUAAUAAUAAUUAAUAAUAAUAAUAAUAAUAAUAAUAAUAAUAAUAACAACAAUUUAUUUGUACCCCGCCCAUCUGGCUGGGUUUCCCCAGCCACUCUGGUGGCUUCCACAGAGACCUAAAAUACACUAAAAUGUCACACAUUAAAAACUUCCCUGAACAGGGCUGCCUUAAGAUGUCUUCUGAAUGUCAGGUAGUUGUUUAUCACUUUGACAUCUGAUGGGAGGGUGUUCCACAGGGCGGACGCCACUACUAAGAUGGCGCUCUACCUGGUUCCCUGUAGCUUUGCUUCUCGCAAUGAGGGAACCGCCAGAAGGCCCUCGCCGCUGGACCUCAGCGUCCGGGCAGAACCAUGGGGGUGGAGACGUUCCUUCAGGUAUACUGGGCCGAGGCCGUUUAGGGCUUUAAAGGUCAACACCAACACUGAAUUGUGCUUGGAAACGUACUGGGAGCCAAUGUAGAUCUUUCAAGACCGGUGUUAUGUGGUCUCGGCAGCCGCCCCCAGUCACCAGUCUGGCUGCCGCAUUCUGGAUUAGUUGUAGUUUCCGGGUCAUCUUCAAAGGUAGCCCCACGUAGAGCGCAUUGCAGUAGUCCAAGCGGGAAAUAAUUAGAGCAUGCACCACUGUGGUGAGACAGUCCGUGGGCAGGUAGGGUCUCAGCCUGUGUACCAGGUGGAGUUGGUAGACAGCUGUCCUGGAUACAGAAUUAACCUGCACCUCCAUGGACAGCUGUGAGUCCAAAAUGACUCCCAGGCUGCGCACCUGGUCCUUCAGGGGCACAGUUACCCCAUUCAGGACCAGGGAGUCCUCCCUACCAGCCCGCCCCCUGUCCCCCAAAAACAGUACUUCUGUCUUGUCAGGAUUCAACCUCAAUCCAUUAGCCGCCAUCCAUCCUCCAACCGCCUCCAGGCACUCACACAGGACCUUCACUGUCUCCGAAAAUUUUUACACAUCACCUGGGAAGACAGGCGAACUAACACCAGUGUACUGGAAGAAGCAAAGAUCACCAGUGUCAAAGCAAUGAUUCUUCAACAUCAACUUCGUUGGACUGGUCAUGUUUUGCAGAUGCCUGAUUAUUGUCUUCCAAAGCAACUACUCUAUUCCAAACUUAAAAAUGGAAAGCGUAAUGCUGGUGGUAAACAAAAGAGGUUUAAAGACUCUCUCAAGGCAAAUCUAAAAAAAAAAAAAAAAGGAAUAUAAACAUCGACAACUGGGAAACACUGGCCUGCGAGCUCUCCAAUUAGAGAACUGCCUUUACCAAAGGUGUCAUGGGUUUUGAAGACACUCAAACUCAGGACAAAAGGGAGAAACACGCUAAGAGGAAGGCACACUUGGGAAACCCUCACCGUGAUCAACUCCUGCCCGGAAACCUAUGUCUCCAUUGUGGAAGGACGUGUGGAUCCAGAAUUGGCCUCCACAGUCACUUACGGAGUCACUGUUAAAACCGUGUUUAUGGAAGACAAUCUUACUCGGCUAUGAGGGAUCAGCAAAGUAGAAGCUAAAGCUGAAGUACUUUUAGAUGCUGGACUUUUGUCUUACAUGUCUUCCCGGCCACCAGCUUUCGGUUUUAGCAAUGUGUGCUACAGGGGUCUCCAAGCUCUCUGUAAGGUAAAAAGGUAAUGGGUCCCCUGACUGUUAAGUCCAGUCGCGGACGACUCUGGGGUUGCGGCGCUCAUCUCGCUCUACAGGCUGAGGGAGCUGGCGUUUGUCCGCAGACAGCUUCCGGGUCAUGUGGCCAGCAUGACUAAGCCGCUUCUGGUGAACCAGAGCAGCGCACAGAAACGCUGUUUGCCUUCCCGCCAGAGUGAUACCUAUUUAUCUACUUGCACUUUGACAUGCUUUGAACUGCUAGGUUGGCAGGAGCUGGGACCGAGCAACAGGAGCUCACCCCAUGUAAACAUCCCCUUAAAGAUCCACAAUGCAGGAGACUGUUCUUCUUGCUCCCUUUCUGUUUACAUUGGCUCAUGGCAUGAAUUGUCCAUUCAUGUCGUGAAUUGGCAGGACACGCAAGGAAGGGGAAGAGGUGCCGGCCCAACUGGUACACAACUGGUACACAACACAAAAAGGCAAGAAGGGGAAGGGCCAUAAUGUGAUAAGUCGGCGCUAGUGUCUUGCAGGGGGGGCCCUCCUCAUUUUAUUGAGUCUCGCCCUGAGCUCUUUCCUCAAAUUCUUGCCCUGACAGUGCCAAGGAUGCCUCAGGGCUUCCAACAACUGCAUGAAAAGAGGCUCCCUUUUCAUGAAAAUGAUGUACUGGUGGUAUUUAACACCUAUAAAACUAGCAAAGAUGUAUAGAACUGCUUCAAAUGUAUGUUGGAAAUGUAAGGAGACUGAAGGCACCUUCUUCCACAUGUGGUGGACAUGCAAGAUAACAAAAGCAUUCUGGGAAAGGAUAUAUAAUUAGUUGGAAAAAAUGUUUAAAAUAACAUUGGGGGGGGGACCAGAGGCUUUUUUACUAGGAAUUUUAUGUGCGGAGAUGCUAAAAGAGCAGAAACGAUUAUUUCUGUAUGCAACGACAGGAGCGCGGAUACUACUGGCCCAGAGAUGGAAAGAAGAUAAAGUCCCGACCAGCGAUGAAUGGCUGAUGAAGAUGAUGGACUACGUCGAAAUGGCGAAAUUGACCAGGAAAAUCAGAAACCAGGAAGAGAAGACCUUUGAGAAGGGAUGGGAAAAAUUCACAAUGUACUUAAGAGAACACUGUAAACAACUCAAAACUUUAGUAAUGUUUGUAAUGUACUAAAAACUAAGAAAAAUAGAGAAAAUAAGGGAAACAGUGGGAAAAGAUUGAAAAUCACUACCAUGGAAGGGUGAAGGGGAGUUAAAGGAUCCAGGAAAUCCUAAAUGGUGGUGAUGAUGUUUAUUGUUUGAAUUUAAAUUUAAAUAAAAAAGAUUUAUUUUUAAAAAAGAAAAGAGGCUCCUUUGAUAGAGGUCAGCAGGAACUCCCUAGAAGUCAAAAGCUGCAUACACAAGGUAUGUGUGAAACACAUUUAAAGCACAUUACUUUCUCCAAAGAAUCUGGGAAUGACAGGUUGUUAAGGUGCCGGGAACUAUAGCUCUGUGAGGGGUAAACUACAGUUUCCAGGAUUCAGGGUGGGGUGGGCGAAGAAACAUAGCCAGAGACACAGCAGGAGUGGGUGGCAAUUUGACACCUAACAUGACGAAGGGAGGAAUAGCAAAUGUUCUGGCUCGGAUGCCACAAAAUCCAAAGGGUGCAUGCUAAGCCCUUUGAUGGCAAAUAAUUAUUAUUUUCCUAAGGGGUUUCGUGGAAACCCUCUGCCAAACUUGUCAGGCAAGUAGUGCAAGGCACUGAUUAACCAAUUAUUUUAGUGCCAAGGGCAGUGCCAACCUCAGCAGUUUGAACAGUUUCUCCUCUUCGACUUGGGCUCAAUGGAGGUAGCUUGAUGCCUUUUCCCAGACAAUUCUUCACAGAGUCAACAAAAGCCGAGACAGUGCUAUGUGUCAUGUAAGCAUGAUGGGAAUUAAAAAUAAAAAUAAAAUUGUAUAUAUUCAGCCCUUCCUCCAAAGCACUCUUAACAAAUAGAUGGUGCUCCCAUUUUAUCUUCACAGCAAACCAGUGGAGAAUGUUAGGCUGAGAAAUUCUGGCUGGCACAGAGCGAACCAGAGAGAACUUCAUGAUGGAGGCGGAAUUUGAACCCGGGUCUUCUCAAUCUGUGGUUGGUACCCACACCAUACAUUUAAAGCGUAUUUGAAGCACAUGACUUCCUCCACCAAAGUAUCCUGGUAACUGUAGUUUUUGGUUUUGAAACAUAUUUUUAUUGAAGAUUUCUUGGUUUACAAAAGUACAGUGCUACCUCGGGUUAAGAACCUAAUUCGUUCCGGAGGGCUGUUCUUAACCGGAAACUGUUCUUAACCUGAGACACCACUUUAGCUAAUGGGGCCUCCUGCUGCCACCGCACCGCCACCGCACGAUUUCUGUUCUCAUCCUGAAGCCGCUGUUUACCUUCCCGCCAGAGUGGUACCUAUUUAUCUACUCGCGCUUUGAUGUGCUUUCAAACUGCUAGGUUGGCAGCAGCAGGGACCAAGCAACGGGAGCUCACCCCGUCACGGGGAUUCGAACCGCUGACCUUCUGAUCGGCAAGCCCUAGGCUCUGUGGUUUAGACCUCAGUGCCACCCGUGUCCCAAUACAUCUCUAAAAGGUAAAGGUAAAGGGACCCCUGAUCAUUAGGUCCAGUCGCGGACAACUCUGGGGUUGCGGCGCUCAUCUCGCUUUAUUGGCCGAGGGAGCCGGUGUACAGCUUCCGGGUCAUGUGGCCAGCAUGACUAAGCCACUUCUGGUGAACUAGAGCAGCACACGGAAACACCAUUUACACUCCCGCCAGAGUGGUACCUAUUUAUCUGCUUCUGGCGAACCGGAGCAGCGCAUGGAAACACCGUUUACCUUCCCGCUGGAGUGGUACCUAUUUAUCUACUUGCACUUUGACGUGCUUUUGAACUGCUAGGUUGGCAGGAGCAGGGACUGAGCAACGGGAGCUCACCCCGUCGCGGGGAUUCGACCCACCGACCUUCUGAUCGGCAAGCCCUAGGCUCUGUGGUUUAGACCACAGUGCCACCCGCGUCCCAAUACAUCUCUAGGGGCCCCCCAAAUAGCUCUCUAGCAUCACUUUUGGAAGACCCCUAGAUGCCUCCCUAGAUGCCAAGACGGUGUAACUGGCAGAGAUAAAAGGGGGGGGUGUCUUUGAAGGAGGUGGCUAAUUCACUGAGCCGAACUCCACCACCCCCGCCUCCCCUCCCAAUUUGGCAUCACCCACCGUCUUUUUAAUUCCCGGUUCUGCUUGCUGCCUCAUCCCUUUGAUAUCCAGACAAUUGCAGCUAUUCAGACAACUCCUCAGCCACCUGUCAGCGGCCAUUCUUAUGCACGUGGGCAGAAAACGAAUCACAAUGCAGAGAGCAGCUACUCCGCUGAGAAACAGAGUUCUCUCCCCACCUUCCCCCUCCCAUAAUGUUUUUAUUAAUUUCGAAAACUUAAAUUUACUUAAAAUUCAACAUACCUUUUUUGUUUAAAAAAAUUGACUUCCCACCCUUACCUGCGUUGUGUUUCUGUCCCCACCCUGUACCAACUGCUUUAUAUAACAUAUUAAUACAUAUAUCCUCUCUUUCACUUACGGUUGCAUCCACUCUGCUGCUCAUAAUUCGAAUCCUGCAGUGUUUUCAUUUUACUAUAGCAGUUCUUCAGAAAAGGAAAUUUCUGGCUAUGGAUUUACUUUUCUCACACCUGCUCCUCUGGCAACGUAGGACUGUGUCCAUUCUUUAAAAAGGAAGAGAUUUCCCAAAGGCAUAUUAGUUAAAGGUAAAGGGACCCCUGACCAUUAGGUCCAGUCGUGACCGACUCUGGGGUUGCGGCGCUCAUCUCGCUUUAUUGGCCGAGGGAGCCGGUGUACAGCUUCCGGGUCACGUGGCCAGCAUGACUAAGCCGCUUCUGGCGAACCAGAGCAGCGCAGGGAAACGCCAUUUACCUUCUCGCUGGAGCGGUACCUAUUUAUCUACUUGCACUUUGAUGUGCUUUCGAACUGCUAGUUUGGCAGGAGCAGGGACUGAGCAACGGGAGCUCACCCCGUUGCGGGGAUUCGAACCACCGACCUUCUGAUCGGCAAGUCCUAGGCUCUGUGGUUUAACCCACAGUGCCACCCGCGUCCCUACUGUGGUAUAUAAGGCAAUGCAAAAAUGCAGCUUGAAACACAGUGGUAGGGAAGGAGGCACAGGCAGGCAGAUGACCUCACUGAGGUUCAUGGCAGAUUUAAAAAGAUGGUAUAAACAUCUUAGGGAUGUGAGUGGCGCUGUGGUCUAAACCAAUGAGCCUUGGGCUUGCCGAUCGGAAGGUCGGCAGUUCGAAUCCCCGCGACGGGGUGAGCUCCCGUUGCUCGGUCCCUGCUCCUGCCAACCUAGCAGUUCGAAAGCAGGUCAAAGUGCAAGUAGAUAAAUAGGUACCUUUAGAAACAUCUUGUCAUUUAAGAGAGGAAGGAGGAGAUGAGGAGCAGAGCAAUGGAUUUUGGGCACAUAAGCUAAGAACUUCACAAAUCCCGCAGAAAUCAAUGGGAUGUUCAAGUGUUAAACUUUGGCUAGAUUGAGCCCUUUAACGUUCCUUCAUGAACAGCACUCAGAUGCAAUGGUGAGCUGCAUUUCAACCACCCUUGCAAUAGUACAGAUUGGGACUCAUUCAGCGCUUGGUUUAAUGCAAUGCACACCCUUCAAAGUAAAAAGGUAAAGGACCCCUGGACAGUUAAGUCCAGUCAAAGGCAACUAUGGGAUUGUGAUGCUCAUCUCGCUUUCAGGCCGAGGGAGCCGGCGUUUGUCCACAGACAGCUUUCCAGGUCAUGUGGCCAGCAUGACUAAACCACUUCUGGCGCAACGGGACACCGUGACAGAAACCAGAGAGCAUGGAAACGCCAUUUACCUUCCCGCCGCAGCAGUACCUAUUUAUCUACUUGCACUGGUGUGUUUUCGAACUGCUAGGUUGGCAGGAGCUGGGACAGAACAACAGGAGCUCACCUUGUCACAGGGAUUUGAACCGCCGAUCGGCAAGCCCAAGAGGCUCAGUGGCAUAGCUGUCAACCGUCCCUUAUUUGGCGGGAAAGUCCCUUAUUCCAGCGCCAUGUCCGGCUGCUGUCCCUUAUUGAUGAUGUCCCUUAAAUUUCCUGGGUUUCAAAGGAAGCAGCUCCUCUCCCUCCCUCCCUGCUGGCCAGGGAGGAGGGAGGCUCCAACUGUGUUGCUUGGCUGCGUUGCUCACCCAAUAAGGAGUCUAAGAAUGACUGGAGGAUGGCGCUUGCAUGCCUUGUGCCGAUCAAAUCAGCCGCAUUGCCUGGGGACUUGCCUUUGCUCAGUGCUUCCCAGCGGAGAGGUGACGGUGGUUUUCCUUGCUGCAUCCCCUUUGCCGGGUUGCUGCGCUGUGGGAACUACCACUUGAGGCUUCCUUUGGCUGCUGGCUGGGCUUUCUGCCUUUGGCUCGGAGGGGCUCAGAAGUCGAACAUGCCUGUGCUCUGAAAAUCCCUUAUUUUGGCUGCUGAUCCCUUAUUUCCGAGGCUGCUGGUUCCUAAUUUUCAAAUCUGUAAGUUGACAGCUAUGCUCAGUGGUUUAGACCACAGAGCCACCCUUCCGGCAUGUGCCACAUGUAAGGAUGGGGCCACACAAAAACAUUUUGCAAAUAUAUUUCAAGGGUUGCUCCCUCCGCAUUGCCAUGUUGCGGGUCUGAAAACCGAUGAUCAAAAAAGGUAGAGCCCCCCUGGCUUGCUCCUGAUGUUAUAUGUGACAUCAGGUAUGGGACUAGCAAGGAUGUGACUACAUUGAAAUCAUUGAAAGCUUAAAGUUGGCUCCAGCUUGUUCCUCUGCAAGUGGGGCUUGCAGCCAGUGCCCAUCAGCUUAUCAACACUGAAAGCAAGCCCUGUCCGUUUGCAGGUUCACUUCUUGGCAGGCAAAAGAGCCUUCACUCUAAAACCUGGAAUCUCGUUUAUUUGCAAAUUGUUCCUUUUGGGCUUGUUGUGGCCUAGGACUUCUUAUGCAACUCCAGAGGAACAAGAGAAGAUCAGAUGCAGCAAUGGAAUGCUUGCAAGUUGACGCAUCGCCACAACGAAGCCAAGCAGACGGAUGUGGAAGAGACCACGCACAUGCCAGCCAAAACCAGAUGCGUUGCCAACCAGAGAGGAAGCCUCUUCACUUAUUCCCCUCUCAGGAACAGCUGUGGCUGAUACAGUAGAUGCAUUCACUGUGAGUGCUGCUGGGCAUCUGAGCAAAAGCGCUACUCGCCUCACUGUGACAUGGAGCACAAGGCUUGCAUAUGAUUGCAGCCCACAUUAAAAUCCUAUGCAGAUUUACCUGGGAGUAAGCCCCACUGAACUCAGUGAUAGUGUGGGAUGUGAUACAUAAGUAGCAGUCAAGUACAACAUUCCUUGCUUUCCUAGAGUGGACAUGCAGGGAAUGUUUGGUCCAGCCGGUCAAAAACUUCCUGUUUCCUCCUGGCUGGGACAUACUUCCUUUGCAUGUGACUAGAGGUGGGCGUGACCUUACCUGUCCAGAUAACAAAAGAACAGGGGACGCAGCCCACCCCCCUUUUGACUUUCUCUGUCAUUGGAGCAGCUUUUUAGCUAGACAUGCUCUGUUGGCUUCCAAACAACAGAGGACACUGGGAUUAUCCCCAUAUAGCUCCACAUGUACUGGUAUAUACUUUGUAUAUACUAAGUCUGCCUUCAGGGAUCCAACUGUGAACUGAAUGUAAGUAAACUACUUUUAGUAAACUACUUUUUUACUUGUGGCAUGUUUAUUCUUUUAAGAGGGAUAUAAGGGAAUUUAGGUAAAGGUAAAGGGACCCCUGACCAUUAGGUCCAGUCGUGACCGACUCUGGGGUUGCGGCGCUCAUCUCGCUUUAUUGGCCGAGGGAGCCGGCGUUUGUCCGCAGAGAGCUUCCAGGUCAUGUGGCCAGCAUGACCAAGCUGCUUAUGGCGAACCAGAGCAGCACACGGAAACGCCGUUUACCUUCCCGCCGGAGCGGUACCUAUUUAUCUACUUGCACUUUGAUGUGCUUUCGAACUGCUAGGUUGGCAGGAGCAGGGAUUGAGCAACAGGAGCUCACCCCGUCAUGGGGAUUUGAACCGCCGACCUUCUAAUCGGCAAGUCCUAGGCUCUGUGGUUUAACCCACAGCGCCACCAGGAACCUAAUAGUGAGAGGCUUACACAAGCCUGCAACCAUCUACCCGUUGUGCGUUUAAAAGGGGGAAUGUGAAACUCUGCUAAGUAAAGGAACCUGCUAGCGCAAGUUAGGAAGGAUAUUAAAAAACAAUAUAUCCUCUCCUGCCUCCCUGAACAUUCCCACAGAAAGUAGGCAUGCAAGGGAUUGCAUCAUUCCUCAGUUGCCUCUUUCUCAUUUGACGGUAAAAGCUUUGUUCUGCAGCUUUCUGCAGUUUGAUUUCUCCUGUACAGAACAUUCAGGGUUUGUGAGCACAGUACCCCUGGAAAUGUGGAUCGAUGCAGACACAUGCGUAAUUUUUGCAAUGUGCCUCUCUAGUGGUUCAGCUAAGCUCAGGCACCUCUUAUCUUUGCAGUAGAAACAACAGAGGUGUGUCUCUCUCUAUCCCGCUUCUUUUUGCUUGACGUGAUGAACAUCUUCCUCUCGCCUAGUUUCAAAAAGGUGGCGCAUCUCUUCUCGCCGACCUGAAUUGGGAAGAAGAAGAAGAAGAAGAAGAAGAAGAAGAGGAGGAGGAGGAGGAGGAGGAGGAGGAGGAGUUUGGAUUUGAUAUCCCGCUUUAUCACUACCUGAAGGAGUCUCAAAGUGGCUAACAAUCUCCUUUCCCUUCCUCCCCCACAACAAACACUCUGUGAGGUGAGUGAGGCUGAGAGACUUCAGAGAAGUUUGACUGGCCCAAGGCCACCCAACAGCUGCAUGUGGAGGAGCGGGGAAGCGAACCCGGUUCAGCAGAUUACGAGUCUACCGCUCUUGACCACUACACCACGCUGGCUCUCACGAGGGAAGCAAUGCUCUCAUGAGCCACUUUCGGUAAGUAUUUUGCAGGAGGGUUUCAAAGGCAUAGUGGAAAUUUAGGUGUGCACACUUAAAGUGGACUAAAGCGCUCCGUUGUCCUGACAGAGCAAAUACACUUACAAAAAAAUCCCAAUGGUCUUUUGCUGUUAGGAAAGUGAGGAGGGAAAUGUGCAGGAUUGAAAUGGUGAACAAAAAUAUGUAUAACCACUGAGGAAGCAAACUGGGAUGAAUUUGGGACAAGUGCUCAUUGUCAUAUAACCUUACCUCAAACAAAUCGGGACGAAGGCUCAAUAAAGACCUGCCGUAAUCUAACCCCUAUGUAAGCUUUGAGCUCAUAGAAUAUUUGACUAUGACCUGGGAGACCAGGGUUCAAAUCUCACACGCAGACACAAAACUCACUGGGAGAUCUUGGGCCAGUCUCUCAGCCUAGCCUACCUCACAGGGUUGCUUUGGGGAUUAAAUGGGGUGGGGGAGAACCAUGAAGACCGCCUUGAGCUGUUUAGAGGUGUGGUGGGAUGGAACUAUAAAGAAACGAACAAAUAAACAGGUCAUCUGUAGGAGCCCACAGUCAAAUAUUCUCCUAGCCUCAGAGCUAAGAGAAUAAGCAGAAAUAAGACUCUCAGCCACUGCCUGCUGAGCUUGAAAUUCAUGCCGUAAACUCAUGAUCUGGAACCAAUAGAUGGCUCUUGCAGUACCAAAUAACACACAUUUGCAGCAAAAAGAAGGCAAUUUUGGGCCAUUGCACUCGUUUGGUGUUUGUAGAAGAGAGAGAGACUUGCUGCAAGAUUUUGGUUAUUCUGCAAUUGAUGUAAUAUGCAGCCUCAAGUGAAAGUUAUUAUGUGCCAGUAUCCGCCAGUUAUGCAACGCUACAUUCCUAUUACAUUUCCUGCCUUGCUUUCUAAUAAAAGCUGGUGCAUUUGUGUGUGUGCCCAGGGCGGCAGCAUUAUAGACAUCUUCCAACGCUAAGGUAGAAAGCUGGUAAUUCUGUAAGUCUGAUUGUAGUUCCACGAAGCUAGCAAGAGAUGACUACGUUAGGCUAACCUUGUUUAUGAUGCUAGAAGCAGAAUUCUGAAGCGUCAAUAUAAGAUGCAGCACAAAUAAAUAAAUAAAUUUAGUGGCAGGUUGAUGCUUGCCUUAUGAUGCCACAAUACUUAAAAAAAUAAAAUAAGAGGAGGAGGAAAAAGUCAAGGAACCUACUCCUAAUGCGUUCUGCAACCCAACAUCCCCCUGGAUGCUAUUCAAACAAACAUUGUUCCUUCCUACAAUGGCUGUCUAUGGGCGAUUUUCCUGGUAAAUCAACAAUGCAUUCCAUCCUUGCGUUGUUUGCAUUUCAAUGGAGCAGCGACACACAGACAGGCAGAGGCACAGGAUCAGGCAAUUUGAGAAGCACUGUAAAAAUGUAAAUAGGGCAUAAUGUAGCUAUUUAUACACAAGCAAAUAUGUCUCAUUGCUCGAAAUCUGACGGCUGCUAUCUGCUAUCUAAGGCAACCGACGUUUAUUUCGUCCUCAAAAAUCCUUCGCAGAUUAUUUUUGUCUCCAGCAUCAACAAUUCUUUGUUUGGUUUGCUUGUGAUAAUUUUUAUUAAAGUUUCCCUUUGGUUAAAAAUAUGGAAUGCUUCUGCGAGUUCUCCUUGCACAGGGGCCAUGCUAAUCUCUGUAUCGUUCCAAUUUUAGAAUAUGUGCUGUUUAUAAAUAUCCAUAAGAAUUAUACAUCCGGCAUCACAUAUCUAAGAAGUGUUGCAGGAAUUUAUGUAUAGGUUGGGGGAGUUGCCCCUCCAGCAGAUAUCAUGCACAUGCAGCCCACUACCAAAACCAGCACAAUCACUUUUGUGACUUUUGUGAUUUGUCCCCACAAAACACUUCAUCACAGUUUCUUCCUAUCUAUUCAAAGGGCCUUUGCUGCAUGAUACUAAAUGUAAGAAUUCACUGAUAAAUGUAUCUAUGUACUGGCUCACUGGGAAAACUUCAGAACUUCAUAUAGACAUGUGAGCUUAGCUACUCAGCAGCCCCUCUGCCUGAGGGAUAAUUCCUGGCAUCCUGAUACCUGAGUGCCAGACAGGUAGCCAUUCCAGAAAUAACAAACCCAGAUGAAGACAAAAGGGUGUGAUUAACUUGGCUGGGAAACAGGGAAAUGUAAAUAGAUUUUUUGUUACACUUGAUGGGUGUUUGGUGGAGGGCAAGGAGAACCAUGGGGCAGGGUCCAGGAUGCUCAGAUUACUGCCACCAGACCUCCCCUUUCAUGAUGCAACCGUGAUGUAUGAGUGAUGUAGUUUGGGGUGGCACUGUGGGUUAAACCACAGAGCCUAGGACUUGCUGAUCAGAAGGUUGGCGGUUCGAAUCCCCAUGAUGGGGUGAGCUCCUGUUGCUCGGUCCCAGCUCCUGCCAACCUAGCAGUUCGAAAGCACGUCAAAGUGCAAGUAGAUAAAUAGGUACCGCUCCGGCAGGAAGGUAAACAGCAUUUCCAUGCGUUGCUCUGGUUCGCCAGAAGCGGCUUAGUCAUGCUGGCCACAUGACCCGGAAGCUGUACGCCGGCUCCUUCGGCCAAUAAAGUGAGAUGAGCGCCACAACCCCAGAGUCGGUCACGACUGGACCUAAUGGUCAGGGGUCCCUUUACCUUUACUUUAACAUGGGGAUUAGCAGCUAAUAAAAGUUUGGGAACUCUUUUGUUUGGGACUUCCAUCUUGUUCCACCUUGUGGCAGGUGGGAGUCCUGUCGCGACAGUCUUCAAUAAAGACCAAGCCUACUGGCUGCUGUUUUGCUCUGGUAUUCCUGGCUGGUGUCCUUGUUUUUUGUCCAAGGGAGCCCACAUAUUUCUCCGUUAACAGAUGGAACAAUUGUGUGUGUGCGUGUGUUCAGUUUUAUUACUCUAGACAAAUAACAUGCCAUAUUUCAGAUUUCAUUUUGGCAAAGUCAUUGAGCACACACACCCCCGGCCCUUUUUUCUUUUUGGCCAAAGUAGUUGAGCGUUUUUUGUUUUUCAGCUAUUUUUAAGGAAAUUUGCCCAAAUCUACACUUCCGAUAUGGGUUGCCAUAAGUCCACAUGUUCCAGGGCAUUAAAGCGGCAAUGUCCAGGAAAUUCCGGACGUAUGGCAACCCUACAUGCAUGGGUCAGCAUGGUCAGGGUUAAUGGAUGAUGGGAAUAGUAGUCCAAAACAUGUACAGCAUUGGUUUUCAAGUGGUGGGUCACAGCCUGAUCGAAAGGUGGGUCACAGCAGCAACACAGCCAUCGUACAAAUGUAUGGUUAAAACAAAUAGGCCCCCAACUGCCUAUGUAGGCUAAUAGUCUGACCUCAGUGGGGAAAUAUUGAGGAUAACUGAUUUAGAGGGCAGGAAGUUUUUUCUGUUAAAAGAUGCCUGCUUCUUGGGAGAAAAGCAAUGACAAACCUAGACAGCAUCUUAAAAAGCAGAGACAUCACCUUGCCAACAAAGGUCAGUAUAGUUAAAGCCAUGGUUUUCCCAGUAGCGAUGUAUGGAAGUGAGAGCUGGACCAUAAAGAAGGCUGAUCGCCAAAGAAUUGAUGCUUUUGAAUUAUGGUGCUGGAGGAGACUCUUGAGAGUCCCAUGGACUGCAAGAAGAUCAAACCUCUCCAUUCUUAAGGAAAUCAGCCCUGAGUGCUUACUGGAAGGACAGAUCCUGAAGCUGAGGCUCCAAUACUUUGGCCACCUCAUGAGAAGAGAAGACUCCCUGGAAAAGACCCUGAUGUUGGGAAAGAUUGAGGGCACAAGGAGAAGGGGACGACAGAGGACAAGGUGGUUGGACAGUGUUCUCGAAGCUCCCAACAUGAAUUUGACCAAACUGCAGGAGGCAGUGGAAGAGAGGAGUGCUAAAAAGCACAUCACCCUUCCUUUUAGGGCAAGCAGCGGCUAAUGUCGCUGACCAAGGCCUGCGCCUUAGGCAAGGAGGUUUCCAUCGUAUGCCGCCGCUGUCAACGUGGGACCGAAAAGGGGGGGAAACCCUAGAUGAAGGCGAAUGUCUGAGGGGAGAGGGUGGCGGGAGGGAAUAAAUAAGCCUUUUGUUUUGAAGGUUAAAUAGCCAAAAAUGCAGCUCAGAAUGUUCCAUAAAGGUUUAGCUUUCAGCAACACACAGCAGAGACAAAGCUGAUUCCACCUCUUUCGCUGGCCCCGUGACCUCGGAGUUUUAUAUGGCAUUGCCUGGGAAGUCAGGGAACUCUAUGGCUUUCCCAGGACAUUCAGAGCUUUCCUGCUCUGGGCCUGCCUGAGUGGGGAGCAGCGGGGAGGGAGAGUUUUCGCCUCCAAUUUAAAAAUACCAGGGGGAGUUUACCGAUUAAUAUUCAUGAACAAGGAACAGUCUGCUUUUUGUUACCACGGCCUUUUCCCAUGCAAGGUGGGUUCGGAGGGAGGAAUACAUUAACACGCACACACACAUCCUUACUGACACAAAACUAACCACCUCUAGGAUUACCAAAAGGCAAGAGCCAGCGCUCAACACAAGUGGUAAAUAUUUAACAGGGAAAGAGCUUGCUUCCUUUGCCCUCCCCUCGCCCCGAUCUCCUUGCUUCCUUCUAAUUUGCCGUAUAUAUUAAUCUCAUUACUUCGUCUUUAAACAACGGGGCUGUGUUUUCCAAAAUACCCGGGCUUCACAGAAAGUCUGGAUAUAGGAAGGGUGGUGUGUACACGUACACACACACACAACCUUAGCACUAGUAGCACAAUGGAUUGCGGUUCUUUGUAUUGUUUUGGGGGUGGUUGUUUUUUAAAUCAUGACGGUACAUUCCCCGUUGUAGCUAGGGAACAAGGAUACCUCCAUUUGCCCCAAGACAAAACUUGAGGCGGUGAUCUUUAACCGUGGUGUAAAUCAGGACUUUCUGUCUUUAGCUGGGGGGGGGGGGCGAGGGAAUCCUAAAUCAGGAUAAAAUACGGGUGGCAGCUGAAUGAAUAAAAGUGACAACUUUGGGGACACGCAGCUCCAAGAGGCUUCUUGCAUCUGAUUUUCAGAUACUGCCAAAAGAGCUUUCGGAUUUCCCUUUAACUCUGUGCAUAGUGCUUAGCACCUCUGAAGGGAAGUCAGAUCCGGAUUUCAAAACAGUGACAUUCAGAAAGCAGUAAAGACUAUUUGUUUUAACCUUUGAGGCUGUCUAGAAGUUUUUGAAUAAGACGCAUUGUGACGUUCAGUUUAACUGGAGGUGUACAUUUUGAUUAUUCGGGACACCUCAGUGCGCACUCUGUGUAUUCUCACGUUCACCCCAACUUCGGCAGAGAAUUCCCAAGAACAGAGGACCACACUACAAAUUUAGAAAUAACACACAGUGCACCCUUAUCUUUGCAGAUAUCACAGAAGCAUUUGCAAAUCUGAAUGUUCUCCUUGAUCCUCUGACCCAUGGGUAGGCAGACUAAGGCCCGGGGGCCGGAUCCGGCCCAAUCGCCUUCUAAAUCCAGCCCGCGGACGGUCCGGAAAUCAGUGUGUUUUUACAGGAGUAGAAUGUGUCCUUUUAUUUAAAAUGCAUCUCUGGGUUAUUUGUGGGGCCUGCCUGGUGUUUUGACACAAGUAGAAUGUGUGCUUUUAUUUAAAAAGCAUCUCUGGGUUAUUUGUGGGGCAUAGGAAUUUGUUCAUCCCACCCCCAAAUAUAAUCCGGCCCCCCACAUGGUCUGAGGGACAGUGGACCGGCCCCUGCUGAAAAAGUUUGCUGAUCCCUGAGUCCCAUCACAUGCAACAGAAAAGGAGCAUAUCAGGGAAUAGGACUCUGAUCUAGACUUCUCUGCUGCUUGUAUUCUGCAUGCAGGGAGCUUGGGGUGUAUAGCAGCAAUAUCUGCCACAAUCCAUUUCCCCUGCCGCAGUCUAAAUUGGCACUGUCUGGGAAGGUUUGUCUGCUACGGAUCGUUGCCAGAAACUGCUACCUCAAAAGGGCUAUGAGCAAAGUUCAGGCUUCCGACUGUUAUAGCCGACCCACCCAAAUGAAUUCUCCUCACUAUGAAGCAGAUUUGUUAAAUCGAGGGUAUAAGGCCUGGUCAGCAAUCCCCUCUCCAGAUAUUUGCUUCCUUCCAAUAUACCAGGUUGGGACUCGGGUGGCGCUGUGGGUUAAACCACAGAACCUAGGACUUGCCGAUCAGAAGGUCGGCGGUUCGAAUCCCCGCGACAGGGUGAGCUCCCAUUGCUCGGUCCUUGCUCCUGCCAACCUACCAGUUCGAAAGCAUGUCAAAGUGCAAGUAGAUAAAUAGGUACCUCUCCGGAGGGAAGGUAAACGGCGUUUCCGUGCGCUGCUCUGGUUCACCAGAAGCGGCUUAGUCAUGCUGGCCACAUGACCCGGAAGCUGUACGCCGGCUCCCUCAGCCAGUAAAGUGAGAUGAGCGCCGCAACCCCAGAGUCGGCCACGACUGGACCUAAUGGUCAGGGGUCCCUUUACGUUUAAUAUACCAGGUGUGGGGAACUUUAGGUCCCCCGGAUAUUGCUGAACUACAACUUCCAUCAGUCUCAGCAAGCUUGACCAAUGAUUAGGGAUGAUGAGAGUUGAAGUUCACCUGGAGGACCAAAAGUUCUCCACACCUCCUCUACACAACCACAAUUAUAUAGUGGGUAUCACUCUGAAACUCACCUACAGGCGGUAUCUAACACCAAGAAAACUAGCACUAAUACGCCCAGGAACCUCACCAAAAUGCUGGAGAGGAUGCACCUCCACAGGCACAUACAUCCACAUGUGGUGGGAGUGCCCCAAAAUCCAACUAUUCUGGAUAACAGCCAUACGAGAAAUAUGUAAAAUAACUAAGCAAGUAUUAGACAUCACCCCAGAAUUGGCCCUACUAAACAUCUUCCAAGACAACAAUGCCCAUUUACACCACAAAGAACUCAUAACCCACCUACAUUCAGCAGCCAGAAACACCAUAACCAGACACUGGAGAGACCUGUAAGCAUGGACCAAUGGUACCAAAUAGUAUGGGAAACAGCCCUACUGGAAAAAUUAACCAAUAAACUGACAUGGGGACAAACAGAAGAAGACACCUUUACCCCAGUAUGGCUCCCCUUUAUCACAUACACAGCCCAACAAGACAAUGACAAUAAGCCACCAACAGCAUACAAAUCAAUAUGGCUAACCUUAUCCAAAACACCCACCCACCCCACUCACACACGAAAACAAAGAUCACCACAGCCAAUCACAAACAAACAACCACACCCUAGGCCAACCCCAACCUCUCUCACCACCAAAGGAACACAAGUGAACAGCACAAGCAACGCUGACACCAAACCCUAUAUACAUUAAGCAUAAUAGAAACAUCGCCACCCGACCUCACCCUACCCUACGCCACCCUACCCAUCUUCCCUCCCUCCACCCCUCCCCUUAAUGUCUCAACAAAUGAAACGGAUUUGUAAAAAUGUUACAUGGAAAAAAUACGAGAGACAUUACACUUACUUCUGUAAAACAAGAAAAUCUUUAAUAUAGUGGGUAUCACUUAAAUCCAGCUUUGUUACAUAGGACGGACACCUUCCAUACUGGAAAAAACUAUCCUACAUUCCAUUUAGAAACUCAUUUAACAUUUUGGGGAUUUGUCUUAAGUCGGUUACAUUCACCCUGAUACUUGAUCAUCACCACUUCAGGGAGAAUGUUUUAAAGGUGGAGAAGUUCAGUUCCCCUUAAAGUCACGAAGAAUAUUGGACCUGCUCGUCUCAGAGGAUUGUUGUCAGGAAAAAAUGGGGGACUUAGAAAACGGUGCGAUACAAAUUAUUCAAGUCUAUAUUGAAAAAGUUAUUUCCCAUAUGCGAAGACCACAGCAGGGUUUGAAGUGUAAGAAAAUAGCAGGAGAUAUUAAGAAACAGGUUGGAGAGGAUAAAAUUAGGUAAGACAGAACCUUAAAAUGAAUUGCAAAUGUAAUUUGAGUUAUAAACAUCAAUACUGGGUGAGUGGAAAGUCAGUAGUUUUGUUGAACCGGAAUAUAAUAGUUGAGGAACAAAUGUAACUUUCUCUAUGGAAAAAAGAAUAAAAUAGUUUUAUUUAUUUUUAAAGAAAACAGUGUUAUACAAAUGUAAUUAAUGGAUAAAUAAAAACCAGUGUACAGUGGUACCUUGGUUCUCAAACGGCUUAGUUGUUGAACAAAUCGUCUCCCGAACGCCACAAACCCGGAAGCAAGUGUUCCGAUUUGCGAACAUUUUUUGGAAGCCAAACCUCCAACGCGGCUUCUGCCUGAGUCCAGGAAGGUCCUGCAGCCAAUCAGAAGCCGCGCCUUGGUUUCCGAACGGUUUCAGGAGUCGAAUGGACUCCCGGAAUGGAUUAAGUUCGAGAACCAAAGUACAACUGUAUAACUGAAAGCAACUUACUUUGUUUCAUAAGCUUCCAGAGAAGUGAGUUGCAUGAUCCAGAAUACAGGUGAAACUCGGAAAAUUAGAAUAUAGUGGAAAAGUUCAUUUAUUUCAGUAAUUCAACUUAAAAGGUGAAACUAAUAUAUGAGAUAGAAUCAUGACAUGCAAAGCGAGAUAUAUCAAGCCUUUAUUUGUUAUAAUUGUGAUGAUCAUAGCAUACAGCUGAUGAAAACCGCAAAUUAACAAUCUCAGAAAAUUAGACUAUUAAAUGAAAUCAGCAAAAAAAGGAUUGCAAAUAGACCAAUAUUGGACCUCUGAGAAGUAGAAGCAUGCAAAUGUACUCAAUGCUUGGUUUGGGCCCCUUUUGCAUCAAUUACUGCCUCAAUGCGGCGUGGCAUGGAUGCUAUCAGCCUGUGGCACUGCUGAGGUGUUAUGGAAGACCAGGAAGCUUCAAUAGCAGCCUUCAGCUCUUCUGCAUUGCUCGGUCUCAUGUCUCUCAUCUGUCUCUUGGCAAUGCCCCAUAGAUUCUUUAUGGGGUUCAGGUCAGGCGAGUUUGCUGGCCAAUCAAGCGCAGUAAUCCCAUGGGCAUUGAACCAGGUUUUGGUACUUUUGGCAGUGUGGGCAGGUGCCAGAGUCCUGCUGAAAAAUGAAGUCAGCAUCCCCAUAAAGCUCGUCUGCGGAAGGAAGCAUGAAGUGCUCCAAAAUCUCCUGGUAGAUGGCUGCGUUGACCCUGGACUUAAUGAAGCACAGUGAACCAACACCAGCUGAUGACAUGGCUCCCCAAAUCUCUUUUCUGAUCAGAGCAGCUUUUGCAUCUCAUUUGGAAGCCAAGGACCCAGAGUCUGGAGGAAGAAUCAGGAGGCACACAAUGCCAGAUGCUUGAAGUCCAGUGUGAAGUUUCCACAGUCUGUGUUGAUUUGGGGAGCCAUGUUGUGUGUAGUUAACCAUUUCCCUAUCAUUUCUGUUCCAUAUUUCAAAAGACCAGCCCCCACCCUGACCAGUUAAAAGAACUAGGAGGGGCAGCAGUUCUGCAAAUUGGCACAGGUCAACGGGAGCUGUAAGAAGGCUCAGCAGCCUGUGUCCCGGUGCUUUUGGCAGGCCACCAAUCUCGGACAAAUGUCCCAUGUAUCCAAUGGUCAGCUCCAUCUCUCCCAACUGCCCAUCUUCUUGAGAAGACUGUGGCCAAUCCAGCCUUUUUUCAAGAUGCAUUUUCAUGAGCUAUGCAUGAACUUGAUCCUAUUGUGAAUGCAGACCAUAACCUUUCUUGAAACAGGUAGGCCAAGAAAGUUAUAUCUUUCUGCCUUUAGGGACCAGUUUCCGAGUACAGAGGGCUUACCUUGAAAAUGUUUUCCAUACUGUUUGAUGUUGUGGAGCCAUCGGUGGGAAUACUGAGAGCAUUAGAUUCCUGGGUGGUUCAUUGAUUUGUUCUAGUUUUACUAAAUUGACUAACAUCAAUUCACUCAGACAUUUCACUUUCCAUACUGAAAUGCUUAUUCUGAAUACCCUUUUGAGGGACAGGGUGGGAAAAGAAGACUUGAAAGUUGAAAUAUAUAUCUGAGCUAUGUGAUGUGGACAUGGACUUUAUAUUUUCAUAUAUAAAUGAAUCACUAACAUGUUUUGAGUAGCAGAGGGUGCAAUUCCUUCUAGCUAUUUAAGUUCUGUAAAAAUGGAUUUUUAUGUGCAAAGGAUUUUUAAUGAUUGAGCAUCUAUGCAUACAUAUUAAUAAGUCCACACUGAAACAUGGAGGGAAUAAAAACUGCCAAGAGAUUUCAAGAGUAAGAAGAUCCAUUGGUACCACCAUUUGAUCCAAUGAACUCACAAUGAGUCAUCUGUAUCUAAUUACUCAAAUAACAACAAUGGAAUAAUUAAAUGCCCAUGGUCACAUGCUGGCCAGAUAAAGUUUUCUCUCUCCAUCCAGUUCCUACAAAUACUAUUAGGAUCAGUUAAAGGUAAAGGUAAAGGGACCCGUGACCAUUAGGUCCAGUUGCGGACGACUCUGGGGUUGUGGUGCUCAUCGCGCUUUAUUGGCUGAGGGAGCCAGCGUACAGCUUCUGGGUCAUGUGGCCAGCAUGACUAAGCUGCUUCUGGCAGCGCACGGAAACGCCGUUUACCUUCCCGCCAGAGCGGUACCUAUUUAUCUACUUGCACUUGGAUGUGCUUUCGAACUGCUAGGUUGGCAGGAGCAACAAACUUUAAGAACUGGUGCUUGAGGUUGCUUGUUUUUCCUCUCCCCUCCUCACCCCCUUGUCUUUUUGUGUUGUGUCUCUUAGAUUGCAACCUUUGUUUCUGUUGACCUUAUACAGUAUAAGUUAUUCUGGGAGCCGUGUUGACUACAAAGCUGGGUUUAAAUGCCCUGAAAUAGAUUUUAAAAAUAGGUUUGUAUGCUAUACUCCCCAACAUGAAUGUGUUGCCUUGGGGUUUUUCAGAGUGCAUUGUGAAGAGUCCUUCUGUAGAGUGUGAAUUGAACUGAGUGAUAUCCCUCAUAGAAAGGAUCAGUCAGACAUUUUAGACUUCAAGUACCAGGCUUGGGGUGGGAAGAGAAAGACAGAAAUUGCUGACGCCAGAAAAUACAGAAAUCCCAAUGAAGCUGUAGGCACCAUCUCAUGUUAUAGUUUUACAGGCACUUUCACAAAUUAUCAGAAUUGUGUUUAAUGUAGCAUGUAAUGUGGGGAACAGCGACAUCAGUUCAGAAAAUAGUGACUAUUUAAUUCAAAUGAUCUGGUGGAUGCACUCAUAUGUCCCUGUGAACUGACAGGGCAUGAAAGAAAUUUGCCUAGCUGCUCUCUUGCAUGUUUUGCCUCUCUCCUUCCCUAGAAAAUAGAGAAGAUACAUCCAAGAGUGCAAAAAUUUAAAUCUUUGCAUUCAUGAAGUGGAUUAGUAGGAUAUUACACAGAUGGAAGAAAUGCAAUUGAUGAAAUUGUCUCUCGCGACUACGGGCACACAGUUGGCCAUACAAUAUUAGCACUUUCAAACUCGGAUUUAUAACAGUGAUUAAUUUUCAUCUCAUUUCCCAGAAACAAAAUGCUGCAAUCUGAGUAUGGGGAGAUUGCAACUUAUCUGCACAGCUUUGAAAAGUUGGGUAGAUCGUCUGCUGCAACUGAGGACCUAACUAAAUUAGAUUGAUGUUUGCCUCACUUUAUUUAUUAAAAAGCAAUCCAUGUGGUAUGUGGGCAUGUGUGAAUAAAUUGCAUCAAGACUGAAGUUGUUUCUUUUUAACCCUCUUGGAGCCAUUUCCCCCAAUGUAAACAAUUCUUUAAGCAUCUGCUUGCCCCAUUAGGGACAAUUUACAAGUAACUUGAAAAACAGCUAUACAACUUCUGCUCAAAGAAAGGCUGCGGGACAGGUUUCCCCAGCUCAGAGCUCUCCAGAUUGUUUCAAAGGAUGACUCCAAGCCAGGAGUAGGCAACCUAAGGUUCGUGGGCUGGAUGCGGCCCAGUUGCCUUCUCAAUCUGGCCCGCGGACGGUCCAGGAAUCAGCAUGUUUUUACAUGAGCAGAAUGUGUGCUUUUAUUUAAAAUGCAUCUCUGGGUUAUUUGUGGGGCGUAGGAAUUCGUUCAUUUUUCUCUCCAAAAUAUAGUCCGGCCCACCACAUGGUCUGAGGGACAGUGGACCGGCCCACGGCUGAAAAAGGUUGCUGACCCCUGCUCCAAGCAGUCCCUGUCAGUGCUGCCCAGGUCUGCUGGGAAUUUAUUUAUUUAAUAAAAUUUAUAUAGCGCUUACCGUGAAAACACACAUCUCAAAAGCAGUUUGCAAAAAGAAUUGUUGUCCAAAACAUCUGGAGGGCUCCAGGUUGGGAGGAAAUGCCUUAGGGCCCUAGAUAAUAAUAUUUUGAAGAAUAAUUUUAGUUUCCUCUGAGGAAGCACCUUUUGCUGGGGCUGUGUACACAUUACAGUGUACAGUGGUCUUUGGGUUGCAUACGCUUCAGGUUACAGACGCUUCAGGUUACAGACUCCGCUAACCCAGAAAUAGUACCUCAGGUUAAGAACUUUGCUUCAGGAUAAGAACAGAAAUUGCGUGGCGGCAACAGCGGGAGGCCCCAUUAGCUAAAGUGGUGCUUCAGGUUAAGAACAGUUUCAGGUGAAGAACGGACCUCCGGAACGAAUUAAGUACUUAACCCGAGGUACCACUGUACUUUGGUUCCAGUGUGUUCCCACCGCUGGUGGCCGAUGUAGAGUACACAUGACCUUAGCCACGAUCCACAUCUAUCCUAUAGUUUCUUGAGAAAUGCCACUCUCUGAUCCGUUUCCGCUCAAACCAGCUUCCAUCUGAUUUGAAAACGUAAGCCGCAUUCACUUCUCAGUUAAACUGAGGUAUGUGCAUUUGAAAGUCCCAUGGACUGCAAGAAGAUCAAACCUAUCCAUUCUGAAGGAAAUCAGCCCUGAGUGCUCACUGGAAGGACAGAUCCUGAAGCUGAGGCUCCAAUACUUUGGCCACCUCAUGAGAAGAGAAGACUCCCUGGAAAAGACCCUGAUGUUGGGUGGGAAAGAUGGAGGGCACAAGGAGAAGAAGGGGAUGACAGAGGACGAGGUGGUUCGAUAGUGUUCUCGAAGCUACCAGCAUGAGUUGGACCAAACUGCAGGAGGCAGUGGAAGACAGGAGUGCCUGGCGUGCUCUGGUCCAUGGGGUCACAAAGAGUCGGACACGACUAAACGACUAAACAACAACAUGUGCAUUUGAGACAGCCAUUGUGCAUGCACAGAUGACAGUGUGUGAACAGCUUUGCCAACAGGGUGUGUGUGUGUGUUUUUUGGCACAGUGAAACAAAUCUGGUUGUGUGUAUCGGAUUAAAGCACGCACACACACACACACACACCCCUCCGAGCCUGGUGUGUACAGUAAUGAGAGUCGAUUCACAGAACCUGUGAAGACCUGCUGAGCCAAUUGUUUUCACCCCAGUUGCAGAUUGCUUGUGGUGAGCUAUAAACUGAAAUUGCAUUGGGCAUGCUUCUAAAACCUUCCUCAAGUGGAACAAUCAGUGGUUUGUUUAACUCUGAUGUGGCGAACUGUGACCUCGAGAUUCCAUGUGUGGAACUUCUCCUUGCCAUAAGCAGAACUUUUGCCUCAUUCAUUGUUUGUCUCGAACUAUGAAUGGUGUAUUGAUAGCCAUAUCUCCAAAAAUGCAUUCCUUACUUCUAUAAUAUCAGCUCCAGGACAUAUAAUUUUCCGUUUUUUUAUUCUGGAAGCAGACAGGGAUUUUGCUUUUGAUUUCUUUUUCUUUUACCAUCGAAACUCUAUCUGCUUUCUUUUCUACUUGGUGAAUUGGGAAAUUGUAAGGCAAGAAUCUAGCUAAACAAGUUCCCAGUGCAAAUGCCAUUUUGUAAACAAAGAACUCUUUGAAAAAUGGUUGCAGGCCUCUGGAUCCUUGUGAUGGCCAGGAAAACUGUUUGUUUUUUUGGGGGGUGUUUUUUUGCUGUUCCUGGAAUUCAUCUAAGCCUCUCAGAUAGUGUCAAAUGUAGCAAGAGUGUUUGCGGUGCAGAAGGAAAGAAGGAACUUUUCUCCGCUGAAGAAGUCAAGCUCUUUCCUGCCAACUUACUAUCAACUAUGAUUACUGAGAGCGUUGCUCUUAAGAAGGGAUCUCUAGAUAUGCAGGAAUUUCAUACCCCAUAUAUUGCAAGAUUAUUUGGCAGACCAAAAUAUUAGCAGGGGGAAUCAUCUGAGUCUUUAUCAAAGCAGUUUAACUCAUAAACCAACCCAUCAGCAGAGAGUUCUGUUUUUUAAAAAUCAUUUUAUGAGGAACUUUUAAAAACUGCACUCUUAAAUCCGCUCAACAAACUCAGCUUUGGUACAAACCUGAUGUUUCCACAUGGCAUCAAAUUGACUACAUCUUGGGUGCAUUUUGAAAGGCUGGCUUUAUUAACAUUUAUCAAGUCAAUUGCAUACCUCUCGUCGAAAGCAUUCUCCUCACUGGGUUCUAAAACAGCUUCCCAUUCCAGUCCCUCCUCUCCCCGGUUUUGAGGGUUUUUCUUCUUCUUUUAAAAACCCAUAUAUAAUGUCUUCUAGUGACCAUAUAGCAAACACAAUUUGUGGCCUUUUUCAAAGCUCCUGAAAGAAACAUAGAGCUUGGGAAUCGGAAUAAUCACCACUUUUGUCAAGACAAGUGUGCUCAACAUUUUGUAUCCUGACAGUAUUCUGUUUUCCUCAUUUGAACCUUGUAGCUUCUUUUAAGAGGCUGGUGGGAAGAGGUUAAAGGUCGCCCUUGAGCUGCCAGCAAACCGAGUGAAAAAUUGUGGACAGUUCCCCUUUGCUUGGAUUAAGAGUUCUAUUCUUUCCCUUUGUGAUGGCAAUACCUUCUCUGGGAGGACUUGUGUGUAGCAAAUUAGUGUUCUGACCUCCCUUUCUAAUUACUUCUUCAGGUGUAACAGCAAGCCAGCUGUUGGGGAAAGACAGAAGAUGCUGCUUAGCGGUGUUCGGUUCACAUAAUGACAUCUGUCACUAAUAGCCCCAGAAUUACAAAAGGCUCCUUUUGUUUCUCCCCUUUUAUUCAAAGAAGUGGAACGUCUUCUUUCCCUGAGGAAAUAAAAAGUGGAACUCUGUGAGUUGUAUGAAAGUGACGGUGCGAUAUUCCGUGUGGUCCAUGCUUAAUGUUGUCUGCCAAAUCUAUACCGGCGGCUCUCAAACUUCCCCUGCCACAGACCACUUGGAAAAAAUGCUAAUAGUUUUGUAACAAUUUUUCUGCUCUAUGAUUUUUAAUUGUAUUCUUAUAGCUGCUUAGAUUUCUUGCAUAUUGCGUUUCUUGCAAGUUGAAUUCCAGAGAAUUCAGAUGGCAGGAAGGUGAAAUACAGAAUAAAAUAAUAAAAGAAACCAUUUAAAUACAAUUAAAAAUCCACACGAAUAUUUGACACAGGCAUGCCACUGACCACCAAAAUGAAGCUUUGAGAACCUCUGAUCUCUCAAAGCCCUUCACGGCCUAGGACCCUCGUACCUACGGGACCACCUCUCCCGGUAUGCCCCAUGGAGAGCCUCAAGGUCCAUUAACAGCAAGACCCUAGUGGUCCCGGGCCCUAAGGAAGUUAGAUUAGCUUCAACCAGAGCCAGGGCCUUUUCAACUCUGGCUCUGGUCUGGUGGAACGCUCUGCCUCAUGAGACCAGGGCCCUGCAGGAUCUGAUUUCUUUCCGCAGGGCCUGUAAGACAGAGUUGUUCCACCUGGCCUUUGGCUUGGAGCCAAUUUGAUUCCCUCCCUCUCUUUCAUUUUUCUUUUUCCUUUCUCCUCCUGUGAUGAGGCUGCAUUUUAAUACUUUAAUGUUUCAAUAUUUUAAUGUUGUAUUUUAAUCUUGUUUUUAAGUUGUAAUCAUUCAACUUGUUUUUAUUAUUGCUUGUUAGCCGCCCUGAGCCUGGCCUUGGCUGGAGAGGGCGGGGUAUAAAUAAAAAUUAUUAUUAUUAUUAUUAUUAUUAUUAUUUAUUUAAAUGAAACAACAAUAGUCGUGUAAUCAAAGUGGCAUGUUUUCUGGUAGCUGGAAUAUCCUAACAACCGAAUGUGCUAGAAACUAUGAACAUAUCCAGUAAGUUUCUGUUGUGUAAUUCUGAAGCCAGUUAGAUGAGCAUCUGGAAAAUUUUGGAAAGCUUAGUAAUGAAAGCAUGUCACACAGAGCUCUGGCUGCAAUGCACUAUAUCUGAGAAGACGACUAGAUGCAGAAGUCAGGGCUCUUGCACCUUUAAUAAUUGUAAUUAUUGAAUGACAAGUUACACCUGUUGAAAUUCCCUGUUUAAGGUAUGGGAGUCCUGCUCCCUCUUGCACCCCCACCAUGCAUUCUUGUUACAAUAAGGGCAGGUCACACACUGCAAAACUUUUGCCAGAGUUUGGCACCGGUUUGGAGUGAAUCGGACGGCGCUGGGUUUUGGGUGACCCUGUGACCUCUGGGUUUGAGUGUCAAUGGCUCUGUUUGUGGGGCUCCGCAAAACGCAGGGUUUUCGCUGCAAAACUUUGGCACAGGUUUGGAGGGGAUGCCACAUUUUGGGGUUCCUAGUUAAUGGGACAUCACCUUGCCGACAAAGGUCCAUAUAGUAAAAGCUAUGGUUUUCCCAGUAGUGAUGUAUGGAAGUGAGAGCUGGACCAUAAAGAAGGCUGAUCGCCAAAGAAUUGAUGCUUUUGACUUCUGGUGCUGGAGGAGACUCUUGAGAGUUCCAUGGACUGCAAGAAGAUCAAACCUCUCCAUUCUGAAGGAAAUCAGCCCUGAGUGCUCACUGGAAGGACAGAUCGAUCCUGAAGCUGAGGCUCCAAUACUUUGGCCACCUCAUGAGAAGACAAGACUCCCUGGAAAAGACCCUGAUGCUGGGAAAGAUGGAGGGCACAAGGAAAAGGGGACGACAGAGGACGCGAUGGUUGGACAGUGUUUUCGAAGCUACCAGCAUGAGUUGGAACAAACUGCGGGAGGCAGUGGAAGACAGGAGUGCCUGGCAUGCUCUGGUCCAUGGGGUCAUGAAGAGUCGGACACAACUAAAUGACUAAACAACAACAACAAGUUAAUGGGACGGUACUGCUGCCCCCCAGAGAAGCGCUAUGUGUAUGUCAAAAAUAACCAUGCCAGCAGUCUGUUUCAUGAAAUCUCUUCAUUAAAAUGGUUACCAUGGUGAAUGGACAGUAGACCAUAGAUAUGCAGCAGCCACAUAGCAGAGGUAAGAACUGGCCCUAAGAAACUGCCACACCCCCACCCCCAAGCUCAUAAAAUUGCAGGGGAAGGAAUAUGCUGUGAAACUCAGAAUGCUGGAUGCUAGUAUAACUACUAGCAAAGCUAUUUCAUGAUUUAUUUCCUGCACACAUGUUCUAGGUCCUGAGAGUUGAAGUUUUACUCCUGAUGAUGCCCUACAUUUAUUUAAGUAUAGAACACAUUUUGAAAUAUACUCGGAGUCGAGAGUGGAUUUCAUGCUCUUUAUUCAGCUCAUAGUGGUGAGGAGGAAUGGAAGUCCCCUCAAAAUAUCUGCUUUAUAUACAUUAUUUACACAAUGGGUUGCACGUGACUGGCUAAUUCCGGAAUUCUCCUGUAGGCCAAUCAGGUUGUGGAUUCACUUCCAUCUGAAGCUGGAUUGGGUGGCUCCUGCAGACCAAUCAUACUGCUGCAUUGUUCUAGGACCAAUCAGACUGCUGCAUUCUGAAUCCUAUUGUUCUAGGACCAAUAAGACUGUUGCAUUUUGGAUCCUAUUCAACUCAGUACAUAACACGUUUACACCAGUUUAACUGUCAUUCUGUCCCCAGGGAACAGAAGUUUAGUGAGGGAUCUCCCUAGCGGGAAAUUUCCAGGGCCGGAUUUAGGUUUGAUGAGGCCCUAAGCUACUGAAGGUAAUGAGGCCCUUUAGAUGCCCAACUGUCCUUUGUCAACAACAAAUUGUCUCUGUUUUUUGUGUUGAAUAUAUGCUAUAUGGUAAUUUAUGGACCUAAUAGGUAUCUCAAGAUGAAUAUUUUCCUAAAGUAAUUUUAUAAUGGGAUCAAAAUAAAUAAAUAAUGUGUUACAUGAAGUCAAUCAGAAGGCAAAAGACUCAUACCCUUAGCCUAUGCAGCCUGAAUCAUCAGUUGACAAGCACUCUUUAAGAUUAGAGAACAGGUACAACACCUUGACUUACAUUCAACAGUUGACCUACAUUCAACUGUGCUGCACUGCAGUCUGCAGCUACAUGCUACAUGUUGCCAUACAACCAGUCCAUGCAGAAUGUAGGCACCCUAUAUAUAGAAAUGAGCAAACCAGGGAUAUUUUAGGGAGCAGGCUAGCAGGCGGAGCCCAUGACUUACAUCAUAGGAGCCUACACAACACAAAACACUGUUGCUGUAUGUAGGUUUUAUUUUAUUUGUUUUUUAUCUUAUAUUUUGGAAAUGUACAUCCAGUGUUUUUUUCCCUUUAAUUUUUUUGGGGGCCCCCAAGAGAGUGGGGCCCUAAGCUAUAGCUUGUUUAGCUUAUAUGUAAAUCUGGCACUGAAUGCUCUCACCAAGCAACAACCCCCAGGUACCAGUAAACCAGUGUGAAACUGAGUUGUAGAUAUGCCAAUGGUGCGUCUAUCCUGUGAAGCAGUUCAGGGGCAGUGGGGACAGAUGGUGUUUUACUGAUUACAGAUGAGACUAUACAGUACUGGUUUAUAUUAGAUUCCAGCUGGAAUAGGUAAGGCAAUAAGGUACAAUUUUAUAUUAGACUUCAGUCAAGUCUACUAAUUCCAGCAACACGUUUUCUGUAAAGUGCGUGUGCAAAGUUUUGCACCAGACUUAUCCUUCAGAUGUAAGGGGAUAUGUGCAAACGAGCAUAUUAGCAGGCACAUUAAGUUUUUAAAAAUAUGGCUACAUGAGAAAUAUGAAUAGCAUGCUUGCUACGACGUCAGUCUUCCUAGCUGAUACUUUGCCCUUUCUUGCUAGCAGAAAUGGUAAUGGCGAAUGAUGCACAAUAGCAUUUGUGAGUCAAGGACUGUUGCAACUGAACCCACCCACCCCCCUGUCACAUGCAGAGAAGAAUAAGCCUGACAAAGGAUAUGUUUGCUUUAGGAUUUUACCCAGGCAAAUCCAGCAGCCUCCAAGCUAGAGCUGGGAUGAUUAAGAUACAGCUGUGAAAUUUGUCAGCUAGCAGCACAGGUUUUAAGAGACUGCCGCACAGCCGUAACCCCUGCAGUCCUCUUCCCCACAGAAUUUAAUUAUGAUAACUGUAAUCAAAUUUGUAAAUCAAUUUUACAUUGGGAUGGGGGAAAACCAGGACUUGGCUAUGCCCACUUGCUGUCUAGAAUAUAUAGUUUAUUGCUGGAAUGGUAUACAAAAGAUGAAGAAGUAAAGGAAUCAAUGAUAAAAUAGGCGAUCGAUAUUGGGCAUAACAUCGAAUUGGAAGCGUGGAAAAGACUAUGGAAGGAGGGUUUGAGAUUUACAGGAUGUAUGGUUCUAAAGGAAAACUUGUUAAAAAUGAUGUAUAGAUGGCACUUGACGCCAGUAAAGUUAGCUAAAAUGUAUAGAAAAAGAGAAAGAAAAUGUUGGAAAUGUAAAAUAGUAGAUGGGGAUUAUUUUCAUAUGUGGUGGACCUGUGAUAAGGUUAAAAAUUUUGGGAAUCAAUUUAUAAUGAACUCAAAAAAAUAUUUAGGCUGGAAGCGUGUCUACUAGGUUUAAUAGGAAUGGAAAUCAAAAUGGGAGAAAUCUGUUUAUGUAUGCUACGGCCGCCGCAAGAACCUUCCUGGCCCAAAGAUGGAAAACACAAGACAUACCAACCAGGUGAAGUUGACAGAAUACGUAGAACUUGCCAAAUUGUCAGGGAGGAUCCGGGACCAGGAAGAUCAAAGAUACCAAAAUAAUUGGAGUAAAUUUAUUGAAUAUUUAAAGGAGAGUUGUAAAGAGGUCAAGACACUAGCAGGAUUGACAUAAUACCUUCAGUGUAUAAUAGUACUAUUGUGAGAAUGAGGUGAGCGAUAGAAAGGGGUUAAAUAUACCAAUUGCAGGGAGGGAGGGGAGUCGCGACUCGGCAGAGUCAAAGGGAAUGUAUGGCAUUAAUAUGGUUUGUUGGAAAAGAAUAUGUAAGGAAAACAAUAAAAUUUUACUUGGAAAAAAAAAAUAUAGUUGCCUGCUUUGGAUUUCCAGUUGGUAAAGAAUGGUUCUAGUAGCAGUGACAUCCCGCAUCUCCCCAAUUACAGGUCCAUCAGCUUCCGCAGAGAACAAUUUGGUAAGCAAAAGGCCUCGAUUUCCAUAACCAUUACCCCUAACAGCAGUUCCUAGGAAGGAGCUGAAAAGCCCGCCUGAUCACAGGAGGAGGAAAUGUUUGGAGGAGAGAUUUAAAUGAAUAACCGAUGAUAGUGCAACAUUAACCUCCGGCUAGCAGUAGCUCAACAUAAAAAAAAAAAAGAAGAUCAUGGCCACUGGUCCCAUCACCUCCUGGCAAAUAGAAGGGGAAGAAAUGGAGGCAGUGAGAGAUUUUACUUUCUUGGGCUCCAUGAUCACUGCAGAUGACAGCAGCCACGAAAUUAAAAGACGCCUGCUUCUUGGGAGAAAAGCAAUGACAAACCUAGACAGCAUCUUAAAAAGCAGAGACAUCACCUUGCCAAUAAAGGUCCGUAUAGUUAAAGCUAUGGUUUUCCAAGUAGUGAUGUAUGGAAGUGAGAGCUGGACCAUAAAGGCGGCUGAUCGCUGAAGAAUUGAUGCUUUUGAAUUCUGGUGCUGGAGAAGACCCUUGAGAGUCCCAUGGACUGCAAGAAGAUCAAUCCUAUCCAUUCUGAAGGAAAUCAGCCCUGCGUGCUCACUGGAAGGACAAAUCCUGAAGCUGAGGCUCCAAUACUUUGGCCACCUCAUGAGAAGAGAAGACUCCCUGGAAAAGACCCUGAUGCUGGGAAAGAUGGAGGGCACAAGGAGAAGGGGACGACAGACGGCGAGAUGGUUGGACAGUGUUCUUGAAGCUACCAGCAUGAGUUUGACCAAACUGCAGGAGGCAAUGGAAGACAGGAGUGCCUGGCAUGCUCUGGUCCAUGCGGUCACGAAGAGUCGGACACGACUAAACAACAACAAAAGCAAGCAGGGACUGUCCUGGUUCUUUUGGGGUAGUUAUGCCCUACUUUUGAACCUUUGCACACACACAAAAAUAGACAAAAUAAUACCAAGGUUCCCCAUCUGUUCCCCAUCUUGAUUCAAAGUGGUGUCCAGUGUCCAAACAGCAACAGUGUCUCUUCUGCCCCUGUUCUUCUGUUCCAUUCUUUAUAUAUGACUGAUAUAUAUUAGUGCACAUACAGGUAGGGGCUUUCGCAACCUUUUGCCCCCAAACCUCCAAGCCAGCCUUAGACAGACUUUUCGUAGGUGGCUGGCCCCAUUAGCUCAGCUCAAGUUAGUUAAUCAAUACCUUGAGAUGCCCGAUUUCCCAAGAUGCUCUACAAACUACCUGCCACCACAGACGAAUUAUUCGUGCAAAUAUCAGAUAAUGUUGGUUAGCCGCAUUUACACACACACACACACACACACACACACACACACACACAGCGUCCAUCUCUCCAAGGAGCUCAAUAUUAUUAUUAUCAUCACAACAACUUUGUAAAUUAGGUUAGGCAGUGCUUUUGUGUCUUUAAUAACUGCAUUACAGAUAGAAUACUUUCCCUGCACAGAGACAUCACGAGGGAAAGCUUCAGUUGUUGAAUUUCUUCCCAUUGCACAGUCAUGGCCAGCAUUCUGGUGAACCAGAGCAACACAUGGAAACGCCGUUUACCUUCCCGCCAGAGUGGUACCUAUUUAUCUACUUGCACUUUGACGUGCUUUAGAACUGCUAGGUGGGCAGGAGCAGGGGCUGAGCAACAGGAGCUCACCCCGUCGCGGGGAUUCGAACCACAACCUUCUGAUUGGCAAGCCCAAGAGGCUCAGUGGUUUAACCCACAGCGCCACCCGCAUCCCUAUUCUUUGUGGUGUAAGUCGGCAUUAUUGUCUUGGAAAAUGUUUAGUAAGGCCAAUUCUGGGGUGGUUUCUAAUAGUUGCUUGGUUAUUUUACUUAUUUCUCGUAUGCGCUAUCUUCUAUUAAAGACAUCUAAGCUGGCUCCUGUGGAAUCAAGUUCCACAAAUUAACAAUCUGCUACAUGAAGUACUUCCUUUUAUCUCUCCUGAUGCAGGUGGCGCUGUGGGUUAAACCACAGAGCCUAGGACUUGCCGAUCAGAAGGUUGGCGGUUCGAAUCCCCGCGACGGGGUGAGCUCCCAUUGCUCGGUCCCCGCUCCUGCCAACCUAGCAGUUCGAAAGCACGUCAAAGUGCAAGCAGAUAAAUAGGUACCGCUCUGGCGGGAAGAUAAACGGCGUUUCCGUGCGCUGCUCUGGUUCACCAGAAGCGGCUUAGUCAUGCUGGUCACAUGACCCGGAAGCUGUACGCCGGCUCCCU